RNAcentral lists this long non-coding RNA (90081 nucleotides) under Capsicum annuum. Its description in RNAcentral is "long non-coding RNA (CANN_LNC020790)". Lineage: Eukaryota; Viridiplantae; Streptophyta; Magnoliopsida; Solanales; Solanaceae. The record is from RNAcentral.
AAUGGUGUGCGAAACAAUAGCAAAGCUGUAUACCAAUUAGAAGUAGUGCUGCAGAUGAGUAAUCAGAAUCUACAGGAAACAAGUGUGUGCAAUAUCUCCAUCAUGGGUGUCCGUCGGUUGUGAUUCACUGUGAUCUAAAGCCUAGUAAUGUCUUGCUGGAUGAGGAUAUGGUUGCCCACCUAAGAGACUUUGGCAUUUAAAAACUACUUGGUGAUGAUGAGAGUGAUUUAUACACUGAAACCUUAGCAAUACUGUGUUAUAUUGCUCCGGGUACAUCUCUUUGUUUUGCUAAUUAUUUGAACAUUAAUUACUCCUUUCUUUUUUUUCCCACUUAUAAAGCAUAUUUCAUCUUUAAAUGAAUUAUUUGACUAUAGAGUAUGGUGAGUUAUUCACUUACAGAGGCAGUAAUGGACGUGGUAGAUGCCAACUUGCUAACAUCAACUGGCAAUCGCUUAGAGAAGGAGCUAGAUGUUGUGGCAUCAAUCAUGAAAGUGGCAUUAGAUUGUUGUGCUAAAUCUCCGGCGAGAAAGACUAACAUGAAAGAUCUUAGAAUCUCUCGUCGCUUCAAGUCACUUGUUUGUUGCAAAUGUUUGAUAAAUUAGUGGAAUAAUGUAAACAUUUCUUUCUUUGCUUUGUUUUAGCACUUGAUUUCCUCAUAAUAUUAGUGUUGCAAAAUGGUGGAACUUGUAAAUAUAAAUUUAAUAACAAAAACCAAAUUAAUCUUCUUGAAAAUCUCAAUCAGAAUUUUUAAAAUUGUUAGAGGAAUUAACAUGAAUACAAAUAGCAAUUAAUACAGUAAAUGCUUUUCAUGGGAAACACUGAUGACAUAUAACAUCAAAAAUACAAACAGAAAGAGCAAUGAAAAAAAAAGGUAGCUUGGUGCAUGAAGCAUCUUGCAUUCACGCAAGAUAUAGACAAGUGUCACACCCAAGGAUUUUAAUACAGGCAACUUGCCUGACACAAACAUCUGAUUUCAUGACUUGAAUAUGCUGUGACCUAUAGGUCCCUCAAUGAUAAAUGAGGAAGAAAGAUAACUAAGUUCCUAAAUUUCUCUUCUUUCAAUACAGUACAAAGUCAACCUCCGUUCUUCAAAGAUUUUCCGAAUUAACCAAUUCUUUACACCACAACUCCUCUAAGUUUUGAUUUCUUGAUUUUCCACAUGUUGUUGCUCAUGUCCAAAACUUCCUGUAUUCUGCAGUAUCUCCUGACUUAGUGGUUCUAAGCCUGCCUUCACUCCUUUAGAGUCCAAUCCACAGGUGUACAAGGAGAUGAGUUACUGUCUAAUAUUUCCUCUUAUCAUAGACUGAUGGGCAAACUCAUAUCAUGUAUGCUACUAUCAUAAGAGCUGAUAUUAUCUCUAUUGUCCAAACCCUCAACCAGUUCAUGCAGCAUCCUAAACACUCACAUUGGGAGGCUGUUAUUAGGGUAGUCAGAGACCUCAAGGGUUCAUUGGGUCAAGGCAUUUGGUUAAAAGCUGACCCUUCUGCCACUCUUACUUGUUGGUGUGACUCAGAUUUGGCUCCCCGCCCUAACACUAGACGUUAAGUUGCUGGAUAUUCUAUCUAUUUUGGUGGAUAACUAAUCUCUUGGAAGUCCAAGAAACAACAUAGUGUGUCCAGAAGUACUGCUGAAGAUGAAUAUAGAAGCAUGGCUUUAGAAGUUGCAGAGGUAACCUGGCUGGUUGGAUUAUUUCAGGAACUCAAUAAUCCCAUUACCUUGCCCAUUUCAGUAUUCAAUGACAGCAAUUCAGCUAUACAAUUGGCCAAUAAUCUUGUGUUUCAUGAAAGAACAAAACACAUUGAAAUAGAUUGCCAUUUCAUUAGGGACAAGAUCAAGAAUGGCUUAAUACAGGCUACAUAUGUUCACACUCAUGAUCAAGUUGCUGAUCUUCUCACCAAGGGAUUGAGUCAAGAUCAACAUACACACUUGUUAAGAAAGCUUGGUGUGCUUAACAUAAUGCACCCUGCAGCUUGAGGGGGAGUGUUUCGAUCCACAAUGCAUCAAUGCUUGUAUAUGCAAAUGUACAGAGUUACUGUUACAUUAAUGAAGUAGUUAGUUAGGUGGUUAAUUGAUGAGUCAACUGCAUAGUUAGUUGUAGAAGUUGUUAGACAAGUUGUUAGGUUGUUAGUCGGUUAUGCUGAGCUGGCAAUGAGCUGAAUAGAAUCUCACUCAGCUCAACAACCUGUCUAUUAAUAAGAGCAACAACAACAAUGAAAAGACUAAUGGAUCAAUAAAGUUGAAUUUCUCUUUCACAUUUUCUCCAUUGAUCAUGAAUGAUCUAGCUGUCACCUGUUGGAGACAUAAAUAAAGUGUGUUGUAUACAACACAUAAAGCUUUUAUUUGAGUUGGUUGCUUUCAAGAUAUGGUGGUUGUUGAUGUCAAGAUAUUGUAUAAAUGUCAAGAUAUGGCAGUAUUUUUCAUAUUGUGUGUUAGUCAAUUAUUGUAGGUAGAAGCAUGAUCUUAGGGAUAUGCUCUUGACCUUUUAUGUCUAGCUUUGUGUAUAUAUUGUUGAUGUAAUCUAUCAUUUUGAGCUUGAAGUGAAAUACACUUGCAUCAUUAACAUGGUAUAAAAUCUCUCUAAAUUGUAGCCACUUCUAGCAUUUUUUUUUCUUUUCUCUACUCCAUCCAUCUCACUCAUUCAUUCUAGUUUUACCCAUCACUCCUAUAAUUUUCAGCAACCAGAAAAUUUUCUAGAAAAAGCAGCUCUACAUCGGCUGCUUCUUCUUUUUCCUGCAAGGUUCUUGUUCAGUACAGAUCUGAAAAAAAGUUCCUACCAGAUCCACUGUCAUCAAGAGGAGCCUUGAUCUUUUCCUUCCUCUGUUUCGAUUUCUUUUAACCAAUCUUUUUCUUGGUAUUUUGUUUUGCUGUCAAAGUCAUAAUGGCAGGGAAAGGCGAAUCUGUAGUAACCAAUGUCACAUAGAAAAUUGAAUCAAGUGAUUCAAAUCAGUGUUUUCCUCCAUUUCAAGUUCUCCUGUUAUUACCACCAUGAAAUUUGAAGGUAGUACUAAUUACACACCAUGGUCUUCAUCUGUUCAGAUGUGGUUUCUGGGACAAGGAUAUGAGGACCAUUUAGUUAAAAAUACUAGUGAUAUUGUCGCGAGUGAAAGUCAUAAGUGGACUUGAAUUGAUGCUCAAUUAUGCAAUCUCGUAUGGAACUCUUUGGAUCCUAAAUUACUCAAUCUAUUUCAAUAUUGUAAAACUUGCUAUGAAGUUUGGGCUAAAGCUAAGACUUUGUAUACAAAUGACAUACAACGCAUAUACAAGGUUGUAUCAGACUUGGUCCAACUUUAGCAAAAUAAUCAAGAUAUGGCGAGUUAUUUAGGACAGAUAGAAACCUUGAAAGAUCAAUUUGACUCUCUCAUUCCACUUUCUGAAAGUGUCACCACACAGGAGCAACAAAGAGAUAAUUCUUUAUGGUUCUAGUGCUGAAAGGACUUCAAUCUGAUUUGAGUCCUAUAUGGGAUCAAAUUUUGGAAAGUUCGUUAAUUCCUUCCUUAAUUGAUGUUUCAGCACAAUUAUCUCAUAUUGGUUCAGAAACAAACGAUACCAAUAAUGUCGAGACAUCUGUAUUAGCUGUGAAAAAUGCAAAUCCACAGGAUCAAAAUAUCCAGGAAAGGGGAAACAUUAAAACCUCUAGACCCUUUUGCAACUAUUGCAACAAGCUAGGACAUACUCGACAAACUUGUUGGAAAUUGCAUGGUCGAACACCACGUACUAACAAUUCUAGUACAGCUCACGUGGUUCAGACCGUAAAGACACAGAUGGUCAACUUUCCAAUUCUAUUAAUUUGUCUGGAGUAGAUUUUAGUGAUUACUUGCAGUAUAAAGCGGUUACACGAUAAUCACCUUUACCUGGCACCCCAAAAACUAAUUUAUUUGCUUGUCUACCAGAUCUUCACCCUCCUGCCAAUGGAUAUUGGAUUCUGUUGCAUCUGACCAUAUCUCUGGUAAUCAAAAUCUUUUCUCAAAUCCUAUUCAUUCCACAACCCUCACCACAGUUACCCUUGCUAAUGGAUCCUGAACUACAAUAAAAGGAAUAGGGGACAUGCAAUUUCUUUCCUCUAUUUCCUUAAACUCAGUUUUAUUUGCUCCUGAAUGUUCAUUUAAUUUGAUUUCUGUUAGCAAAUUAACCAAACACCUAAACUGUAGUUUCACUUUUUUGGCUGAAUCUGUUGUUGUAUAGGACCGGAGAACAGGGAAGAUGAUUGGAACAUUAUAUGAGUCAUAGGGACUAUAUCACAUGUCAAAAUUACCACCACCAGUUUCCUUCACUUCUGUUGCGUCAACUGAUCUUCUUCACAACCGUUUGGUCACCCGAGUCUAGCAAAACUUCAAAAAUUAAUUCUACUCUUUCCACUUUGUCUUCAUUUGAAUGCGAGUCUCGUCAACUUGGAAAAUAUAGUCUCACUUCAUUUCCCAAAAGAGUCAAUAAAAGGGAAACAUAUAUGUUUGACAAUAUUCACUCAGAUGUACGGGGUCCUAAUCGUGUUAUUUCAAGUUUAGGAUUUCAGUAUUUUGUUACCUUUAUUGAUGAUUUUUCUCAUUGCACGUAGGUAUUUUUAAUGAAAAAUUGUUCUGAAGUAUUCUCUAUUUUUCAAAAAUUCUAUGCUAAAAUAAACAAUCAAUUGGGUGUUUCAAUUAAGGUAUUACGCAGUGAUAAUGCAAAGGAGUACUUAUUUCACCCUUUGCCAGUUUCAUGUCGUCUAAGGGAAUCACUCAUCAAUCUUCUUGUGCAUACACUCCUCAACAAAUUGGAGUUUCCGAAUGUAAAAAUAGACAUCUCAUUGAGAUAGCUCGAACAUUACUCUUACACCAUUAUGUUCCUUUUCGUUUUUGGGGGGAUGUUGUCCCCACUGCUUGGUAUUUGAUAAAUAGAAUGCCUUCUAAUGUGUUGCAACAACAAAGUACUUACUUAGUUCUCUUUCCUGGUCAAAAUCCUUAUCAUCUACCUUUGAGAGUGUUUGGGUGUACUUGCUUUGUCAAUGAUCAAUGUAAUAGAAAUGAUAAACUCCAACCGAAAUCAAUUAAGUGUGUCUUUCUAGGAUACUCUCAUCACCAAAAAGGUUACAAGUGCUAUGAUCCAAAAUCAAAUAAAUAUUUUAUCAGUGCAAAUGUGAUGUGUUUUGAAAUAUCUCCCUAUUUUACGCCAAGCAGUACAAGUAGUAGUUUAAUUCCUCAAGUUUUGUUAGUACCCAUACUUCCUCUACAAUAAAUUAGUCUUCCAGACAACACCAAAACCGUUCCUCCCCAUCCUCUUCAAGUAUACACCCGAUGUGAUUGUCCUCUUAACAGUACUAAUGAUAGUACUACUCCUAGUCUAGAUGCAUUGGUAGCUCCUGAUGAUUCAUCUCAUGCUCCUUCGUCACGUGCUCCAUUCAUACCUUCAUCAGUUGCAGUGACCUGACCAAUCAUCAUACGCAAAGGUGUAUGCACUACUAGAAAUCAACCACCAGAGAUAUAUACCUGUUUAAGUUAUCAUCAGUAGUCCCCAUUAUAUUAUAUCUUUGUUUCUAAGAUAUCUAAUGUACCUAUACCAAAGAAUGUUAGCGAAGCAUUAUAACAUCAAGGGUGGAGAGAUGCUAUGAUUGAAGAAAUGAAUGUUUUACAGACCAAUAACACCUGGGAAUUUGUCUAGUUACCGAAGGUGGAAAUCUACUAUUGGAAUUUGAUGGAUCUAUACAGUAAAGGUAGGUUCAGAUAGAAUAGUUGAUCAGCUGAAAGCUCGCCUUGUUUCCAAAGGAUACACACAGAUUUAGAUCUUGACUAUGAUGAUACAUUCUCUCCAGUUGCCAAAAUUGUAUCUGUCCGACUACUCAUAUCCUUGGCAGCAAUGCAUCAUUGUCCGCUUCAUCAACUAGACAUUAAGAAUGCCUUUUUGCAUGGCGAACUUGCUAAGGAAGUUUAUAUGGAGCAACCUCCCAAAUUCGUUGCUCAGAGGGAGUCAGACUUAGUUUUCAAUCUCAAACGCUCUUUGUAUGGACUCAAGCAAUCUCCGAGAGCAAGGUUUGGCAGAUUUAGUUCUGUUGUCUAAUAGAUCGGGAUGUAUCAAAGUAAAGCACAUCACACUAUUUUCUAUCGACCUGAUGGUCGAGCAAAGAACAUUUUUCUGGUAGUUUAUGUUGACGACAUUGUCAUAAUUAGAAAUGACCCAGAAGGAAUAUCUCAUGCAAAGCAACAUUUGUUCAAUCACUUUCAAACCAAAGAUUUGGGGAAGUUAAAGUAUUUUUUGGGAAUUGAAGUAGCACAAUCCAAAACAAGUAUUUCCAUCUCACAAAGAAAAUAUUCUUUAUACAUAUUAGAGGAGUCAUGCAUGUUAAAUUUCAAACCAAUUGACCCUCUUAUGGAUCAAAAUAUCAAACUCGUCCCUGGAUAGGGGGAGACAUUGAAAGAUCCUGGUAGAUAUAGAAGACUGGUCGGUAUAUUUGGACUAUCUUACUAUUACACGCUCAGAUAUUUCAUUUGGAGUAAGUGUGGUUAGUCAGUUUCUCCAAGCUCCAUGUAAUGAUCAUUGGUAGGUAGGGAUUCGCAUCCUCAGAUACAUCAAAAAAGCUCUAGUACAAGGAUUGUUAUAUGAAGACAAAGGUCACACAGACAUUGUUGGAUAUUCUGAUGCGGAUUGGGCAGGUUCUCCAUCUGAUAGACGCUCUACUUCUGGGUAUUGCAUCAUGAUUGGAGGAAAUUUAAUUUCCUGAAAAAGUAAGAAGCAAGAUGUUGUUGCCAGAUCUAGUGCAGAAGCUGAAUAUCGAGCUAUAGCCUUUACUACAUGCGAGCUUAUUUGGCUGGAACAACUUUUCCAAGAGUUAAAAUGUGUUGAAUUCAAUCAAAUGAAGCUUAUAUGUGACCAUCUGAUUGCGCUACAUAUUGCCUCAAAUUUAGAUUUUCAUGAAAGAACAAAACAUAUAGAGGUGGAUUGUCAUUUUAUUAGGCAGAAGAUUGAGUCCGGAUGCAUUAACACUAGCUUCGUCGGUUCAAAUGACCAAUUGGCAGCUAUUCUUACUAAAUCACUAAGAGGAGCUCGGAUUGAAUACAUUUAUGGCAGGCUCGGAGAAUAUUACAUGUAUGCUCCAGCUUGGGUGGGAGUGUCAAGAUAUUGUACCAAAACAAUCUCACCCCUUAUUGGGUAUUUUCUUGGCCACGGGGAGUACGGACAAGCUUGAAGAAUUUUGUUACUCAUAUUUCAUGAGAGGAUUAAGCAUAUUAACAUAGAUUGUCAUUUUGUCAGGGAGAAAAUCAAAUAACAGCUGAUUAAACCUCAAUAUGUGCACACUACUCAUUCCAAACUGCGGAUUUGAUCACCAUAGGCUGUGGAACUACUAGAUGUCUACCAAUCUCCAGCUUGUGGGAGAGUAUGCUAAUCCAUUUUUGCUUUGCGGUCUUUUGUUUUUUUGUUUUUUACUUUCAAGGGCAUUUUCAGCCAUUUCUUUUAACUUAAAGAGCUAAAAGGAAAAAAAAAAUUAUAUCACCCCAAAAUAAUUCAUGUGUAAAUGACCCCUUGGAGGUGGGUUAUGUUAGGUUGAGCUAAAAUCAGUCAACAUGAAAAUAUACUUUGCUCAAUCCUUAAAAUUUUGGGCAAAUUGAAUGGGUCACCAACCAAUUUGAAAAUGUUUAGCCAUUUUAAAGUAUCUACUUCCAAUACUGGAUUCAAAUAAACUUAAUAUCUCUGUGAUGCAUCCACCACUAACCUUAGAAAUCAUUUUUGCUUGUCUUGGCGGAGAAUUUUAAUUUGCUUUUGCAAAAGUUGUGAUUAUUACUUAACUCGACCCAUUACAUGCCCCAAAUAACAGGAUAAUUCAACUAUGACACGAGCCAGUAAUCUUUUGGAUCCACUAAUUUUAGCUUAGAAUUUGUAAUGAUUGUGGCAUAGAUGAGAAAAAUUUUUAACGGACGAUAAGAUGUCAUUUCUAAUAAGAGAUUGGAUGACAUAUUUAAGCCUUUUUCCUUUAAUAAUUUUGAAUUUGCUUUGAAAUGUGAGAAUUUGAAGAGUUGGAUGUUUCUAUAUUAUAAUUAUGAUCUUGUAAUGUGACAUAAAUCUUUGGCCCAUUGUAUUUUCUUACUGUUGUAAGACGGGUUACACGCGGCACAAACAACACGUGUACCCAGAGGCUAUAUUUAAAGGGAGAUACUGUUGCUAUUUAAAGUCUCUAAACAACCACCUUAUUGGCCAUAACAAGUUCCUUGAAAUUUAUGCAACUAUGGAGAAAGCGUUCUCCCCUUUUCUCUUACUUCCUUGUUGCUUCACUAUGUUAUGGCUAGUUCAGCCAUGACCAAAACCAACAUUACUACUGAUCAAUUGGCUCUUUUUACGCUGAAAUCCCAAAUUGUUUCAGACCCCUUUCAUUUCUUGGAUGAAAGUUGGUCUUUCGCUACGUCCGUUUGCAUUGGGUUGGAGUCACUUGUGGCUCUCACCACCAGAGUGAAGUCCUUGAAUCUGAAUUUCAAUUCCAUAGAGGUCCAGAUACCAAAAGUGAUUGGAAACCUUAGAGAAUUAAAGUUGAGGGAUAACAACCUCAUAGGCUCUAUUCCUCUGUCUCUCUCGAAUGCCUCAAGGUUGGAGACUUUAGAUAUAUCUUAUAAUUCACUUCAAGGAAACAUUCCAGAAGAGAUCGGCAAUCUUCACAACAUGAAAGUUAUAUCCAUACAAGAUAAUCAACUUAUGGGUUCUAUACCUUUCAUAAUUUUCAAUAUUUCUAGAAUCGAAGUCACUGCAUUUAGUGGCAAUAGCUUAUCAGGAAAAACAAGCUUUGCGGUCAUAUGGCUACAAGUUUGUCGAAUUGUUCACAACUUCAAAUUUUGGCUUUACCAGAUAAUGAGUUUGGUGGACCAAUGCAUAGUGAAUUUGGAAGAUUGAUUAACUUACAGAUAUUAGAACUCGGAAUGAACCGUUUCACUGGUGCGUUCAAUAUAAUGAAUACUAGCACUAUUGUAUCUUAUGACUUCAGAAUUUUAUUUUUUUGCACAUUAAUUUCAGGGAUAAUUCCCCAAGAAAUGGAAAAUCUUGUUAAUUUGGUAGAGUUAGCUAUGGAGAAAACAGAUUCCGGCUCUGUCCCGAUCUCCAUAUUCAAUAUCUCAUUGUUGCAAAUUUUGUCUGUGUGGGAGAACAAUCUUAGUGGAUUCUUACCACGGGAGAUAAGAAGUCUCACUGAAUUGGAGGAACUUCGUCUUGCGUUUAAUAGUUUUGGUGGUUCACUCCCAAUGGAGAUCUUCAACAUAUCAGGGCUGAGAGUAAUUGAUCUUACAAACAACAAUCUAUCUGGAAGCCUCCCACCAAACAUGGGUUCUAUCUUACCCAACACUGAAGAGCUUUAUAUGGGCAACUUAACCAAUCUUGUUGGGACUAUUCCUCAUUCCAUCUCCAAUUGUUCAAAACUUACUAUUCUAGAGCUUUCGAGCAACAAACUCAGAGGCUUGAUUCCCAACUCACUUGGAUAUUUGACUCAUAUACAGUAUCUAAAUUUAGGGGGAAACAAUUUAACCAGGGACUCAUCAUUGAGCUUCCUAACCUCCUUAACCAAUUGCAGAAAAUUAACAACUCUAGCUCUAUAUUUGAAUGCUCUAAACGGCAUGCUUCCUGCCUCCGCGGGGAACCUUUCCACAUCUUUGAGAACAUUUGUUGCCUACAGUUGCAAGAUCAAAGGGAGAAUUCCAAAUGAUUUGGGGAACUUAAGCAGCUUAUUAGACCUUGAUCUUUCAGCAAACAGCUUGGCUGGACCGAUUCCCACAACAAUUGGAAACUUGAGAAACCUUCAGCGCUUCAACUUGAGUAACAACAAACUUAAAGGAUUUAUUGGUUACAUGUAAAUUGCAGCAUUUGGGUGAUAUUUACUUAGGUCGAAAUCAACUUUCAGCAUCUCUUCCCAACUGUUUAGGGAAAAUUACUAUCCUUGGGGAGAUACAUCUGGGUUCCAAUAAAUUGAGUUCCAAUAUACCACCAAGAUUAGGGAACCUUCAUGAUCUAGUGGUUCUUGACUUAUCGUAAAACAACAUGGCAGGUUCUUUACCUCUAGAAAUUGGAAAUCUAAAGGCUGCGAUACUGAUAGAUCUGUCAAUGAAUAAAUUUUCAAAUAGAAUUCCAAGAGAAAUUGGAGGAUUGCAGAAUCUGGCACACCUUUCUUUGAGACACAAUAAGUUGCAAGGAGCUAUACCUGACUCAAUGAGCAACAUGGUAGGUUUGGAAUUCCUAGAUCUUUCUCAUAACAAUAUAUCUGGAAUCAUUCCUAAGUCUUUGGAGAAACUUCAAAACCUGAAGUAUUUCAAUGUUUCUUGGAAUAAAUUGUAUGGUGAAAUACCCUCGGGAGGUCCUUUAAAGAACCUCUCGAGUCAGUUUUUCAUCUACAAUGAAGCAUUGUGGGGUUCUUCAAGAUUUGGUGUCCCUCCAUGCCCCACUUCAUCAAAGCAUAGAUCUAAAAGGAAAAAAGUGCUUGUUAUGUUUCUUUUGCUGGGAAUUGCACUAGUAUUUGUUCCUAGCAUCUUUGUGUUUUUAUGGAUAAGGUAUAGAAGAGGUAAAAGAGCUCCUCAACAACCUGAUUCAUUGGCUUUCAUAACAAGAGAAAGAAUUUCAUACUAUGAACUGCUCCAAGCAACUGAUGCGUUUAGCGAUAGUAAUUGGAUUGGUUCCAGAAGUUUUGGCUCUGUUUACAAAGGCGUUCUCAGAAGUGGAACUGCUAUUGCAGUUAAAGUGUUCAAUCUGUAACUAGAUGCGGCAUUCAAGAGCUUUGAUACAGAAUGUGAAGUUCUGCACAGCCUUCGCCAUAGGAUAAUAUCGUAAGAGUCAUAACUAGUUGUUCCAACCAUGAUUUUAAGGCUUUAGUGCUCGAGUAUAUGCCAAAUGGAAGUAUUGAGAAGUAUUUGUAUUCGCACAACUACUUCCUCGACAUCAAGCAGAGACUAAGCAUAAUGAUAGAUGUGGCAUAUGAUUUGGAAUAUCUGCACCAUGUGAUAUACCAAACGGUAUCUACAAGAGCACGAAAUAGUCCACAAACUCACAAAAACAGUCCACACAUACAAGACACCAAGAGGAAACAACAAACACAAACUUGAAAGAUAAAGAAGAUAGAUAACCUGACACAAAGAGAAUACGAAAUGUAGCAACUAAAGAGUGUAUCAAACUCUAAAACCUCUACAAAUCAUAUUAACAAGCACCAAGUUCUUACGUAAACACAAGAGGGACUCGCUUCACUCAAGCACUCACGUUACUAGCCGUUUCACAACACAAGUGGAACCUUUCACUUGUGAUGUUCAAAGUUGGUGGUCUACUCUCUUCUUGAGAGGAAAAUGGUGUUUCAAUGUUACAAUCUUCAUUCCAAAAAUAAGCUAACUAAGCAAAUAAGACGAAGGGGUUCUACUUAUAGUCUAUUACAAAAGAAAUGGGAAACUACACCUUUACCCUAAAUGAAGGGGCUGGGUUUGGAGUGUAUAAAUGGGGCUACCUUGUAGUGUUUUUAUGACACUCAAGGCAUGUCUUCACACUUUAAUACAUACACUACCUUGGACAAACUUAAGACAUGCUCAAACACAUCCAUCUUCAUGAAUGUGCCUUGAAGACAUUGUAGUUCCCGAGCUUGGCUCCUAUGGAAUGGUCUUGAGCUCUCGAUACCCGUUUGCCACUCUUUUGCAAAGGUCUUCACACUCUUCCUUCUUCUUGGAUAUGGUUCGAGUAUGGCUGCUUGUGCUUGUACCCUCUUUUCACUUGUAUCACUUGUAAUCUUUGUUCUCUUUACUCUUGUAUCAUCCUCUCCAUCUUGAAAGGAAUUUGUCCUCAAAUUGACACCUUGCAAACCAAAAGAGAGGGACCCAAGCACACAAUCCUCAUGGUAUGAGGGUUAGCAUUAGUGUCACAAAUUAUUUAAUCAUGCCAAUCCUUUGUUAUGAUCAUGAAACACUUACAACAAGCAUCACAAAGGACUUGGCUAAGAUAGACAUCAAGGGAAGAGGAGUGCAACCUGAGACCAUCACAUAUAUCAAUAAGCCAAGGUUGUUCACAUUUGAAAAAUAUCCACAGGUCCUUUGUGUGUGUCAUGAAAAGCUUAGCAUGAAUGGCACAAAGGAUAUGGUUUUGGCAAAUACCAAGAGAUAAGGAAACCACAAUGGUCUUGAUGGCCUUACUACACCCAAAAAGUAAGGCUAACUUUGGCUUAGGAACCAUAAGAUACAUUUGUUUCAUUACCUCCACAAAGAACCUCAUCAAAUAUGGAGCCACUAUUGAUCCUAAGGUCCACCUUACCCACAUAUCAUUAUCAUUCAAACAAGGAAACCUGCCACCAAACUUACUACCUCUACACAAUACCCAUUCAAAAUUAACAUGGUUAACAAGGAAACCACAAUGGUCUUUUGCUAUGUCCGUUUGCCAUUGGGUUGGAGUCACUUGUGGCUCUCACCACCAGAGAGUGAAGUCCUUGAUUCUUUCAAACAGGGCCCUUGAAGGCAGGAUUCCCCGUGAAUUUGGAAACCUCACGUUUCUCGUCUCUCUCGACUUGAGAAGAAACAAUUUCCAUGGAAAUUUACCUAAAGAAAUGGCACGCUUGCGCUGGCUUAAGUUUCUUGAUUCAAGUGUCAACAACUUCAGCGGGGAGGUUCCGUCUUGGUUUGGAUUUUUACACCAACUUCAAGUUCUAAAUCUUAGGAAUAAUAGUUUCACUGGUUCCAUCCCUUGUUCAUUUUCUAAUAUAUCCACACUUGAUACUUUGAAUCUGAAUUUCAAUUCCAUAGAGGGCCAGCUACCAAAAGUGAUUGGAAACCUUAGAGAAUUAAAGUUGAGGGGUAACAAUCUCAUAGGCUCUAUUCCUCUGUCGCUCUCGAAUGCCUCAAGGUUGGAGACUUUAGAUAUAUCUUACAAUUCACUUCAAGGAAACAUUCCAGAAGCGAUCGGCAAUCUUCACAACAUGAACUUGUUGUCCAUACAAACUAAUCAACUUACCGGGCUCUAUACCACUGUCAGUUUUCAACAUUUCUAGAAUUGAAAAUAUAAGAUUUACAGGCAAUAGCUUAUCAGGAAGUCUUCCCAAUGGUUUAUGCAAUGGUCUCCCAAUACUCAAAGGGCUUUAUCUGUCUUCUAACAAGCUUCGUGGUCAUAUGCCUACAACUUCAAAUUUUGUCUUUAUCGGACAAUGAGUUUGAUGGACCAAUACAUAGUGAAAUAGGAAGAUUGAGUAACCUGCAGAUACUGUAUCUGGGAACUAACCAUUUCACUGGUACUUCCAUCUUAUGAAUACUCUCUCAGAAUUUUAUUUUUUCCCACAUUAAUUUAAGGGAUAAUUUCACAAGAAAUUGGAAAUCUUAGUUUGGUAGAGUUAGCCAUGGAGUAUAAUCAGAUUACUGGCUCUGUCCCGAUCUCCUUAUUAAAUAUCUCAUCGCUGCAAAUUUUGUCGCUGUCGAUGAACAAUCUUAGUGGAUUCUUACCACGGGAGAUUGGCAACUUAACCAAGAUGCAACAUCUAUGGAUUAGUGGAAAUAAGCUUAUAGGUACAUAUAUAUUCUAAUGGUGUCUCGUGUUAAUUUUUAUAGAUCCAUUGGAACUACUAAAAUUUUAUGAAUUUAUGCAUGUAAUGAGUAAUGAAAUAUAACAAUUAUAAAUAAAUAUUCAAGCGCAAAUUUGAACUCCUGUUGGUAGUUAGCUAACUUCUAAUAAAGUAUCAGUUUAUAUAUUUGAGUCCAUAUAAAAAUACAAACCUGCACAAUCAGAAAUUCAUAGAAAAUUAAAUUAUGAAUUUUAAUGGAGAAAAAAAAUGUAUAAUAAGUACAUCCUUCUUAGGACUUUGAUCAAUAACAAUUUUUUGAGGUCUUUGUUAGGAUCGAUUUGCUUCUACACUCACUAUAGAUCUGUGGAGAGGCUGAGAAAAAAAUAAGAGAGAGAGAGAAAUGAUUUCGUGGUAACACCCAUAGGUAAACUCCAUGGCGGACGGGCUAUUUAUAUUAAUGAUUCGGAGUAUGAACAAUUAUACAGACAAAUGGAGAAAUGAGAAAGUACUGUUCUACAAUGCCUAAAAUUAACACCCGUAGGUUGAACCGCGUGAACAUUAAUAUAUAAUCAGUACAUUACAUAUUAAUUAGGCUCCACACUUAACAUUCUUGUCACUUAACAUUCUUGUCGACACCUUUUCAUCAGGUCAAACUAAAGCAUGAAUUACAUAGAUAAGCAUUGAGCUAACUAGUUCAUCUCACGUGUAUUCAUUUUUUCUUCAUGUGUUGACAGGUGAAAUACCCAAAGAGAUAAGCAAUCUCGUUGAGUUGGAGCUACUUGAUCUUGGGUAUAAUAGUUUUAGUGGUUGACUUGAUAUGGAGAUCUUCAACAUAUCAGGGGUGAGAAUGAUGUAUCUUUCAUCCAACAAUCUAUCAGGAAGCCUCCCACCACCAAACAUGUGUUCUAUCUUACCCAACAUUGAAGAUCUUUAUCUGUCCUUUACCAAUCUUGUUGGGACUAUUCCUCAUUCCAUCUCCAAUUGUUCAAAACUUACUCAUCUAGAUAUUUCUAAGAGCCAACUCACUAGCUUGAUUCCAAAUUCUCUUGGAUAUUUGACUAUUUACAACUCCUAAACUUGGAGGGAAACAAUUUAACCAGCGACUCAUUGUUAAGCUUCUCGACUUCCUUAACCAAUUGCAGAAAUUUGACAAAUCUUUCUCUAUCUUUGAACACUCUAAAUGGCAUUCUUCCAGCCUCCACGGGGAACCUUUCCACAUCUCUUAUAAGAUUUUACGCCAACAAUUGCAAAAUCAAAGGGCGAAUUCCAAAUGAAGUUGGGAACUUAAGCAGCUUAUUAGACCUUGAUCUUUCUGGAAAUAACUUAGUACGAUCGAUUCCAACAUCAAUUGGCAGCUUGAAAAACAUUUAGUGCUUCAACUUGAGUAACAACAAACUUACAGUAUUAGUUGGUGAUCAUAUAUGUAAAUUGCAGCAUCUGGGUGAUAUUUACUUGGAUCAAAAUCAACUUUCAGGAUCUCUUCCUAAUUGUUUAGGGAAUAUUACUUCCCUUAGGGAGAUACAUCUCGGUUCCAACAAAUUGAGUUCAAAUAUACCGCCAAGCUUAGGGAACCUUCAAGAUCUAGUGGUUCUUAACUUAUCGUCAAACAACAUGGUAGGUUCUUUACCUCCAGAAAUUGAAAAUCUAAAGGCUGCGACACUGAUAGAUCUGUCAAUGAAUCAAUUCUCAAAUGGAAUUCCUACAGAAAUUGGAGGCUUGCAAAAUCUGGCAAACCUUUCUUUGAGACACAACAAGUUACAAGGAGCUAUACCUGACUCAAUGAGCAACAUGGUAGGUUUGGAAUUCCUAGACCUUUCUCACAAUAAUAUAUCUGGAAUCAUUCCUAAGUCUUUGGAGAAACUUCAAAACUUGAAGUAUUUCAAUGUUUUUGUCAACAAAUUGUAUGUUGAAAUACCCUCUGGGGUCCUUUCAAGAAUCUCUCGAGUCAGUUUUUCAUCCACAAUGAAGCAUUGUGUGGUUCUUCAAGAUUUCGGGUCCCGCCAUGCCCCACUUCACCAAAGCACAAAUCAAAUAGGGAAAAAUUGCUUGUUCUUUUUCUUUUGCUCGCAAUUGCAGUUGUAUUUGUUACUAUGGCCUUUGUGCUCCUAUGGAUAAGGUAUAGAAGAGGUAAAAGUGCGCCUCAACAAGCUGAGUCAUUGUCUACCGUAACACGAGAAAGAAUUUCAUACUAUGAACUGCUCCAAGAAACGGAUGACCUUAGUGAGAGUAAUUUGAUUGGUUUUGGAAAUUUUGGCUCUGUUUACAAAGGUAUUCUCAGAAGUGGAACUGCCAUUGCAGUUAAAGUGUUCAACCUGCAACUGGAUGCGGCAUUCAAGAUUUUUGAUACCGAAUGUGAUGUUUUGUGCAGCCUUCGUCAUAGGAAUCUCGUUAAAGUCAAUUACUAGUUGUUCCAAUCUUGAUUUCAAGGAUUUAGUGCUCUAGUGUAUGCCUAAUGGAAGUCUUGAGAAGUAUUUUUAUUCGUACAACUAUGUCCUCGACAUCAAGCAGAGACUAGGCAUAAUGAUAGAUGUGGCAUGUGCUUUGGUAUAUCUUCACCAUGGGUGCUCGUUGCCUGUGAUUCACUGUGACGUGAAGCCUAGUAAUGUCUUGAUGGAUGAAGAUAUGGUUGCCCACCUCAGCGACUUUGGCAUUUCAAAACUGCUUGGUGAAGAUCAGGGUGAUUUGUACACUAAAACCUUAGCAACAUUCGGGUAUAUUCCUUUCUUUUUUUCCAACCUAGAAAGCAUAUUGCAUCUUUAGAUGAAUUGUCUGACUGUAGAGUAUGGACUGGAAGGACUAGUGUCAACAAAGUGUGACGUCUAUAGUUAUGGGGUCAUGUUUCUGGAAACGUUUACUAGGAGAAAGCCUAAUGAGUUUGAGGGAGAUCUUAGCUUGAAGCAAUGGGUGAGUUAUUCACUUCCAAAUGCCGUCAUGGAGGUCGUAGAUGCCAACUUGUUAACAUCAACUGGUAAUCGCUUAAAUAAGGAGCGAGAUGGUGUGGCAUCAAUCAUGAAAGUUGCAUUAGAUUGUUGUAACAAAUCUCCAACAAGAAGGACCAACAUGAAAGAUGUUGCAGGGAUCCUACAGAAGAUCAAGAUUCAACUUCUAGCAUGUUGAGCAUGUUGUUGGAAUCUGUUGUUCCAAAUAAUUUGUUUGCCGCAAAUAUUUGAUUAGUUUUGGAUUCCUGUAAUAUUGCCUCUUUCUCUUUUGUUUUAGCACUUUAUUUGUGCAUGAUUCUGUUUUCAGAAAUUCUAGCUGGUUGAAUAAAUCUCACUAUUUCCUUUUAACAAAAACUUAAUUGAUCACCAAAAUCUUGAAAUAGAAUGAUUUAUUUUUGUAAGUGUUAAAGGGAUAUUAACAUGUUGGAGUGUCACAUAUCCCAAUUUCUUCUUCCUCUCCCCUUAUGUUUGUCCGUCAGUGUCCAAAUUACCAAUAAAUUGUCUUCGGCACACAAUUUACAGGGAGACUGCUCAUCUGGACUUUACAUCGUGCAGGCUUUUGAUAGAACUUCACACAAGUGAGGUCUGGGGAGGGUAGAAUGUACGCAGACCAUAAACCCUACCUUGGGAGGUUGAGAUGUUGUUCCCGAUAGAUCCCUCAGCUCAAGGUAAUAUAAAAGAAAGAAAUUCAACGCCGGUCGGGGGAAAAAAAAUUAGCGGAAAACAAUUACUGAAAUAAAAAGACCAUUUUAAAGAGAACUUUAAAAUGCACGGAACAAAACAUAUAUAGAGCCUACAGUAUUUGUACAUUUCCAUGAAAAGUGGAAGGCAGAGGGAUGAAGCAGAUAAAUCAGGAUACUGAAAACAAAAUCUAGCAGAAGUGAACUGUCAUUGGUUGUACGACUUGGUUAUUGCUUUCUAAUAAAUUAUUUUCCUAUUCUGACAUUUUGAGGUGAAGGUCCGUUGUUCUCGAUCUUGUUACUUUUUGUAGUAGCUAAUUCUUCUGGUAUACACAGUUCUACGGACAAUACACAGUUUUAGAUCAUUAUUCCCAUGAGCAGGAUGCUAGCUUAGGCAUCCCUUUGCACGUAUGUCUCCAUUAACUCUUUAGGAAGCAUCUGCUCCCUGCUAAACGACCCAAGAAAUUUGUAAUGAUUGUUGUAGGAGUUAGGCAUCUUUAGACGAAAAAAUUGUCUUUCAGGAUUGAUCAUUCCAUAUUAUCACUUUUCAACUGUUGUAUUUCCUAUCAAAAUGGCUUAUAGACUGUUUCCUAAGACGUAAUCAUGAUUCCACGGAUCUUGUUAGAUGAAAGAUUUUGAAAGAUGACACUAUUUCCAUUCCAAAAGCUCCGCUAUACCAGCAGCACAAACUCAAAAUAUCAGCUAAGUGAAAAGCAGAUGAGCAACAUAAAAAAUGCUGAAAUAUGAUAGCUCAAGAGACAAAAAACAACAAGAUUAAGCAGAAUAUCUGACACUUAGAGACAUCGGCCAAUUUAAAUAUGGAUUAGAAAAUUAUUUUUUAAUAUAUAUAUUAGUGGAAAAAAAUUGGUGAAAUAAAAAGACCAUUUUAAAGAGAACUUUAAAAUGCACGAAACAAAAGAUAUAUAGUAUUUGUACAUUUCCAUGCCUCUUAAUAGUGACAAACCUGAAAAGUGGAAGGCAGAGGGAUGAAGCAAAUAAAUCAGGAUACUUUAAACAAAAUCUAGCCGAAGUGAACUGUCAUUGGUCGUACGACUUAGUUAUUGCUUUCUAAUAGAUUUUUCUGAUAAAACCCCCCAAAAAAAAAAACCUUAUUAACUAUUUAAUUAAAAAAAAGAUUUGAAAAGUCGUUUAAAGAAUCCCAAGAUUAUAAACAACUUUUAAUAAAUGAUAAUCAGGAUUAUUAUAUUAUAGCAAAAUAAGAAAUUUUACCCUUAAGUUACUAAAUUUUUGCUUCAAGCCCAUAGACCUUAUGCAAGUAAAGAAGAUCACAUCCUCUACAUGGACAUAUCUGACAUGAAAAUGUAUGGUUUUGAACUCGUGUUUGAGAAAAGAAGGAUGCCUUGCACGCACGGACAUACCUGAUAUGGAAUAUCAUAUUGUGAUGGUGCAAUUCCUCAAUCAAGGAAUCAAUUCAAAUCCUUGAUUGAGAAAAAAUCCCUUGGGUUUCCUUAUAGAGCAAGAAGCCAAAUCAGCUGAAGGCUGUAAAAGAGAAGAUUGAAGACCGAAGACCCACGCAACUUCACGAGAAAUUCUUAGUGUGUCAAUCUUAGUCUCAAUAAAGCUUUGUACUUCUUAGUUUGCAAUAGUUACAAAAGAGAACAAUCGAGUCAACUUAGUUAUACCUAUUGAGACUGUGUCACAUGAUCUGAAUCCCAAAAUAAGCUUCAGAACUUGUUUACUAUAUUUGUACUCUGACUCUACUUUGAAAGACUCAAGAAAUAAUUGAAACCCAAGGGGACUGGAAGUAGGCACCACAUUGGUGUUCCGAACCAGGAUAAAUCUCUGUGUCAUUUACUUAUUUAUCUGCUUAUAAAUUUAAACUUUAUCUUGUGUUCAGUACUUUAUUCUGCAGGUGAGUUAACUGUCAAGACUAAUCAGUGGACUCAGGAAAGAAUUUUUCAAUUCAAUUCCCCCCCCCCCCCCCACUACACUAAUAACUUUCAAUGAGGCAAAUUUGUAAUACUUCGUAUCAAUCUUAUGUGUUGGUCUUUGUUUUUCGAGCUUAAAUAGGGAUGGGCUAGUAGGUGCUAACAUUAUUUUCUUUUCCCCUUUACCAAUAUGCGAUCCUCUUCCUCUUUCACUCUCCUUCCUAUCUUAUCCACCAAAUGAUGCACAGUCCCUCUUGAGAAACUUUCCUCAAUCUAUACUCUUGAGAACAUCUCUGCAGAAAAAGCAGGCACAGUCCCUUUCCGUUUUUAUGAUUUUGACGGUAAGAAGGGAUGCCUUGAAGCAACAGUAAAGUUGUUCUCCGUGGAAUAAGCCAUUAAUGUUUGCAUCGUGAUGGCUGUCUACCUACAUCGAUGGAGUAUGGACCUUGCCUGGAUCCAGCCGUAACGCAAGACGCUGCUGCAUGCAUCAGGCUGCCUUUAUCAUUUCGACACUAAAUCUGUAGAUUUGAUUGACUCCUCUCCUCGCUAAUCUAAUGACAGCUUAUUAAUGACCAAAUAUAAGCCUAAUAAUGGACUUGAAUACAAGUACCAUCAACAUUAAGAAUAUUUGGAGUCUAAUUUGCAAAAGCUUAAAUAUCAUUAGCAUAAAGUUACUUCAAGCAUCAACGAUCAAAGCUGCUAAUAUGAAUACCAAAAGUUGCAUAACCUUAUACUGAAUCACUAACGCCCAAAGCCAUCAACGUCAUAACCUUAGGCCAUCAACGUUAUGUUCUCUCAGUGUUGAAACCUAAAUUCUCUAUGCCUCAUCUCAAUGUAUUAGCAGCUUAACAUUCACUGUCAAGACACUGCACUUCAAGGCUGCGUAUACACAUCACCCUACCCGGACCCCACUUCUGGGAUUACACCGGGUAUGUUGAUCACUGCACUUUAACUUGUGCACUAUAAUGAUAUUGUCGUUCUUCCCACUUGUACGAAAAGUAACAGGAUGCUUCUUAAAGAACCAUUCUCCCAAAACUUCAUGUUGAUAAAAAAAAUAUGCAACAGUCAGUUUAUAAUCGAGAGAAAGCAACAAAAUUGAAUGUCACUCCCCUCUUGAUCGAGUACUCAUGAGUAAAUCUUGGAUUACAAAAUGUUAAAAGCUUAGAACAAUCAAGAAGUAGCAAAAUGCAUCUGUCAUUCCUCACGGCUAUAGCCUAUAUUACUGUACAAUAGCUAAUGAAUUGUAAGCUUUCUCAAGAUAUCACCUUCUUAAUUACAUGCCACAAGGAAGAUCUUGCUUUGAUUAGGGAGUUCGCUGUAUCACAGAGCAGGAGCUAUAAUAGAGAACUGUUUAAUCGUCCUUAAAGGACUAAUAACCAACCAACAUUUCCAUACACUAGCAAAAAUGGACAAUAUAUUAUAGGUCAAAAGGCGUUCUCAGAUAAGCAAUUCUUUUAUUCACUUGUGCGAUUACCAAAUAAUCUAGGCUGUAGAUACAUUCCGUUACGUACAGAGAGAUCUUGUAUAAGCCAAAUUAAACUUCAUCUUAGGGGAAAUAUUCAUAUCCUUAAAUCUGGAUAGAAACGAGGCUGUAUCCUACUCCAUAUAAGUACUUGGUGUUCAGGAUCGGAGAUACGAAAUUAAACUGAAAUUCAUUUAGUCUUGGUAAUUGCAAUACACAUACAAGAACGAGUAUGCAACUGAUUGCUCCAUCAAAGAAGCUUUACUUGCAAAAUUUAGUUACGAUCUUUGUAGACACCUAAUUUUAUCCCUCCCGAAGUCUAAUUUUAUUCAUUUUUAGUUCACCUUACCAUGUCUCCAACCCCAUGUAAUUAUAUCCCACAAAAAUACAAAAAUAAACAAAAACAAUACCUCUUAACUAAUUUAUCUUAUCCUAACAACCUACCCAAUCAAAAUUUUCCACCUCCCUACCCACUCACAUUUUUAUCCUCACACAAUACAUUAACAACAAAAAGAAUGGGGACCCACAGGGUACACCUAACAAAGAAAGGACUCCAUUUUUUCGAAUCCCCAAGCUGCACACACAUAUACUCAUAUACACAUACACAAAAUGGAUUCUCAUUUUUGGGGCUCCCUUUUCUUGGUAACAACUAGACCAACACAGAACCCAGUCUUGGCACCAUUAACGCAUAUCCAGGUUGGGGACGGAAAUCAAGUGAAAAGAAAAGAGACAAAAUGAGAGUGAGAGGGAGAUAUCGGAAAUAGUGGGAGAGAGAGUUGAGAGAAUUUCUUUCUUUUUCCGGCGAUUCUAGCCGGAAAAUGUCACUGCCGUCCUUUCUUUCUUCAUUUUUUGUCACUCUCGGAGCUCGAUGGAGCUUGUUGAAGCUCUGGUGACACGGAAACAAUCAAGUCCAACUCCGUCUCACGUUGGAUUCCAUCCAAAUCUGAUCUGAAUCUCUCCUGGUUCAGUGAUUUCUGUUUCGGGUUUAGCAGAUUCACCGAAAUCCAGUCCAGGUCAUUCUUUGUUGAGUUCAAAAUUUGAAAUUCUAAAAUCUCAUCUGCCAGUCUCGGUUUGUUCGUAUUUCAUUGUUGGUAUUCAUCUAUUUUUCGCAAAGUGCUAUUACGAGUCGAGUUUCGGGUCUGUUACGGUUCGAACUGAUUUGAGAGUUGAGAUUUCAUAGUAUUCUUUGAGGUUCUUGGACGGGAUCUUAUUUCUCUUAUUAAAAUCAAUCGAAAGCUCUUGAGGUCCAUCUCUUUACUCCCUUUCUUUCUUCUUUAUUUUAUUUUUUUUAAAUGGCUAUGAUUAUGUGUUUGAUGAUCUUGAUUGGAUGAUCUUAUCAACGUUGAUAUUUCUUGUUUAUGGAUAAUUGAUUGUGGAACAAAUUUGAUGAUUAGUAUAGGUUGGAUAAUCAUGUCUCGUAAAAGAAAUUUGUGUUGAAAAGCAAUUUGGGGAAUAAGAAUCGAAAAUUGAUAAAAUUGAAUAUUAUAGUAUUUUGAUUAAUCGUUGACGUUGAACGUGAUAUGUCGUCUAGUUCAGAAUAAACAUUAGGUCGACCAUUGAUAGAUAAAUAUAAGUGGGUUAGGCAAAGUUUAUGACUUGCGAUCGUUGAAUGUUGAAGGUGUUUUGUUGAAAUGUGUUGGUUUAUGUUUUCGAAUUGAAGUGUAUUCAUUUGGCCGGGGAAUGCCCCGAAGAUUGAUGUAUUUAUUCACCGAGUAUCAUGUUGAAGAAGGCGGAUCUCAAUCAAGGCGCAAGGCAUCGGGUAAAACUUCGGAGCAUAUUUUAGGAUUAGUUUAGAAUAUGAUUUAUAUUUUUUUGUAUUUUUCUAUUUUUGGAUUGUAAUAAUUGGACUAGACACUAUAAUUUUGAAUUUGUUUGUUUGUAUUAUUGAUUGAUUGGUUUAUAUAUUUUUGUGUGGUUUAUACACUCUUAGUAUCGAAUUAGCCGAUAUGCUCCACCAAGAGACCAUUGUCGAACCACGGGAUUGAGGGAUGCCUAACACCUUCCCCUUGGUCAACAGAAUUCCUUAACCAGAAUCUCUGUUCACGGAUCAGUUUAAAAGAGUCAAAAACAGUUUUGAAAAAGGAUUCCCAAAAGUGACUUGGCAAACCUAAUUAUGUCAUGUGGCGACUCUAAGUUUAAAAGUAAAUAAUCCUUUUCGAAACAAAUUUUCAUCUUUUGUCACUUUAAUAAUAAAACCCUUUCGAAACUAAAAUCCAUCUUUUCGGAGUUAAAAAGGGGGUGUGACAAUCUUAAUGCAUGUUAAAUCAAUAUAUACGAGUAAAAACUACUUAAGUGAGCUCACAUGUGUUAUCAAGACGAAAGACGAGAGAUUCUGAAACAUAAACGUAAGGUAUUUGAAACCAAUACAAACGAACCUGCUUCAGAAGGAUCUGGCACCAGAAGCAUGGCGUUUGGUUCCAUCUGCAUAGUUUGUUCAAAGUAAAUACCAAGUUCUGCUCCCUCAUACUGGAAAGAAUCAAACCUUGUCAGAUAUGUCACAACUUAAAAAAGAAAAAUGUUGUUGUCUCGGAAAUGUAAACAUACUGUCGCCUCCCUCUGUUGACGCAUACUAGGAAUCUGCUCCAUCAAGUGGCUGUAUGACACAUGAAAAUCAAAACUAGUUAUAUAUCUUCUCAUCAGAACUUCAACAACAAAAUUGAUGCUUUCACUAAUGAAAUAUCAUAGAAAUAACUAGUUAUUCAAGGAAAUUAACACAGCGAAUAGGAUAAAUUCAACUUUACAGUCAUAAUUGUAUUGCACAAAACCCAAUGGAAACAUUAUUUUGUUCAGAACAAAGCAGCAUAAUAUAACAUGAAGUUAAGUUAACAAGUAAACACUAUAAAAUACAUCAAGAUGUUACCUAGAAUUGGUAACAAAUCGUGCCCUCUUACUGCGACGAAUCUCAAGAAAUCUUAAAUUAGAUGUCACUUCUCCCUCAUCCGUUGUCCUUGAAUGGCAUUACUCUUGCAAUCUCUCAGGAGUAAAUGCCGGCACCACGGGAAGAUUUAUGAAUUAAAUUUAGCUUUUUUUUUUAUUGAGACUACUAUAAUCUAAAUGAACGGUUUUUUUAAAUAUUCUCAAGCUGCACAAACUAUGGACAAUGUGGUACCUCAAGUCCCAUAUGUUGUGCCAGUUAGCUCUCUUACUAUGCAUCGUUUGGUCCUUAUUUUAUAAAUUACAAUGUCUUCGUUAUGAUGUCACUCUUUUGUCCCAAAUAUAGGCACAUAACAUAUCACCUGUGGUGCAGGCCUUUAGUCCUGAGAGACCGUAAGAGCAAUGCCCUAUCGAUCAAACUGUGGAGAUGGAACCAAAUCCCCGUGCCCUUAAAAAGAUUAAGCUUUCGGUACCAGAACCUUCGAAAGCAGUUCGUUGUAUUGGUUUCAAAUAUAUUGUGUUCAUAUUUUCGAAUCUUUUGUCUUUGAUCUUGAUAACACAUGUUAGCUCACCUAAGAAGUUUAUGCUCUUAUACAUCGACUUAACAUGCAUUUUGAACCACAAUACCAAUGUCAAUUUUUGUUAGUGUCUGAAAAUGUUAUGACUGUGUGGAUGAUCUGUUUGUCAAUUAUAAGAUCUUCAAGGACAAUUAAAUAGUUCUCCGUUGUAGAGAAAACUCAUAUUAGAUUCUUUGUUGCUGAUCUUUAUAAGUUGUUCCGUCGUCUCCAGCUCUGGGAUGCAGCAAACACCCUAGUCUAAUCAAUAUCUAACGAUUUUCCGAUCUUCCUCUUGGCAUGGCAUUAAGAAGGUGAUAAGUUUGAGAAAUAUCAUAAUUCGUUAGCUGUUAAACCGUAUAUGUAGGCUAUAUGUAUCAUGAACUAAGACAGAUGAAUUUCUCAUGACACAUAUAGCCUACAUAUACGGUUUAACACCUAACGAAUUAUGAUCUUUCUCAAACUUGUCACCUUCUUAAUGCCAUGCCAAGAGGAAGAUCGUAAAAUCGUGAGAUAUUUAUUAGGCUAGGGAGUUUGCUGCAUCCCAGAGCUGGAGACGACGGAACAACUGAUAACGAUCAUCAACAAAGAAUCUAAUAUGAGUUUCCGUUACAACGGAGAACUAUUUAAUCCUCCUUGAACAACUUAUAAUUGACAAACAGAUCAGACACACAGACAUAACAUUUUCAAACACUAACAAAAAUUGACAUUGGUAUUCUGGUUCAAAAAUGCAUGUUAAGUCGACAUAUAAGAGGAUAAAAUUCUUAGGUGAGCUCACAUGUGUUAUCAAGAUCAAAGACAAAAUUUUGAAACACAAACACAAAGUAUUUAAAACCAAUACAACGAACCUUCUUCCAAAGGUUCUAGCACCGAAAGCUUAAUCUUUUUAAGGGCAUGGGGAUUUGGUUCCAUCUCCAUGGUUUGAUCGAUGGGGCAUUGCUCUUGCGAUCUCUAAGGACUGAAGACCGGCACCGCAAGUGAUAUGUUAUGUGCCUAUAGUUAGGACAAAAGAUUGACAUCAUAAGGGAGACAUUGUAAUCUAUAAAAUAAGGACCAAACGAUGCAUAGUAAGAGAGCUAACUAGCACAACAUAUGGGACUUGAGGUACCACAUUGUCCAUAAUUUGUGCAACGUGAUAAUUUAUUAAAAAAAAGGUUCAUUUAGAUUAUAGUAGUCUCAAUAAAAAAAAAAAAGCUAAAUUGAACUUAGAAAAGUCUACAGAACACCUAAUCAUAGGGCUCUUCAGCAUGCUUGGCCUGAUUCAAAUUGAACAUACUGAAGAACUCAUACCACCAAUCUUCUAGGAAUACCUCCUGAGAUUCGACAGUCGAAAAAAAUCGCAGAAUUAAAUAAUUGUACAUUAGCACAACACCACAAACAAAAUGAUCAGUCACUAUAUUGUGAACAUCCUUCCAAAAUAAAGAAUAGCAAUUAAUGCAAAUUUAGAAACAUGAAAAGCAUUUUCCAGAAAAACUUAACCUCCGAUAAGUGCACCAAAAACUUCAAAGUGUUGCAUUAUCAAUUAUUCCAUUCAAUCUAUUUUCUAUGGGUAGUCUUUUCUUUUUAGACCGUUUAAAAAUAAUAAUAAGAACAAGAACAACAAAAUUCUAUAUCUAAAUUUUUUUAAUAAUAUUUUUAUUUUAAUGAUAUGUAAAUAUAAGAAUUGACAUGGCAUGUUGAAACCUACUACUAUAUAUCAAGGAUACUUUUAAUAUGUUAACACUCCGUUUAUCCUAUGUAAACUUUCCUUAUUAGUUUGCCCUCAACAAAAUGACUCAAUUAUAUAUUUUAGAAUAAUUUAACUCUAAAAUUCGCAUUUUACUAUAAUAAUUUAUAGUCACAUGUCUAAAGUUUAUUUUAGCAGCCAUGUUUCAAAAGACUUCCUUUAUUUCUUAAAAUCACUCCCUAAGGCACAUAGCUUUUAAAUAAAGAAUUAAUAAUUUUGUGGUAAAAGAAUUCCUUUAUUCCUUAAAUGCACGGCAUUUGAAACCAAUACAAACAAACUUGCUUCAGAAGAAUCUGGCAUCGAAGCAUAUCCGUAGUAGGAGCAUCGGAGUUUGGUUCCAUUAGCGUAGUUUUUUUAGUGUAAAUACCAAGCCCCUCUCCUUCAUCCUGGAAGGAAUAAAACCAGCAGUUAUGUCGCAACUUUAAAAAAAAUAUGUUGUCGUCUCGGAAAUGUAAACACAUACGCUGGCCUCCCACUGUUGAGGCAUAUAUGGAAUCAGCACCGUCGGGUGGCUGUAUGACACAUGAACAUUAAAAAGAGUUUGAAAUCUACAGAUUCGAGAACUUCAACAAUCAAAUCGAUGCUUUCACUAUGCAAUAUCUAAGUAAUAACUAAUUAUCACUAUGCAAUAUAAGUAAUAACUAUUAUGAUGGCCAAACAAGCAUGCCAACUUAGUUUUUGGACCAAGCAGACCGAUAGCAAACAACUUCUUAUCUUGAAAAUAAGAACCAGAUCUUCCAAUCUGGAACCUCCAUUAAUCACGGUUUCACUUUAAGUCAUCCCGAAAGCCUAUUAUCCCCGUAUGUUUCCAAAAUCAUAAAGUUCCAAAACACCUCUAUCAUAGGAUCUAUGUUGCUCAGAUUCUCCAACAAUGUCAUUGGGUCCGUGUCGGAUCCUUCAAAAGUAGUGCACUUCUGAAGGAUCCGACAUAGGUGCGGCCACAAUUUUUGGAGAGUCCGAGCAACUUAGCAUAGGGUUACUCAACCCCUAAAUUUGUGUUCCUUUUGAAGCCCUAAACUCAACUCUACUAUGAUUUAUAUAUACUUUGGAUGGAGAGGAAGGUCGUCAGCUGAUGGCACCACGUCACUAGUCUUACCUCCCUUUUGUCCUAACACUGUCACUUAAAUAUACCCUCUGCGAUCUCAUCAUUUAAUCAUGAAUUUAUGCCAUUAUUGGUAAGCAUCGUACAGUUAUCUGUGUAAUCAUGCAAAAGGAAGGAACUAUUCAACGCAUGGUUACUUAGUUGCCAUUUAGAUCAAAUAUUCAAAUCAGACAAGAAGUAAUAUUCGUUUGACUGUUUCUUGAAAUGAAAGAAACGGAUCAUAUUUUAGGCAUGUCAAUCAUCAGACAACAGAAACUCAAUGAGCAACGUCAAUGGCCAAAAAGUGCAUAUUUUAGGUAUCAUCUGAAGAAUCAAUUUCAGCUCCUUAUAACCACAGCUCUUCACUUACUUAUACGAGAAAAACUAAGUGUCAUUUUAUUAUUAAGCCAGAUCAUAUCUCAAAAUAUUUUCCAAUUUAAAUCCACAUAGAUGGCUCACUCUUUUUUUCGUUUGUUUGAUAAUUGUGGUGUCCGGGCCAGCUUUCACGUACCUCGAUUAAAUCCACUAGCAACAGGUGACUCUGUCCACCAGGACAGAUGGGAAGAAUCACCUUCUUGCUGUGCGAAGGUAUAUUAAUUAUUGCAGGCACUACUAUAAUAACUUGACAAACCUGAAGCACAAAAAAUGAAAAGAAGCACAUUAAAAUUCUCAGUAUAGCAGUAAGAUCUUUUAUUUUUUUUGAAGAAUUACAUAGCGAGCAUGAAACAGUUCAUUCAAAUUGUUGUGCGUAAUUUAAAUUUAGUAAACAACAAAUAUGGAGGAACAUAUUUUUUCCCUGGGAGGAUACAAUGAUAUUUUUAACUAACCCACCUUUAUGUUGGCGUGGGAUGACGUAGACCAUAAUAUAAGCAUGAAAACAGUGUGCUACAAGAUAUGUUUAAAUGUAUAUUAUUUCUUAUAGGAUUUUGUAAAAAGUAAUCAGAAAGCAUGAUAGGGAGCUAUGAGACGUAAAAGAAAAGCAGAGGCAAAUCUUGAAUUUAAGCCCUAUAGGUUCAACCGUUAAUAUUUGUCAUAUCGAACCCAUUGUAUUUUUGAAAUUAUUGAUUCAUACAUACUAGUCAUCAAAAUUUUACUAGAUUUUUACGCAUAAGUCAUAUUUUGCAUUGAAAGUAAUGUGUGCAGAUGAAACCAGGACCACAACACUAUACCCGCCUCUUAUGGAAAGCCACACUUACUAUUAAGACCACGUAUUCAAACAACCUUGCGCAACAACCACCAAGUCAUUAGAAAAUAAAAUGAGAUUGAGCCUUUAUUGUUUAUGCAUUUAUGAUGAUUUGUUGAAUUGAAAACUGAAAAAACAGAGGUUUCUAUUUCAUUAUAUAUUUAUAUGUUUAAUUUAUGCUCUAUCCCUAUGAUGAUUAUAAGAGACAAGAGAAAGGAAGUCGCAAAUGGAAUAUUUCUAUUUAGUUUACAAUAUUCUCUAAUACAACUUGCCAAGUCGGACGCCUCUAGUAUUAUCUUGUGGAAAUUGGAAUGACCGAGGUAGAAGUGUUUUAGACUACUUGAAGAAUAUAGAAACCGAUCAAUGUAAUGGGAAAUGAAUUUCAGACAUGUUAAGAUGGCAAGAUUUUUGAUACAAUCUUAGGAGAAUCACACCCCAAAAUCUAGCUAUUAAGGUGGGAGAGCUCAACAUCAGUUCCCUAUAUAACCGAUGUGGGACUUUUAGCAAUAGGAUCAUAAUAAACCACCACACUCCGCAUCUAUCGUCCUUAACGGCUCCACUCUCGGUUUCUUUCACUCUAUUUGUGUACGUAGCUUUUUCCCAAUUAGCCCUUUUUGGGUGAGGUGCUAGGCGCCUUGAGGGCUAUGCUCUAGAUAUUGCUAGCUCUGGCCGAACAGUGCCAUACCAGCUUCACCACCCAAGGUAUGGUGGGCAUGGAGGGUGAUGGGUGGCUCCGAUACCAUUGAUACAAACUUAGGAGAACCACGCUUCAAAAGUUAGCUAUUAAGGUGGGAAAGCCCAUCGUCAUAUAAGCCCCACAUCAGCUCCCUAUAUAACCGAUGUGGGACUUUUUGCAACAGGACUAUAACAACGAAAAACAAUUCAAGCGAGAAGCAAUUCAAGCGAGGAUUUGUUGCUUUCUGAGCGAAACAAUGCGCUUCAAAUGAAGACACGCAAAAAAUCCUAACCAUAACUUAAUUAUAUCAUUAAAUUCAUACAUGUAUUGUUCUUAUUUUAGUUUCCAUAACUUCUGCGUUUUACUUCAUUGUGUACUUUAUAUUCUAUAUUAUGAAAAUUAUAACGAAAAGUGGAAGGAAGUCACAAAUGGAAUGUUUCUAUUUAGUUUAUAACAUUCUCCAUCACUACUACUUGUACCAGGUCGGACCCCUCUACUAAUAACUUGCUGAAAUUGGAAUGUCCAAGAUAAAAAGGUUUUAUACUACUUGCAAAGCCAAAGUAGAUUAAAAUAUGUUUGAUUUAUACUAAGCUACUUGCACAAGUGAUCAAAGUAAAUAAAAGAAACUUUCCUUCAUGUUAUGAUGGCAAGAUCAGCUAAGACUCAUAGUGUUAUUAAGGGUCAGAGUUUUCCCUUUUAAAGCGAUAAAGCACGCCAAGCGAGGAGUUAUCUCUUCACGAGGAAGAGACGAUGUUUUAGAGAAAUGUGCGCUCAAAUGAUGAUGCGCAAAAUAACUCCACUGAUAAGCAGUUAUUUUUGGCAUAAAUAUGAGGAAUUGGAUUAAUAUAGCUUUAGUAUAGCAUUAAAUUCAUAUAUAUUAGUUUUUUUUUGGUUUUCUGUAACUCGUGUGCUUUACUUCACAGAAGCAUGCGCUUUAGUUCUCACUUUUCGCUUCACGCCCAUACAUCUUGUUUCCUUUUUGUGCUUUUCGCUUUUCAAAACAUUGGAGCCUAUUGGUCUAAGCUUGCUUGACAGCGUGAUCAUUACAUCAAUAAUGACGAGAGUGGGCGAAUCAAACUAGUGUUCUCAUAUGGAAGGCUCUACUCUUUUAAGUCUAGUUCAUCCGUUUCUCUGAGAAAGAAUUCUUGGUCUACUCUACUCUUGAGGUAAUCUCAAGAGAUCACACAUAUAAAUCACUUGUAAUAAAAUUUUUUAGCAAGAACAGUAAAAUUGUCUCUGUGUGACCUACAGGUCAUGGGUUCGAGACGUCAAAGCAACCAUUAAUGCUUGCAUUAGGAUAGCUUAUCUACAUCACAACCCUUGCAAUACGGUCUACCCUUCUAAUGUGGAAUGCUUGGUGCACCAGUUGCCACUGUGUCACUUUUAGUUCACAAGUUCGAGCAAUGGAAUCAGCAAUUGAUGCUCGCAUCAGAGUAGGCUGCCUACAUUGUAUCGCUUGGGAUAUGGCCCCUCCCCAAACCUUGCGUAAACACAGAAUCCUUCAUGCAUCAAAGUAAUUGCGUAAACACAGAAUCCUUCAUGCAUCAAAGUAAUCUAUAGAUAUGAUUGACUAGGCUUCUCGCUAAUCUAAGAAAGGCUAAUUCACAACCAAGGAAGAAUACGAUCUUUUAUAUAUACCUAACAAUGGACUUGAAUACAAGUACCAUCAAUAUAUUGUUUCUUUAAAUUAAGUAAAAGAAAUUCAGCUGUCUUUAUUCAUGGCAUAUAUAGCCUACAUAUACUUUAUAACAGCUACGAAUUAUAAUCACCUUCUUAAUGCCAUGCCAAGAUUAAGAUCAGAAAUCGCGAGAUAUUGAUCAGUUCGCAGUACCUCUGACCUGGAGUCAAUGGAAAAACCUAACAACGAUAAUCAACAAAGAAUCUGACAUGAGUUUCCGUUAUAAUAGAGAACUAUUUAAUUUUCGCUGAAGAGCUUAUAAUUGACAAUCAAAUCAUCCACACAGCCAUAACAUUUUCAUACACUAACAAAAAUUGACAUCAGUAUCCUGGUUCAAAAUGCAUACUUUGACAAGUCAAAACAAAAAACUUUUUGAGUCACUUCUGUAAUGACCAAAUAAUCUAGGCCAUAGAUACAUUCUUUCUAGCAGUAUUUGGUUAUCAUCUUAAUGCAUGUUAAGUCAAUGUAUAAGAGUAUAAACUACUUAGGUGAGCUCAUAUGUGUUAUCAAAAUCAAAGAUAAAAGAUUCUAAAACAUAAACUCAAAGUAUUUGAAACCAAUACAACGAACCUGCUUCCGAAGGUUCUGGCACCGAAAGCUUAAUAUUUUUAUGGGCACAGGGACUUGGUUCCAUCUGCACAGUUUGAUCAAAAGGGCAUUGCCCUUGUGAUCUCUCAGGACUAAACGCCCGCACCGCAGAUAAUAUGUUAUGUGCCUAUAGUUAGGACAAAAGAUUGACAUCGUAAGGGAGACAUUGUAAUCUAUAAAAUAAGGACCAAACGAUGCAUAGUAAGAGAGCUACCUGGCACAGCAUAUGGGACUUGAGGUACUACAUUCUCCAUAGUUUGUGCAGCCAGAGAAUUUAUAAAAAAUCAAUCAUUUAUAUUAUAGUUGUCUCAAAAAAAAGUUAAAUUUAACCUGGAAAAGUCUAGAGAACACCUCAGCAUAGGGUUCUUCGUUAUGCUCGGCCUGAUUAGAGCUUAACAUACUGUAGAACUCAUACCACCAAUCUUGUAGAAAUAAAUCGCAGAAUUAAAUAAUUGUAUAUUAGCCCAACAAAAUGAUCAGUCACUAUGUUGUGUACAUCCUUCCAAAAUAAAGAAUAGCAAUUAAUGCAAAAAAAUAACUUCCGAUAAGUGCACCAAAAACUUCAAAGAAUGACAUUAUCAAUCAUUCCAUACAAUCUUUUUUCUAUGAGUAGUCUUUUCUUUUUAGAAAUAAUAAUAAUAACAACAACAACAACAACAACAAAAUUCUAAUUUAUAUGGCAAACUUUCCUUAUUAGUUUUUCCUUAACAAAAUGAAUCAAUUAUAUGAAUAAGAAUAAUUUAACUUUAAAAUUCUGAUUUUACUAUAAUAAAAAUUUUAUUUUAACCAUCAUGUUUCAAAAGACUCCCUGUCUUUCUUAAAAUCACUCCCUAUGUCACAUAAAUUUAAAUAAAGAAUUAGAAAUUUAAUUUGUGGUAAAAGACUUUCUUUUUUUCUAAAACGCAGGCAUUUGAAACCAAUACAAAAAAACCUGCUUCAGAAGUAUCUGGCAUCGGAAGCAUAGUCGUAGCAAGAGCAUCGGAGUAAUUUGGUUCCCUCUGCUUAGUUUGUUCAGCGAAAAUACCAAGUCCCUCUCCUUCAUCCCGUAAGGAAUAAAACCGACAGUUAUGUCGCAACUUAAAAAAAAUAUGUUGCUGUCUUGGAAAUGUAAACACAUACUCUUGCCUCCCAUUGGUGAGGCAUAUCUGGUAUCAGCUCCAUCGGGUAGCUGUAUGACAUAUGAACAUCAAAAAGAGUUAGAAAUGUACAGAUUCACGAACUUCAGCAACAAAAUUCAUGCUUUCACUAUGCAACACAAAAUUGAAUAAAUUCAAUUUUACAGUCAUAAUUGCAUUGCACAAAACCCAAUGGAAAUGUGAUUUUGUUCAAGAACGAAGCAGAAUAGAUAUAACACAAUGUUAAGUGAGGAGUGCAAACAAUAUAAAAUAUAUCAAGCGCAGUAAUGUUUGUCUGGAUAAGCAAUAAACAAAACAUGUUGUUACCUAAAAUUGGUUUCAAAUGGCACCAGCUGAGUUGGAUGAUGCGUAUCAACAAAGCUUAAAGCAUACAUCAGCACAUAGUCGGGUAUUGUCAGGUGGAAGACCGGCACCAUAGGAGAUAUAUUAUGCUCAAACAAUAGCAUGGUAGAAUGAGACGACAGUGCCGAAAGAGCGGAGGGGAUAUUAGCUACAACAUUUCCAAUAGUAUUUGUUGCCUGAGAGUUCAAAAAAAUCAUUCAUUUAGAUUAUAAUAGUCUUUGAAAAAUAUGAACUUAACUUGGAAAAGUUUAGGUAACACCUCAGUACUGGAUUCUUGGGCACGCUCAGCCUGACGAAACGUGUAUGUGUCAUAGAAAAACCCACCACUCCUUUAGAAACCCCUCCGGGGAUUCAAUAGCUAAAACAAAUGGCAGAAAUCAAAUAAUUGUACAUUAGCACAUCACCACAAANNNNNNNNNNNNNNNNNNNNNNNNNNNNNNNNNNNNNNNNNNNNNNNNNNNNNNNNNNNNNNNNNNNNNNNNNNNNNNNNNNNNNNNNNNNNNNNNNNNNNNNNNNNNNNNNNNNNNNNNNNNNNNNNNNNNNNNNNNNNNNNNNNNNNNNNNNNNNNNNNNNNNNNNNNNNNNNNNNNNNNNNNNNNNNNNNNNNNNNNNNNNNNNNNNNNNNNNNNNNNNNNNNNNNNNNNNNNNNNNNNNNNNNNNNNNNNNNNNNNNNNNNNNNNNNNNNNNNNNNNNNNNNNNNNNNNNNNNNNNNNNNNNNNNNNNNNNNNNNNNNNNNNNNNNNNNNNNNNNNNNNNNNNNNNNNNNNNNNNNNNNNNNNNNNNNNNNNNNNNNNNNNNNNNNNNNNNNNNNNNNNNNNNNNNNNNNNNNNNNNNNNNNNNNNNNNNNNNNNNNNNNUAUAGAUGCUUGGGUUAGUGUAGCCUACCUAGGUCACAUCCCCUUGGGCUGCAGGCCUUUCUCCCGGACUUUGAUGAAUGCAUGAUGCUUCGUGCCUCAAUAUUAUCAUUGAUUUGAAGUUAGCUAUGAUGCUUGGUUAGGAUAGGAUGCCUAGGUUACAUCCACUUGGGUGGGGGGCCUUUAUUCCGGACAUUGGGUGAAUGCACAAUGGUUUGUUCCUCGAUAUUACCAUUCAUUUGAAAUUAGAUAUUGAUGCUUGGGUUAGGGUGGCCAACCUAUGUUACAUACCCUUGGGCUGCAGACUUUGGGCGAAUGCAGGAUGCUUCGUGCCUCAAGAUUAUCAUUCAUUUGGAGUUGGCUACAUCCACCCAAGCAUCAUUCGCUAACUCUAAAUGAAUGAUAAUCUCGAGGCACAAAGCAUCCUACAUUCACCCAGAGUCCAGGAAAAAGUCCCCCCACCCAAGUGGAUAUAACCUAGGUAGCCUAUCCUAACCCAAGCAUCAGAGGUAACUUCAAAUGAAUGAUAAUUAGGAGGCACGAAGCAUCACCCAUUCAUCCAAAGUCCGGGAAAAGGAUCUGCAGAUCCAAGGGAUGUGACCUAAGUAGGCUACCCUAACCCACACAACAGUAGCUAACUCCAAAUGAGUGAUAAUCUCGAUGCACUAAGCAUCCUGCAUUCACCCAAAGUUACCUACACAGCCUACUCUAACUCAAGCAUCAAUAAAUAAUUUCAUGGUUACCCAUGACUUAUGCAAGAUUUUAGACAACUUUUAAUAAAUGAUAAUUGGGAUUCUUUGUUAAAUGACCUUUUCAACUCUUCUUUUUAAUUAAAUAGAUUACAAGUUUUUUUAAGGGAAAUAACCCAUUUUUAAGACAUCUAUUAUUUAUUCGACCGAUAUAUAGACAGAUUGAUUAAAUCGAUCCGACAAAUCGAUUGUCGAUCCGAUAAAUCAAUUAUCGAUCUGACCUAUAUAUGGACAGAUCAAUUAUCAAUUCGACAGAUCGAUCAUCGUUCCAACCUAUAUGUGAAUAGAUCAAUUAUCAAUCUAAUAAAUGAAAAAAUAGAAGUAGGUCAUUUUGAUAAUUGAAAACUUGAAGAGGCUUAAUAGCCAAACAAUUUCAGUAGAUCAUUUUGCAAAUUGAAAAUUUAAAGAGGUUUAAUAGCCAAACGAUAAUUAAGAUUAUAUUAUAGCACAAUAAUAAGUUCAAAUCAAAAAUAAUUUUUAUUAAAAAAAAACUUACCAACAUGAUUGGGAUCAACAACAUUAGCUUCAAUGGGAAAUAAAUCAACAGUCAGAUGCAACCCCUUUUUAACCAAGUAAUCAUGCACAUACUUGUCAAACCUGAAAUUUCCAAUAGAGAAUCAUAAAUUAUUUUAUUAUGUGGCGUAAUCAAAAUUUUGACAUUUAAACUUAGUCAUAAAAAGUUUAAGUUUUAUGAAAUAAAAUUAAUAUAAUUAGUAAAUUUAAGUAUUUAAAAAUUAGAUAAAAAAUUUCGAUGAAAAAAUAAUUUAAUUUACUCUCAAAUUUGUAUUAUUGAUUAUUAUUAAAAUUUUCCCUUGUGUUAUUUUAAAUUGGUCAAUUUUAUCAUUAAUUAGAUUUUUGUGUCUAUUCCUUGCCUUGGAAUUAAUGAAUUGUCUCAUAUUUGAUCCCAUCAUUAAUUGAGGUCUUAUCUGAAUAAGUGGACUUUUAAGUGUCCAAAUUAUUUAGGAAAAAAGUAGUUACUCCUAUUUACUCUUUAAAAUUGGAUUAAAAUUUAAUAUUAUCUCAUUAAAAUGAUAAUAAUAGUAAUAUCUAUUCAGUGUAAUUUUAUAGAUGGAGUCUGAGAAGAGUGAUGUGUACAUUAUUUUAUUUCUUGGUCAAAAAUUGUGGAAUUAAGAUUUCUUGGUCACUUAUAAAUAAAUAAAUAACAUAAAAUGAUCUUUUCAAAUCUCAUUUGAGUAAAUAUUAAGAUCUUUCGUAAAAAAGACAUAAAAUUAAAGAAAUUGUAAGUGACCUAAAAUAUAAAUGUGCACAAAAAUAAUUGAACAAGUUUUAAUCCUAUUCAUUUAUUAAUACGGCCCGAUUUAAUCCUUUCAAAUAGAACCCAAUUUUUUUCUUAAGACCACCAAGUGAGACAUUUUAUUUAUUCCACACUAAUCUCAUAUCACUUGUUUCAAUCAAAAUAUAUACAUUUUCCCUACUUUUAUAACUUAAAAAUAACUAUCAAAACAUAAGAAAAAAAUAUUUCCAAAAAAUCAUCAAGAUAUAACAUGUCAUAUAAGUUUAUUUGACUAAAAAUGAGCAUUUAAACUUAAAAUUAUGUGAACAUAAAAACAGGAAAGAAUGAAUAUAACCAAAGAAUCAUUAAAAAAAAUUAGAGUUAACAAAAAAAAAAUCAUGAUAACACAUAUGGAGAAAACAUCAAAAAUUUAAUUAGAAAAAUAGUUUUUAUGCAAAAACUUACAUCAUUUGAUUGCUCCACGAACCCAUAAUCACUAAAGAAGAAAAAGAAAAAAGAGAAUAAAAAAAUGAAAGUGAAGAAAAGAAGAAGAGAGAAUAGUGGAUAAAGACAGAAAAAAAAGAUACCAAGAAGAGAAAACAAGAUUAUAAUUAUAUAUUGAAGAGAAGUUAAUAGCAUGCAAAAUCUAAAUAAAAGAAACGAUAGAAACCAACAAGAAAAAUUUGACUUGAAAAUAAUAAGAAAAGAUUACAAAUUACAACUUAUAUAUUCUCUAAAAUUAAACAAAUUCAUUUAUUACUAAUUAACUCCAAUCACACUUUUCUUUCAAAAAAAAAAAAAAGAAAGAAAGAAACUUUCAUUGAAGGAUGUCACUAAAAAAAAAAAUAUUAAAAAAAGAAGUGAAUUCUAUUAAUAUGGCUUUUGCACUAUGGACAAUUACCUAAUUAAUUUAAACAAAUCUCUAACACUAACACUUAAUAAUAGAUUUCAUUAUUUAUUUUUACACUUAGUUUCAUAAUAAAUCACUCACCUUAAUUGGGUAGGGUGUGGGUUGGAUUUUAUUUAUUAGGUUCGAAUUUUAAUUUUAAUUUUUAUUAAUAUUGAUUAAUUUAGAUUUGAUGACGUGUAUUUCUAAUAAGAGGUCAUGUGGAAAAAAUGAAUUUGCAAAACCAUCACCAGAAAGUAAUAGCACGAAUAAAACUUUUCUAUAAUGUCAAUGAUAUAUAGAUGAGUUAGAUUUUUUAUGACAGUGACAUAAAUAAGCCAAACUUUUAAUAGAUGACAUAGAAGAGUCAUUUCUAAUAAUUCAAUUACAUGUUUAAUCUUUUAUUUUACUUAUGUACUAUAAUUUCAAUGAACUUGCUCUCCACUUUAUGAAUUAGUCAAAAGUGUCAAAACAUAAAAAGUCAUCUCAGAAAAAUUGAAUUAAAUUAAAAGGUGAGUUUGUUAUGAGUAGAAAAAUUAGAAUUAAUGUAUGUGAGUGAGAAAAUGCCAAAAUCUUUUAAGAAAAAUGUAACACAUUAAUUAAUUAAAAAAACUUAUCUUAAUGUACUCAUCGGUGCAAAUAAUUUGAAUCAAAUUCCUAAAAAAAACUAUUACUCAUAAUUUUAGAAAAGAAAAUAUAUAUAUAUAUAUAUAUAUCCCUCCGUCUCAUGUAUGUGGCACUCUUUCAUUUUAGUUCUUCACGAAUUACAUAUAUUCGUUUAGGGAAGGAGUUUGCAAAGCGAAGUUGUCUAUUUAUUAGAUGAUUUUAAUUUAUGUUUUUAUCAUACAUAACAUAGUUUCAUUUGAUAUCAGAGCUGGGAGUUUCCGAAUCAUUAUGGUAUAUGUAUGAUCAUGAAGUAAACAAGUACCAAUUACUUGAAUUAAAGGAUAAAUCGUACAACCAAAUCGGAGAAAGCUUACACUGUGUUUGUAGAUUUGCUGAGAUACUGAUGAAACGUAGGGAUCCAUCCACCAAGUAACAGGUGACCAGGUCCCUCUACGGACAAACACAGUAUUACAGUUAUAAAAGAAAGAUAACGCAAAAGAUAAAAUACAAGUGAUGUUUAUGUGAAAAUCUCCUUACUCAAGGGAGAAAAAAACACGACCCUUCUCAUAGAAUUUUACAACUCUCCACUAACUUCAAGAAAAAAAGUGAUUACAGAUUCAAAUAAUCACAAAUGAUUAAACUCUUAAUCCUAGCCUCUUGUAAUAACUCUACUACAAGACUGAUGUCACAACUUUAUCACACUCCUUGUCGACUAGCUCUAGCCGACAGUCCUAAGUAACUCUACCCGGAAAACACUUCACCCAAGGUGAAAAUAAACUUGACCAAAUACAAAGUGACUCGAUCAAUUAACUCUAAUUGAGGCAAUUCAAGCUAAUACUUAGAUAAGCUAUUGAUCUACUAUCCUUUAUAAUUCGGGAGUAGAUUUACAAUGUAAGAGAAAAGACAUAACAAUACUUAGUCAACACUCGAUCAGGUCCCUUGUUGGUGGAGUAUGAGCAGUGUUCUUGUGAAAUGACCUUUUGCUUUUGAGAGUAAUCGUCAUUGCAAAAACUAGGUUUUGUUCCUUGUCAAUGUUCCCCUUUAUAAAAGAGAAUGAAACAUAAAAUGCUUGCCAUUGGUUGAGGUUGGCUACCUCUACUGCAGUGCCACCAACUCUCAGCUAAAAGUGCAGUCUCCAGACUCCGGCUAUACUCAAUUGUCAUUUAGCAACCAAUCAAGUUUUUUAUGGUAUAGUUUGCAGAUCAUCAAAACUCCAGUAAUACCAUCAAAACUCUAGUAGUACAACAGAUACACAUCAGAUUACAAAAAGAUGAGAGGCAUUUUUUAUCUGCAUCUGAUCACAUAGUACACACUUAUCAUCAUCACAAUGUAUACCUCUCUUUAGUGAGCAGUUUCCUUGCAUUGCUAAUCGCAAUAGGAAUCUAUACUUAGGUAACAGGAUCUUGCUCCAUUUCAGUUUCACACCCCUCAAUCAGGGGCGGAGCCAACCUUCUUUAGGGGUUCGAAUGAACCCCCUUCGACGGAAAAAUAUACUCCUUCCGUUUAAAAAUGAAUGACCUUCUUUGACUUGGCAUAGAGUUUAAGAAAAUAAAAAAGACUUUUGAAUCUUGUGACCUUAAAUUACAGUUGUGUCCAAUGUACCAAAAUGCCCUUUAAUCUUGUGGUCCUAAAUAUGUCAUGUGGAAAGUUGAAAUUAAAGUAUUGCAAAAAAGGAAAGGGUUCGUUCUUUUUGAAACGGACUAAAAAGGAAAGUAGGUCAUUCUUUUUUAAUCGGAGGGAGUACUAUUUAUACAUGAUUAAAAUUAUUUUUUAUAUGGUUAUAGUGGGUGUUGAAUCCCCUUUGACUAAAUUUUCUUUGAAUAUUGAAACCACUUAGUUGAAAUUGUGGCUCCGCUCCUCAAUGCAGGUGCAUUACAGCCUCAGAUUUCCACGAUUCAUACAUUCAAACUAUAAUUACUCCAGCCCAAUGAAUUUAAUGUGCAAAAGUUUAGGUGACACCAUAACAUAUAAUUCUUGAACAUGCAUGAGAGAUUAAAGAUUAAUAUAAUCUAGAAUACAUCUCCCAAUCUGCUAUAAAUCCUCUCAAGUACUGAUAGUUUAUAAAAAUCUCAAGAACGCCCAACAAUGCUAAAUUACAUUAGGAAUUUGUUUCAGCAAUCAAUUUUCCAGGGGAUACCUAACGGAGUGGUAGGACGUGUUCUAUGAUAUAUUCAAGGCAUAAUACAUAAAUAUGACACUAAUCUUGAUACCAAAUAAUAACAUUAACGUUAAACUUUGAUAGUGCACAAAUAGGACUUUUAACUAUUCAAAACCUGAACAAAUAAACACCCCGAUCUUAUGUGGCAAAACGCGUGAUGUACACGCAAAACGGCGCGCGUCCGAUUUGGAAUUGAAGUUUUUUUUGUUAAACUUUUGUAUAGUUAAAGGGCCUAUUUGUGCACCAACAAAGUUAAAGAUCAUACUAAUAAUGUAAUUUUUUAUUAGGUGGCACCAUAUGAGUGGAUUAGUAAUCCACGUCAGAGCAAGUGAGGUGCACGCGUGUAGUUGCAAAAUCGGAGUGUCUUUUUGUUCAGGUUUUGUAUAGUUAAAGGGCCUACUUAUGCACUAUCAAAGUUUAAGGUAAAUGUUAUGUUGGAAAAAAUGCUACAAUAUUGAUAUGGACAUGAAAUUAAUGAUAGUAAGAGAGUUGUCACAAACACUGUGUCAUGCAAGCCACUGCCUUGAAAGUGCUUUUGGCCCGACUCCGGUGCAAAUCCUUCUAGCCAAUCGCUCCCCAAGGUUCCACAGCUACUUCCAAACACGUCCACUCAUGGCUGAAAGUUUGGAGGUUUCCCAAAUCAAUUGCCCAAAAUUGUCAAAGAAUAGGAAGCCAAGAUUACCGUAGAGAAUUGAUGAAGUGGGGAGAGUAUUUUAUUUCCUAUAUUUUCUUCUUUCAUCUUUAGUUCUCAAAUGAUACUCCUUAAAUAGGUAUAUCAUUUACGUUUCAUUCAUCAAAAGAAUGAAUGAAGACAAACAGAGUUAAUGUACAUAAAUUAACAUUACUCUUAAAUUAAUGACAAGUCAUAAAGGGUCGUAACUUUCAAGACUUCUGAAUGUCUUUCAUUCACAAAGUUACAUUUAAUCGUCAUUUGAAUGAAUGUACAUUUAUGAAGUAGUAACUUCAAUAUCCUAUUAACUCUUAUGAAUUACGGAUGUUCACACAAAUUUAUUACGGAGAGUUAUAAGAGUUUUUAAUCUUUGCAUUAAUUAAGAAGGAAUUAUCCUUCAAUCCCCCACUAAUGCAAAGAUAGAGAAUAGAACAACUUUGGGAAAAAGGAAGGAACAUGUACUUAAGUGUCAAUAUAUUCUGAUUUGAAUUGACACGUAGUGAUAUGAGGAAAUAACAAAUAUCAAAAAAGUGAAGUACUCUUGAACUAGAUGGACAUAAGUUGAGACCCUCCAAAUAUCCUUGAUUUUAAGCAACCUCCGUGAUACUUCAAAGUGCUUUUAUGGUCAUGUACACAAACCUUGGGUCUCAUGAGUUCUCUAGAAAAACGACCCAACUCUUUCAUAAAAAGGUGACCAGCCUUUUACACUCACGUAGGUGAUCCAUCAAGUCUAUCUCAUAGACCACCUUAAGGUUAUGGAUCAUUAAGAGCUAAAAUAAGCUCAAUCUUAUAAUACACUACCUCGCGUUAUAGGGAUAGAAUAUGUAGUAUUUAUUGAAGGAUUAUAUGGCUUUGUUUGACCACAAAUGGGUAUCCACCAUAUUACCUCAAUCCAUGGGUUUUAACCCUAUCCCCCUCGACGAUUCAAGGAUCAUUUUCCUUGUCAAACCCUUGGUCAUAGGAUUUGCCAAAUUUCUUUCGGAUCUUAUAUAUUUCAAGGAAAUAACACCAUGGUUCAACAAUUGUUUCACUGCACUAUAUCUAAUGCGAAUAUAUAUCUUUUUACCACUGUGAGUCACAAGGUAAAGAGACUGGUGAUAUUUGUCUUCCCCAUAAAGGAACAUCUGUCAAAAAGUUUCUCAGCCACUCAGCUUCUUGCCCUGCCAACUUGAGAGCAAUGAAUUCUGAUUUCAAGGUAGAACGUACUAUACAAGCCUGCUUUGAAGACUUCCAUAAAAUAGCGCCUGAACCCAAAGUAAAUACAUAUCCACUGGUAGAGCUAACUUCAUCAUUAUCAGUCACCCAGUUUACAGCAUAAAAAUCUUCUAAAAUAGUAGGAAAUUUAUUAAAAUGCAAACACCAAUUCAUAGUACCUCUCAGAUACCUUAACAAGUGAUGAAGAGCACUCCAGUGUUCACUACUUGGACUAUGAGUAUAUCUACUCAAUCUACUAACAACAUAAGCUAUAUCAGGCUGAGUAUAGUUCAUGAGAAACACUACACUCCCAAUUAUUCUAGCAUAUUCAGUUUGAGAAAUACUAGAAUCUUUAUUCUUUUUCAAGUGUAUGCUAGAAUCAUAAGGAGUUCUCACUACAUCAAAACAACCAAACCUUUUCAACAUCUUUUCAAUAUAACGAGACCGACACAAAGAGAAAUCAUUAACAGUUCUUUUGCUUUUUAUCCCUAAAAUCACAUCAGCUUCUCCAAGGUCUUUCAUUUCAAAUUUAUAAAAUAAAAAUUUCUAAGUCUCAUUUACAAUGUUCACAUUAGGGCCAAAGAUUAACAUGUCAUCCACAUAUAAACAUAUAAUCACAUAAUCCGAUUCCAUCAUUUUAGAAUAAACACAAGUAUCAGAUGAAUUAACAACAAAUCUAUUAUCCAUUAAUGUGAAAUUAAAUUUUUUAUACCACUGCUUAGGUGCCUGCUUAAGUCCAUAUAAGGAUUUUCUCAAUUUGCAUACUUUAUCCUCUUGUCCUGGGACCACAAAACCCUCAUCUUGAGUCAUAUAGAUCUCUUCCUCUAAAUCAUCAUUAAAAAAAUGCAGUUUUGACAUCCAUUUGGUGUACCACUAAACUAUGAAUAGCUGCUAGAGAAAUAAGAGUCUCAAUGGUCUCUAUUUUAGUCACAGGAGAAUAAGUACCAAAAUAAUCAACACCUUUUUUUGGUUAAAAUCCCUAAUCACAAGUCUAUCCUUAUAUUUAUCAAUUAUACCAUCAGGCCUUAAUUUCUUGUUAAAUGUCCAUUUUCUACUUAUGAAUUUACAACAUUAGGCAAAUCAUAUAAGUCCCAGGUAUGAUAAGAGACUACAGAAUAUAAUUCACUUUUAAUAGCCUCUUUUCAAAACAUUGCAUCUAUUGAUUUCAUUGCUUAAUCAUAAGUUUUAGGGUCUUCUUCUAUUAAGUAGAUAGACUUUAAUUCAUCAUUUAAAGUAUCAAUAUUAAAACCCUCAGUUAAGAAGGUGUUGAUAAAAUCAGGAUCAAAACCAGUCUCAAUUCUACGUCUUUUACUCCUUUGAAGUUCAUUUUCAUGCUCAUUAGAAAUAUCAUCAGAAUUAGGCAUAACAUGAGAGUUAAUAGACAUAGAUACAUAAGUAUUAUUUUGUAAAUCACUAGGCACAUUAUUUUUCAAAGGAAAGACAUGCUCAAAAAAUUCUGCAUCUCUACAUUCACAAAUAGAAUAAUCAUUUAAUGACAUAAAUCUAUAUGCAACACUAUUUUAAGAAUAACCAAUAAAUAUAAUAUCAAAGGUCUUAGAACCUACAUUUACUAGUUUAAAAUCAGGUAGACCAACCUUAGCCAAACACCCCCACAUUUUAAGAAAUUUCAAGUUGGGAACAAACCUUUUCCAUAAUGCAUAUGAGUUCUUGUCUAACAUUUUAUUAGAGUCUCUAUUAAGAAUAUAAUAUGCAAACAAGGCAGCUUCCCUCCCAUAUAUAGUCAGGAACAUUCAAUCAUAAAAGCAUAGAAUUCAUCAUUUUAUCAACUUCAAAAAUAAGUUUAAAGCCUACUUUAUUCAAAAGUGCUCCAAAAACUAGGUUUCUACGAAGAGAGAACAUAUAGAACACUGUUCAAUACUAAUGUUUUGCCAAAGGUUAAUUUAAGAGAAUUUUUUUCUUUACCCAUAACUCCAGCAGUAGUGGAGUUAUCCAUUUAUAUGCACUCGUUAUCAAUCAACUCGACAAAGUCAUGGAGCAACUCUUUAUUGGCGCAGAAAUGAUGAAAAGCCCCUGUGUCUAACACCCAGUUAGUUUUGUUAGCCACCAGGUUCGUCUCGAAGACUACAACAACGAUCAUUUUAUCACCCUCAACAAUAUGAACUUGGACAUCAUUUUGUCCUCCCUGUUUUAUGUUUUGCAAACUAUCUCAUAUUCCUUUAGUAGAUUUGUAAGUAACAAGUAAAUAAAAAAAAAGUAUUAGUCAUAUGACUUAAUAAAUGCUCUCUAGCAUUUAUGUUAUCCUUUUUAAUCUUUUUUUUACCAAAUUCAUCAACAAUCAUAACAUUAUUAGAAGCAGUAAUGAUGUUAGAACCAUCAAUAAACAAAACAUAAUAAACUUUUAAUUGUUCUAAGAAAAUAAUAAGUUUUUGUGACCAACUUUUAAAACUAUUUUCAUCCAAUGGCUUAAUUUUUGAUAAAUCAGGAAAAGUUUUAUUCAAAGAAAUAGCCAUUUAUUAACAUUGUAUGUAAGGAAAUCACUUUCGAACUGUUAGAAAAAAUGCUACAAUAUUGAUAUGGAUAUGAAAUUAAUGAUAGUAAGAGAGUUGUCACAAACAUUGUUUCAUGGCAAGCCACUGCCUUGAAAGCGAUUUCGGCCCGACUCCGGUGCAAAUCCUUCUAGCCGGUCACUCCCCAAGUUUGCACAGCUACUUCCAAACACGUGCACUCAUGGCUAGAAGUUUGGAGGUUUCAUGACCCGAACGAGGCCCUGGACAUAAUGAGUGUUCUGAACCAUCAAGGCCCGAAACACCCCUUAUCUAUCUGGUAAUCAUGGACAUGACUUAUAUAAAAAAGAAAUGCGGAAGAUACACUAUAUAACGAAAAUAUGGUAAAGAAUCAUAUGAAAAUAAUAGUGGGGAAUAAUGUCCCACAAUCUCAAUCAAUAUCUCUAUAACGUCUGUGAAAUCUCUACUAUAUGACUGAAAUAAAUAUCUAUCUGAAAACUAGGACAAGGCCCCCAGUAGACCCAAAACUAAUUAAUGAUAAAUGAAACUGGCAGAUAUUAGGCCUUUUGAAAUAAUAGAAGUCUCACCAAGUGACUUUGCAAAUCUAAGGAAAUCUGCUGAUUUUCUGGACCCCUAGACUGUGCCUCCGAACCUGAGAGGAAAGGGGGUCAAUACAAAAGUACUGGUACGCAGUGAUAUCAAAAUAAAACAUAAUAUUUUUACAAAAUAUAGUUGAGAGCCAUUAUAAAGCAGUUUCAUAUCAAAUCAUUUGAAAACACAUGGGCAUAAUGUAAUUGUUUUCAACAACAACGCAAUGCAGCCGAGCUAGGUGGAAUACCCUACGUAAUUUACACCAACUGUCAAACCCCGGUUUCCGCCGAGAUUAGAAUAUACGUGAGGAGAAGACACACAAGAUCACACAGCAGGGUGUCUCGACCCAGUGGUAGUACCCUAGAUCACUUAGCCUGGGCUCGAAUGACAUAAAGUCAAGUACACAGGUUCACUUAGCCUGGUACCGAACUCCCCGGCAAAUACGGUUUUCAGCAAUGAGCCCUUACACUCAAACACCUUCUUCAGGCAUCCACCUAUCUCAUGUAAAAUCAAUGUAUUCAAAUUUAAUCUGAUUCAAUCACAUGCCAUAUUCUGUAGGGUAUCGUCAUACCCGACUUGCAAGCCAUCAAUAUCACAUCAUUCUUUCAAGCAGUCACUGUGUUCAUCAUAUUUCAACAUAACAAUCCCUCUCUUUGCAAGUCAAAAAUCAUAUUCACUUUCAAAAUGUUUCGUGUCAUGCUUGUCAAGAUGAUUUCAAAACAAUUCACAUCAUAUGAAAAUUCAAAAUAAUUUCAUAUCAAUAGAGGGAUUUCAUAUCAUUCAUGCUCUCAAGUUAACAUCUUUUCAGAAUACAUGCAUAUACAUAUUUCAUAUAUCAAAUCACUUUAAAAAUAGGCCUAAAGACCAGAUCAAUAUCAUAAAACGUUCAAUACAUAACCAUAAUUGUAAUUUCAAAACCUCCAUUUGAAAACAUGAAUUUUUUUAAAGACCCAUGAGAUCUUUGGAUAACCCCACGUACCUCUAUAUGUGAAUAUAAUAGGUGCUUCUUGAAGCCUACGUUGCGGAGAUUCCAAAUCUUCAAUUUAUUUUGAAAACCCAUGGUUGAAUCUUGAGUUAUUGGGGUUUUUAUUUUAAAACUCUAAGGGGUGUUCUUGAGAUAAAAUUUGAGAAAAGGAUUAUAUUUUGAUGAAUUGGGGGCUACAAAAUUUGGGUGAGGUGAAAUAACUAAAAUGCUCCUAAGAAAAUAAAAAAAUUCGAAAUUGUCCCUCAGUUGACAAGCUGACAGGCUGAAGUAAAAUAGGUAUAACUCCUUACUCAGAUGUUGGAUUUAGAUGAAACUAGUUGUAUUGGAAAGAAGACUCAAAUAUCUUUCAUUUGAUAGGUAUCAUCUCUCCCAGUUCAUUAUAUUCAAAGAGUUAUGAUCGUUUGAAGUUGACCCUGAAAUGCUGAAAACUGGGGAAUAGGCUAUGCGUUUUGCUACUGUUUUGAAAUCCAAACGCAGCCUUAUGCGUUCUAAAAAAUUCCAAAACUUAUCCGAGAUGUACUAUGAGCUUGCACAAUUGUAACACAACUUGAAAAUCUAAAAACGGAUGUCGAGAAGGUUGAAAAGUUGUAUCCCGAAGAUAGCCAGCUAAAAUGACUUUAAGUCCUCAUUACACUUAGAAAAAAAUAUUCUAGUUAUUAGCCCCUCAAACAUAACACUAAAAAUGAUAUCGACUCGAGAAUUUUACGGGGUAUUACGAUAGGAGUGAUUACCACACCUAUGUUAAUAAAGAAUAAUUCAGUUUGUGUCAAUAUACGUAGGAACGACGGUCUAAACUCUAGCCCAAAAAUAUGGGGUGUUACAGGAGGUUGCCCAAACCUAUUGCCCAAAAUUGUCAAAGAAUAGGAAGCCAAGAUUACCGUAGAGAAUUGAUGAAGGGGGGAGGGUAUUUUAUUUCCUAUAUUUUCUUCUAGCAUCUUUAGUUCUCAAAUGAAACUCCUUAAAUAGGUAUAUCAUUUACGUUUCAUUCAUCAAAAGAAUGAAUGAAGACAAACAGAGUUAAUGUACAUAAAUUAACAUUACUCUUAAAUUAAUGACAAGUCAUAAAGGGUCGUAACUUUCAAGACUUCUGAAUGUCUUUCAUUCACAAAGUUACAUUUAAUCAUCAUCUGAAUGAAUGUACAUUUAUGAAGUAGUAACUUCAACAUCCUAUUAACUCUUAUGACUUACGGAUGUUCACACAAAUUUAUUACAGAGAGUUAUAAGAGUUUUUAAUCUUUGCAUUAAUUAAGAAGGAAUUAUCCUUCAUGUUAUAAUUUGAUGUCAAGUUUAGGGUCAUAUUUAUGUAUUAUGUCUAUAUUCAAACUCUAAUCAAAGUCCAUGAAGAUAUUGCUAAAUCCACCUUGUGUUGGCGAGGGAUAAGGUAAAACAUGAGAUACACAAGAAAACGACACAAUUCCAAGAGCCUUCAAUUGCAUAAGUUUGAUUAAAUCAUGUCAACUGAAAAGUUGGUAUUUGUAGUUACAUUUUCUUGUGUUACUACCUUCCACCAAGACUCAGUCAAAUGAGAAGAAAUUACCUGGCAUUGUUCGUCUAUGCUUGAACCCGAACCCUAGUAUUCUAUGAUUUCACUCACUUUAUUGACUGCUAAACUAUACCCUUGGGCGUAGAAUGAUGAAAGUGUAACAUGGCUUGAGUUGAUACUAUAGCUCUAAACUCGAUUAUUUAAUAUCCUUUCUUCUUGAAAAUAUUAUAAUGUAGAAUCCAUUUAGUGUAUAUGUAUGUUACUUCUUAUGGGAUUUUGUAAAAAAUAAUUAAAAAGGCAUGAUAGUGAACUAUGAGAUUUUAAUGAAAAGCAGAGGCAAAUUCAGAAUUUAAACCCUAUAAGUUCAACCUUUAAGUAAGGUUCAUCAUUAUUGUUGAAACUAUUCAUCCCUGCAUACUAGAGAUCGAAAUUUUAGUAGAUUUUUACACAAAUUCAUAUUUUGCACUGAAAGUACUGAGUGCAGAUGAACCCAGGUCCACGACGCUAUACUCGCCUCUUAUGGAAAGCCACACUUGCUAAUAAGACCAAGUUUUCAAACAAUCGUGCGCAACAUAUUACACCCUUGGAGUUUUGAUAAUUCACAAACUAUUCCACAAAGGGCCUGAUCGAAGCUUAAGUCAGUAUCCAUAGGUCCCAUAUGAAGUUGCUCUUUGAAAUAGAGUUGUUGCAAGAGGUAGUGAUUAUAGGAUCUUGUAAUCACUUGGUUGCUUGAAGAUUAGUGGAGAUUUGGGAAAUCCCAUGUGACAGGUCGUGUUUUUUUCUCCCUUGAGUAAGGAGGUUUGCACGUAAAAAUUGUGUGUACUUUACAUUAUUGCAUCAUUUUUCUUUCUUUUGUUAUCCUAUUUCAUCUGGGGGCAUAGGGACCUGGUCUCUAUGUACUUGAUGGACUCAUACAUUUCAUCACAACAACUACCCAUUCAUUAGAAAAUAAUAUGAGAUUUGAUCCUUUAUUGGUUAUGCAUUUAUGAUGACUUGGAGGGAAUAUACUGGGUAUGUUGUUGCAUUUAUGAUGACUUGUAGAAUUGAAACCAAAACCUCAAUGCUGCCUCUAAAUGUAUUAGCAUCCUUAACAUUCAUCAUCAAGACACUACACUAUAACAUAUGCACUGAAAUACUGUCAUAUUUCCUGCAUUAUCUUGAUUAUUUUUCUAUGUUGAUUAACAAACAUGCAACAUCCAUUAAUAAUUGGAGAAAGAAAAAACAUUUAAUGUCAUUAUACUCAUAAUUGAGCAUUCAUGAUCACAACUUCGACUACAAAAAGUCAAAGUUCUUAAAAUGAACAAAAAGUAACAAAAUUCAUCUGUCUUUGUUCAUGGCAUAUAUAGCCUACAUAUACUGUAUAACAGCUAAUGAAUUAUGAUCUUUCUCAAGUUUAUCACCUUCUUAAUGCCAUGCCGAGAGGAAGAUCGUAAAAUCACAAGAUCUUAAUUAGACUAGGGAUUUUGCUGCAUCAUAGAGCUAGAGCCGGUGGAACAACCUGAUAACGAUCAUCAGCAAAGAAUCUGAUAUGAGUUUUCGUUAUAACAAAGAACUAUUUAAUCGUCCUUGAAGAUCUUAUAAUUGACAAAUAUAUCAUCCAAACACCCAUAACAUUUUCAUACGCUAACAAAAGUUGAUAUUGGUAUCUGGUUCAAAAUGCAUAUUAAGUCGACGUAUAAGACUAUAAACUAACUUAGGUGGGCUCACAUGUGUUAUCAAGAUCAAUGACAAAAGAUUCUAAAAAAUAAAAAGCUAAGUAUUUGAAACCAAUAAUAAUACAACGAACCUGCUUCAGAAGGUUCUGGCACUGAAAUCCUAAUAUUUUUAAGGAGACGAGAGUUUGGUUCCAUCUGCACAGUUCGUUAAAAGUUAAUAUUAUCUCCCUCUCCCUCUUCCUGGAAGAAUUAAACCUUGUCAGUUAUGUCGCAACUUUAAAAAACAAAAGAUAAGAAAAUUACUGUUGACUCGGAAAUCUAAACAUACUUUUCCCUCCGACUGUUGAGGCAUACUUGGAAUCUGCUCCAUUGGUUGGCUGUAUGACACAUGAACAUCAAAAAGAGUUAGAGAUUGAUCUUCUUAUUCACGAACUUCAACAACCAAAUCGAUGACUUACAUUAUUUCUACGCGAUAACUAGUUAUCAAUUCAAUUUUACAGUCAUAAUUGCAUUGCAUAAAACCAAAUGGAAACGUGGUUUUGUUCAAGAACAAAGCAGAAUAGAUAUAACAUGAAGUUAAGUGAACAAAAUACAGAAAUGCUGCUCCAUAGUAGCAAUAAAUGUAACAUGUUGUUACAUAGAAUCUCAACAACCUUAAUUUCACUAUUAAGGAUAUUUUUUGGGGAUGUUGGAGACUUGAUUAACAAAUAUUAACAUUAUGUAAUAAUUUCUGAUAAAAUUUAUUUAUUUUUUAAAAAAUGGACUGGCCUAUGAGGCCCGCAGCCCACAAAGUAAUAGUGGGGACUUGGUGUUUUUGACCCAUCAUUUUGAUGGGACGGUCCGGCCUAGUCCGUUAAACUCAAAGCCCGUGUGACUAGCCCGAAUGAGCUGGACUGACCCGUAUUGAUAGAUCAGAGACACUACAAUAUAUCAAAUUAGGCUCAAACGAUUGUAUGUAGGAGAGCUAACCGGUGUAGCAGUAUUUGGAGAAUACGUUGGCACAUCAGAAGGGAUAUGAUAUCCCACAUUGUCAGCAGUCCAUGCAUCCUGAAAAAGUUUAGGUAAUACCUUAACAUAGGAUAGUUGGGCCUUCUCAUCAUAAGUAUUGUAUAUAUCAUAAAACCUGUCCCACCAUUCCAUUAGAUAUCCCUCUGGAGAUUCGAUCGCUAAAAAAAAUGCAGAAAUCAAAUAAUUGAAGUUAAAAAAAUAGCAAUUAUGAUUAAUACAAUUUUAGAAAUAUGAAAAACACUUUCUAAUAAAAUUAACCUCAAAUAAGUGCACUAAAAGCUUCAAAGAAUGACAUUAAUUAUCUAUCAUUCCAUCCAAUCUAUUUUAUUUGAAAAAGGAACAACUAAGAAUUGAGGUGUGUUUUAAUAUAUAGAUAUUGAUGGUUGAUGUAGGAAAAGAGAACAAUUAUAUUUAAAGAUGUGAAACUAUGAUAAUUCAGAUGUGUUUUUUUUUUUAACCAUUAUCUCACUUAAAAAUGAAGUCAAAAGAAUAAAGAAGUUCUUUAAAAUAACAUAGUCAUCAAAUAAAAGGGUAUUNNNNNNNNNNNNNNNNNNNNNNNNNNNNNNNNNNNNNNNNNNNNNNNNNNNNNNNNNNNNNNNNNNNNNNNNNNNNNNNNNNNNNNNNNNNNNNNNNNNNNNNNNNNNNNNNNNNNNNNNNNNNNNNNNNNNNNNNNNNNNNNNNNNNNNNNNNNNNNNNNNNNNNNNNNNNNNNNNNNNNNNNNNNNNNNNNNNNNNNNNNNNNNNNNNNNNNNNNNNNNNNNNNNNNNNNNNNNNNNNNNNNNNNNNNNNNAUAUAAUCAUCAAAUAAAAGAGUAGCCUCCACUGUCUUAUGUCUAGUAUUUAGACAAAUUUGACUUUCUUUCGAUUUAGAAUAGAAAAUUAUUGAUAUUUCUUGUGUCGGGGUAGAGCUGGCAUACAAUGAUGGGGCUGACCUACUGCAAGAAAUUACUUUAUUUAUAUAUGGUUAAAAUUAUUUUUUGGGUAUAUAUAAUAGAUGAUGAACCCCGUACACGAUUAGUUCGUGUGUACACUUUUGAACCCCUUAUAUAAAAGUCUGACUCCAUCACUAAUAUUGUGACAAUGAAAUCUGUCAAUAAUAUAGCAUAAUCAUACUACUCCGAUUACUAUAAUCCAAGCAUCCACAACUACUUUCAUGAUUACACGCAAGUUAUAAGUCACACGUAAACAACUUUUAACAAUUAUUUUAAUGAGUUCAAAUUUACCAUAAAUUUAAAUAAAAAACACUUACCAACAUUUUUGGGAUUUACAACAUUUGCUUCAAUGGAAAAUACCUCAGCAGUCUUAUGCAACCCCUUUGUAACCAAGUAAUUAUAGAUGUACUUGUCCAUCCUGAAAAUUUUCAAUAGAGAGUCAUAAAUUAUUUUAUGUUAAUGGUGUGUUUGGUAUGAAAAUAUUUUUUCAAAAAUAAGUUGAUUUCUUAUUUGCAAUAUUGCUAUUUAUAAGUAACAAAAAAAAUACUUAAAUAUAAUUUAGCAAAGAAAUAUAUGUAGAGGCAGGAGGGGGUCAGGAUGUAGGGCCUCGACGGUGGUGGGAGUGGAAUGGUCCAAAGGUAGGAAUUGGAGGUGUUGGGUGGAUCGAAGAAUACUAUAAGCAUAUAUAAUGUUUUAUAAGUUGGCUUCUUGAAGUUUGGUAAGUAAACAAAAAAGAUUAUUAUCGCAAAAGUAAUUUAUACGUAAUUGAGCAAAAAAUAGUAUUGGGUGGGAGGAUACAAUAAGGAUACAGUAAUGUGACUUAUAGAAUUUAUUUUUCCUAUUUCCAUUAAGAAGUUAUUGUCUUCGUUUUAUAAUGAAGAAAAUAUUUUUCAAAAAUUUUGUUCAAUCAAACAUAAGAAAAUACAGAAACAUUUUCCGAAAAACAUUUACCUUUCUGCCAAACACAUCUUAAAAGGUGAAUAGUUUGAAUUUUCCACCCUACUAUUUUUAAUUGGCCAAUUGUAUCCUUGGCUAAACUUUUGUGUCUAUUCAUGGCCUUUGAAUUAACAAAUUGUGUUGUAUUUACUCCUAUCAUUAAUUAAGCUCUUGUGAGAAUAAGGUUUUUUGGUAGGGUGUGUAAUAAUAUUAUAAAAUAUAGUAUAUUAGUAAUCCUUGCGUUAGUUAUAUUUAUAUUUUUCUUAUAUAGUAUUUGAUUUAAUCUAUUAAAAAUAAUAUGGAUUACAUAAUUAUUUUUUGAAAAAACAUUUGUUUAUAAUGCGUCUUUAGUCAUUCUAGACAUGAAUUAUCUUAAAUAUGAUGGAAAGAUUGUGGAAAGAAUUUUGAGGGACAAUUAUGUCCUUAAUCAUUCUAAUGCAGUACUACAGUCCGGUGGGGAAACUUUAGGGUAUCCUUGGAAUAAUGCGCCAGGUAUCGUACGCAUUAGAAUCUAUUGUGUUACUAAUAUCAUGGAUUUUCACGUAUUAGUAAUGCACACUUUAAUAUUAAUGUAAGUGUAUAAGUAAUACUUAAAUUAGUUAUGUAUAUGAUGAAAAAAAAUAUCAAAUAAAAUAUUAGUAAUACACAAAGCUAAUACAUGCAUUUCUAGUUUUCUAACAAACGAAAAUGUGUCAAAUUAUUUGUGAAAAAAGAGUUACUCAUAUUACUCUUUUAAUUUUUGAUUAAAAGUUAUUUCCUUCAUUUUGAUUUAUUUGUUGGACUUUGACUUGACAUGAGGUUUUAAAAAGUAAAGAAGAAAUUUCAAUUUUAUAAUUUUAAAAUAAAUAUGCAGAGGAUGUAGCAAAAGAAACUUUACUUUUGUGUGUGAACAUGUUAAGUAAAAAGUUGAAAUUAAAAAGUAAUUUUAAAAAAAUAUUUUUUAAGAAAAUGGAUUAAAAAAACAGAUUAAAAAAAGGGAGUAAUAUGCAAAGUUCCUCAAUAAAUGACUUUUUCCACUUUAUUAAUAUUAAGUAUUUAAUAGUCAUGAUAAAUGAAAUUAAAAGUAUUUAAAGUUCGAUUUCAUAUGACCAAAAUAUACUAAAACAGAAAUAUAUGAAGAACAAUUUUGAGUUUUGAUUGCUUGAUUUAUAUGACGCACGUCAAAAACAGAGUACCUCCUUAUAAGACAGAUAUAAAAUAAUUCUUUUCUCAAAUCUUUUUUUUUUUUGGGUUUCCCAUCAGGUGUUCGGUACCCGCAUUGGAGCCUGACUAAUUCGGAUUCGCGCUGCGUAGAGCCCCAUUUGGGGGUAAGCGCUCCCGAACAGAGUUUUCUCUGUACCUAGAAUCGAAUUCUCGACCUCUGAUUAAGGGUGGAGCAGCCCCAUCCACUGCACCACAACCCAUUUUGAUCUCAAAUCUCUUAUUUGUUAUAAAGGAGAGCCUAUUAAAAAUAUACAAACGAUUAAAAUAUCCACUCAAUCAGAAACAUUGACAAGUUUUAAUCCUAUACAUUUAUUGACCAAAACUGUCUUUUAAUCCAUUUAAAUGUUGAUCAACCAUUUCCUUUAAAAAAAAAACAACGAAAAAAUCAUUUUCUUUUAUUCUAUUCUCAUUUUGUCAUAUUACUUGUUUCAAUCAAAACUUAUAUUUUACCCCUACUUUUACAACUUAUGAAAGUUAUCAAACAUCAUUAAAAAAUGUCUUUAAAAAUAUAUGUUUCAAGAUAAAGCGUGUUUUACAUAAAUUUCUUUGGUUAAGACAAAAUAUUCAAAUCUAAAAUAAUGAGAACAUUAAAGGAGAAAAAAUACAUAUAAUAAAAUAUUUGUAAACUAGAGUUAAAAAAGAAAAAAAAAUGAAACGACAAACAUAAAAAAUAGAAAACAACAUCGAAAAAAUUAACUAGGAUAAAUGUUUUCAUUGAGAAACUCACAUCAUUUGUUGAUUCCACGAUUCCAUAAUUUAUAGAAUAAGUCUCUUUUCAAAAAGAAAAUAAAUGAAUUAAGACAACAAUGAAGAAAGCAAAAAAAGAGAGUGAUAAUUUGCACAAAAGUUAAUAAUCCGCAAAACAUAAAUAGAAAAGAAAACACAAAUAAACAAAAAAUUAAGUUGACUGAAAUAUAAUGAUAGAAAAGAGAAAUAAGAUUACAUUUAAAAUUUUCUUUAAAAAUCAAAGAAUUUCAUUUACUAGUCAACUAAUUCAAAUUACAUUUUUUUCCUUGCAAAAUUUUCAUAAAAUAUUUUCUGUACAAUGUAAAAACAGUCUAUUUACUUUUGUAUCUUUAAUUCAUAAAGCCAUAGCAGAAUUUUAAUCAAUAAAAAGAUCUUGCAUAAAGUUAUACAACUAACCUCAAUAUGAUACAAAUGUAACACGAAUUAGCAAUGGAUGAUUUUUAUCAAAACAAUAAAAUCCCAUUGUUAAGCUUAUUUAACGAUAAAUUAAUGGUAACUAUGCUAGCUAUAUGCUAUUUAAUGGAAAAUAAGUGACGAUUUGUGUAAGUAAUUUUUGAUUUUUGUAGUUAGCAUUUUUAUUUAGUGUAGCGUUCGUUUUGGAUUGAUGCAGACAAGUAAAAGCGAACGAAGAAAGUUAUUCAUGCAAUUAAAGAGCAACAAGGCAAUAAAUAUAUUCUUGACCAAACAUAAAUUUAGUUUGCCAAAAGGCAACAAUUUUUUAAACGUCUCACAUUUAAAAAGUGUGCGUCUACUAAGUAUGACUUUUGUACAAUUGGAUAUUCACCUAAUUAAUUUGUACAAAUCCCCUAAANNNNNNNNNNNNNNNNNNNNNNNNNNNNNNNNNNNNNNNNNNNNNNNNNNNNNNNNNNNNNNNNNNNNNNNNNNNNNNNNNNNNNNNNNNNNNNNNNNNNNNNNNNNNNNNNNNNNNNNNNNNNNNNNNNNNNNNNNNNNNNNNNNNNNNNNNNNNNNNNNNNNNNNNNNNNNNNNNNNNNNNNNNNNNNNNNNNNNNNNNNNNNNNNNNNNNNNNNNNNNNNNNNNNNNNNNNNNNNNNNNNNNNNNNNNNNNNNNNNNNNNNNNNNNNNNNNNNNNNNNNNNNNNNNNNNNNNNNNNNNNNNNNNNNNNNNNNNNNNNNNNNNNNNNNNNNNNNNNNNNNNNNNNNNNNNNNNNNNNNNNNNNNNNNNNNNNNNNNNNNNNNNNNNNNNNNNNNNNNNNNNNNNNNNNNNNNNNNNNNNNNNNNNNNNNNNNNNNNNNNNNNNNNNNNNNNNNNNNNNNNNNNNNNNNNNNNNNNNNNNNNNNNNNNNNNNNNNNNNNNNNNNNNNNNNNNNNNNNNNNNNNNNNNNNNNNNNNNNNNNNNNNNNNNNNNNNNNNNNNNNNNNNNNNNNNNNNNNNNNNNNNNNNNNNNNNNNNNNNNNNNNNNNNNNNNNNNNNNNNNNNNNNNNNNNNNNNNNNNNNNNUAUAGCAUAAUCAUACUACUCCGAUUACUAUAAUCCAAGCAUCCACAACUACUUUCAUGAUUACACGCAAGUUAUAAGUCACACGUAAACAACUUUUAACAAUUAUUUUAAUGAGUUCAAAUUUACCAUAAAUUUAAAUAAAAAACACUUACCAACAUUUUUGGGAUUUACAACAUUUGCUUCAAUGGAAAAUACCUCAGCAGUCUUAUGCAACCCCUUUGUAACCAAGUAAUUAUAGAUGUACUUGUCCAUCCUGAAAAUUUUCAAUAGAGAGUCAUAAAUUAUUUUAUGUUAAUGGUGUGUUUGGUAUGAAAAUAUUUUUUCAAAAAUAAGUUGAUUUCUUAUUUGCAAUCUUGCUAUUUAUAAGUAACAAAAAAAAUACUUAUAUAUAAUUUAGCAAAGAAAUAUAUGUAGAGGCAGGAGGGGGUCAGGAUGUAGGGCCUCGACGGUGGUGGGAGUGGAAUGGUCCAAAGGUAGGAAUUGGAGGUGUUGGGUGGAUCGAAGAAUACUAUAAGCAUAUAUAAUGUUUUAUAAGUUGGCUUCUUGAAGUUUGGUAAGUAAACAAAAAAGAUUAUUAUCGCAAAAGUAAUUUAUACGUAAUUGAGCAAAAAAUAGUAUUGGGUGGGAGGAUACAAUAAGGAUACAGUAAUGUGACUUAUAGAAUUUAUUUUUCCUAUUUCCAUUAAGAAGUUAUUGUCUUCGUUUUAUAAUGAAGAAAAUAUUUUUCAAAAAUUUUGUUCAAUCAAACAUAAGAAAAUACAGAAACAUUUUCUGAAAAACAUUUACCUUUCUGCCAAACACAUCUUAAAAGGUGAAUAGUUUGAAUUUUCCACCCUACUAUUUUUAAUUGGCCAAUUGUAUCCUUGGCUAAACUUUUGUGUCUAUUCAUGGCCUUUGAAUUAACAAAUUGUGUUGUAUUUACUCCUAUCAUUAAUUAAGCUCUUGUGAGAAUAAGGUUUUUUGGUAGGGUGUGUAAUAAUAUUAUAAAAUAUAGUAUAUUAGUAAUCCUUGCGUUAGUUAUAUUUAUAUUUUUCUUAUAUAGUAUUUGAUUUAAUCUAUUAAAAAUAAUAUGCAUUACAUAAUUAUUUUUUGAAAAAACAUUUGUUUAUAAUGCGUCUUUAGUCAUUCUAGACAUGAAUUAUCUUAAAUAUGAUGGAAAGAUUGUGGAAAGAAUUUUGAGGGACAAUUAUGUCCUUAAUCAUUCUAAUGCAGUACUACAGUCCGGUGGGGAAACUUUAGGGUAUCCUUGGAAUAAUGCGCCAGGUAUCGUACGCAUUAGAAUCUAUUGUGUUACUAAUAUCAUGGAUUUUCACGUAUUAGUAAUGCACACUUUAAUAUUAAUGUAAGUGUAUAAGUAAUACUUAAAUUAGUUAUGUAUAUGAUGAAAAAAAAUAUCAAAUAAAAUAUUAGUAAUACACAAAGCUAAUACAUGCAUUUCUAGUUUUCUAACAAACGAAAAUGUGUCAAAUUAUUUGUGAAAAAAGAGUUACUCAUAUUACUCUUUUAAUUUUUGAUUAAAAGUUAUUUCCUUCAUUUUGAUUUAUUUGUUGGACUUUGACUUGACAUGAGGUUUUAAAAAGUAAAGAAGAAAUUUCAAUUUUAUAAUUUUAAAAUAAAUAUGCAGAGGAUGUAGCAAAAGAAACUUUACUUUUGUGUGUGAACAUGUUAAGUAAAAAGUUGAAAUUAAAAAGUAAUUUUAAAAAAAUAUUUUUUAAGAAAAUGGAUUAAAAAAACAGAUUAAAAAAAGGGAGUAAUAUGCAAAGUUCCUCAAUAAAUGACUUUUUCCACUUUAUUAAUAUUAAGUAUUUAAUAGUCAUGAUAAAUGAAAUUAAAAGUAUUUAAAGUUCGAUUUCAUAUGACCAAAAUAUACUAAAACAGAAAUAUAUGAAGAACAAUUUUGAGUUUUGAUUGCUUGAUUUAUAUGACGCACGUCAAAAACAGAGUACCUCCUUAUAAGACAGAUAUAAAAUAAUUCUUUUCUCAAAUCUUUUUUUUUUUUGGGUUUCCCAUCAGGUGUUCGGUACCCGCAUUGGAGCCUGACUAAUUCGGAUUCGCGCUGCGUAGAGCCCCAUUUGGGGGUAAGCGCUCCCGAACAGAGUUUUCUCUGUACCUAGAAUCGAAUUCUCGACCUCUGAUUAAGGGUGGAGCAGCCCCAUCCACUGCACCACAACCCAUUUUGAUCUCAAAUCUCUUAUUUGUUAUAAAGGAGAGCCUAUUAAAAAUAUACAAACGAUUAAAAUAUCCACUCAAUCAGAAACAUUGACAAGUUUUAAUCCUAUACAUUUAUUGACCAAAACUGUCUUUUAAUCCAUUUAAAUGUUGAUCAACCAUUUCCUUUAAAAAAAAACAACGAAAAAAUCAUUUUCUUUUAUUCUAUUCUCAUUUUGUCAUAUUACUUGUUUCAAUCAAAACUUAUAUUUUACCCCUACUUUUACAACUUAUGAAAGUUAUCAAACAUCAUUAAAAAAUGUCUUUAAAAAUAUAUGUUUCAAGAUAAAGCGUGUUUUACAUAAAUUUCUUUGGUUAAGACAAAAUAUUCAAAUCUAAAAUAAUGAGAACAUUAAAGGAGAAAAAAUACAUAUAAUAAAAUAUUUGUAAACUAGAGUUAAAAAAGAAAAAAAAAUGAAACGACAAACAUAAAAAAUAGAAAACAACAUCGAAAAAAUUAACUAGGAUAAAUGUUUUCAUUGAGAAACUCACAUCAUUUGUUGAUUCCACGAUUCCAUAAUUUAUAGAAUAAGUCUCUUUUCAAAAAGAAAAUAAAUGAAUUAAGACAACAAUGAAGAAAGCAAAAAAAGAGAGUGAUAAUUUGCACAAAAGUUAAUAAUCCGCAAAACAUAAAUAGAAAAGAAAACACAAAUAAACAAAAAAUUAAGUUGACUGAAAUAUAAUGAUAGAAAAGAGAAAUAAGAUUACAUUUAAAAUUUUCUUUAAAAAUCAAAGAAUUUCAUUUACUAGUCAACUAAUUCAAAUUACAUUUUUUUCCUUGCAAAAUUUUCAUAAAAUAUUUUCUGUACAAUGUAAAAACAGUCUAUUUACUUUUGUAUCUUUAAUUCAUAAAGCCAUAGCAGAAUUUUAAUCAAUAAAAAGAUCUUGCAUAAAGUUAUACAACUAACCUCAAUAUGAUACAAAUGUAACACGAAUUAGCAAUGGAUGAUUUUUAUCAAAACAAUAAAAUCCCAUUGUUAAGCUUAUUUAACGAUAAAUUAAUGGUAACUAUGCUAGCUAUAUGCUAUUUAAUGGAAAAUAAGUGACGAUUUGUGUAAGUAAUUUUUGAUUUUUGUAGUUAGCAUUUUUAUUUAGUGUAGCGUUCGUUUUGGAUUGAUGCAGACAAGUAAAAGCGAACGAAGAAAGUUAUUCAUGCAAUUAAAGAGCAACAAGGCAAUAAAUAUAUUCUUGACCUAACAUAAAUUUAGUUUGCCAAAAGACAACAAUUUUUUAAACACCUCACUUUUAAAAAAUGUGUAUCUACUAAGUAUGACUUUUGUACACUUGGAUAAUCACCUAAUUAAUUUGUACAAAUCCCCUAAAAGUAACUGUUAAUACUUAAUCACCUAUUCUUAACACUUGUUUAAAUUUACAUUUUAACUUAUUCUAUCUACCUUAUUUUUAAAAUUAUAAUUUUAAAUAUUGAAAGAGUAAGACAAAAAGGUCAAUCAAAAAUAGGGAGUGAAGGAAAUAAGAAAAAAGUAAUUGUAAAAUGGUGAAACUUUAAACAUUCAUGACUUUGCGCUCGAAUAUCUGUUUGAGGUAAUUUUUUUUUUGAAUUUGAGUAUUUUUUUGAGAUCUAUGCGGAAGAACAGCCAUAAGGAGGAUUAGUCGAGUCAAUUUUUUAAAAAACUGCUUCUAUCCCACUUAAUUGACACUUUUCCCCUAUUCGACAUGCAAUUUUAAUUCUUCUUUAGCCAAAAAAGUGAUGAAAAACAAAUGAUUCAAAGAUCAAAAUAGCAUGGUGUUCCAUUUGGGCGUGAAAGGGAGAUUGGGGAACAUCCCAGUGUUGUCCAUUUGUGUGGGCGAGGCCAUUUGUUGGUCAAAUGGCCGAAACGGUGCGAACAAAGCAUUUUGGGGCCAGAUUGGUGUGCUAUAGACCAUAUUUUUGGGGGUGGGGACCGGGUUCUGGGGGGGCCGUAGGCCAAAAAUUUACCCGAGCGUGUUAGGGAGGCUAGGGAGCAUCCCAAUAUUGCCCGUUUGUGUGGGUAGGGCCAUUUGGUUGGUCAAAUGGGCAAAACGACACAAACAUUUUAGGGACAAAUCAGUGUUUUAUGUCCCACCGUUUCGGGGGUGCACUAGGAGUCUGGGGGUGUCGUAGGCCAAAAAUCGACUAGGGUAUGCCAGGGAGGCUAGAGAGUAUACCAGUAUUACCUGUUUGUGUGGGCGGGGCCAUUUGGUUGGUUAAACGGGUGAACCGUGCGAACGGGACAUUUUGAGGCCAAAUUGGUGUGCUAUAGCCCAUGGUUCCGGGGGUGGACCCAAGGUCCGAAUGUGCCGUGGGCCGAAAAAUGACCCGGGCAUAUCGGGGAGGCUGGGGAGCAUCCCAGUGUUGCUCGUUUAUGUGGGCAGGGCCAUUUGGCUUGUCAAAUGGGAGAAAUGGAGCGAAUGAGGCAUUUCGGGGCUAAAUCAGUGUGCUAUAGCCCACGGUUCUGGGGGUGUGCCUGGGGUACUAGGGUAAUGUGGGUUAAAAAUCGAUCAAAGCAUGCUAGAAAGGCUGUGGAGCAUUGGGGUAUUGCUCGUUUUUAUGGGCGAGGCCAUUUGGUUGGUCAAACGGGUGAAAUGGCGCGAAUUGAGCAUUUUGGGGCCAUAUCGAUGUGUUAUAGCCCACAGUUCUGGAGUGUUGGGGCUGAAAAUUGCCCAGGCAUGGCAAAGAGGCUGAGGAGCAUCCCAGUGUUGCCUGAUUAUAUAGGUAGGUCUAUUUGGCUGGUCAAAAGGGCAAAAUGGUACGAACGAAGCAUUUUAUGGAAAAAUCGGUGUGCUAUAGUCUACAGUUUCUAGGGUAGGCCCAGGGUCCAGGGGUGUCUGGGCCAAUAAUUGACCCGGGCAUGCAAAGGAGGCUGGGGAGCAUCCUAGUAUUGCCCAUUUAUGUGGGCGGGGCUAUUUGGUUUGUCAAACGAGCGAAAUAGUGCAAAUGAGACAUUUUAGGUCCAAAUUAGUAUGGAUUAGCCAACGGUUUUGAGGGUGGACCCGAGGUCCGAUGGUGCCGUGGGCCAAAAAUCGAUUGGGGCAUGCUAAGGAGGCUGAGGAGCAUCCUAGUAUUGCUUGUUUGUGUGGCAAGACCCACUUGAUUAGUCAAACAUGCGAAAGGGCACGAACAAUGCAUUUUGGGGCUAAAUUGGUGUGCUAUAGCCCACGGUUUUGAAGGUUUCGUGGGCCAAAACUUUCCUCGGGCGUGCUAAGGAUACUGGCAAGCAUCCCAGAUUUUCUCAUUUGUGUAGUCGAGGCCAUUUAGUUGGUCAAACGGGUGAAAUAGCAAGAACAGGGCAUUUUGGGGCCAAAUUGGUGUGGUAUAGCCCACAUUUUUGGGAGUAGGGUCCGGGUUCCGAGGGUUCCAUGGGCCAAAAAUUGAAUUGGGCAUGCUAAGGUGGCUGAGGAGUAUUUCUAUAUUGUACAUUUGGCAGUGGGGCCAUUUUGUUGGUCAAACGGGCGAAACGACGCGAACAGGGCAUUUUGGGGUCAAAUCGGUGUGCUAUAGCCCACGAUUCCAAGGGUCGGCUUGAGGUUCAGGGGUUCUUUUGGCCAAAAAUUGACUCGGGCGUGUUGGGAAGGCUGGAGAGUAUCCCAGUAUUGCCCGUUUAUGCUGGCAGGGCAAUUUGGUAGGUCAAACAGGCGAAUCCAUACAAAUGGAGCAUUUUAGGGCCAAAUCGAUGCGCUAAGCCCAUGGUUUUGGGAGUGGGCCCGAGGUCCAUGGGUGUUGUCGGCCAAAAAUGACUCAAGUAUGGUAGAGAGGAUGGGGAGCCUCCCAGUGUUGCCCGUUUGUAUGGGCGAGGCCAUUUGGUUGGUUAAACGAGUGAAACAGCACGAACGAUGUGUUAUGGGGCCAAAUUGGUAUGCUAUAGCCCCAAUUCUAGGGGUGGGCUCGGGGUCUGGCGGUGCCGUGGGCUAAAAAUUGAUCAGGGCAUAUUUAGGAGGCGGUAUAGCAUUCCAAUAUUGCCCCUUUGUAUGGGAGGGGCCAUUUGGUUUGUAAAAGGGGCAAAACGGUGCGAACAGGGCAUUUUGAGGCCAAAUCGAUGUGCUAUAGCCCACGGUUCUAGGGGUGGACUCAAGGUUCGGGGAGUCGUGGGACAAAAAUUAACUCAAGAAUGCUAGGGAGACUAGGGAGCAUACCAGUAUUUCCCGUUUGUGUUGGAGGGGCUAUUUGUUGGUCAAACGGGUAAAACAGCGUGAACGGGGGCAUUUUGGGGCCAAAUUGGUGUGCUAUAGCCCCUAGUUCUAGGGGUGGGAUCGGGGUUUGAGGUGCUGUGGGCUAAAAAUUAACUCGGGCAUUCCAGGGAGGCUGGAUAUUAUCCCAGUGUUUCCCUUUUUUAUGGGCGGGGACAUUUGGUUGGUCAAACGGGCGAACGGUACGAAUGAGGCAUUUUGGGGACAAAUAGGUGUGCUAUAGCCCACGGUUUUGGAGGUAUGCCUGAGGAUCAGGGGUAUCGUGGGUCAAAAAUCAAUCAAAGCAUGCCAGGAAGGUUGGGGAGUAUCCCAGUGUUACUCGUUUGUAUGGGCGGGGUUAUUUGGUUUGUCAAAUGGAAGAAAUGGCGUGAAUGGGGCAUUUUAGGGCCAAAUUAGUGUGUUGCCCAUGGUUUAGGGAGUGGGCCAGGGUUCAGGGGUAUCGUGUGCCGAAUAUUGACUCGGGUAUGCCAGGAAGGCUAAAGAACAUCCCAGUAUUGCUCGUUUUUGUGGGUAGGGCCAUUUGGUUAGUCAAACGAGGGAAACAGCGCGGAUGGGGCAUUUUGGGGCCAAAUCGAUGUGCUAUAGCCCUUAGUUUCGGGGGUAGGCUUGGGGUUCGGGGGUGCCGUAGGCUGAAAAUUAACUCGAACGUGCUAGGGAGUCCAGGGAGCAUCCUAGUGUUUCCCGUUUGUGUAGGCAAGGCCAUUUGGGCGAAACGGUGUGAAUGUGGCAUUUUGGAGCCAAAUCGGUGUGCUAUAACCCAUAGUUCCGGGGGGGUGUCCGAGGUCCGGGGGUGCCGUGCGUCAAUAUUAACCAAGGAAUGAAAAGAAGGCUAGGGAGCAUCCCAGUGUUUCUCGUUUGUGUGGACAGGUCCAUUUGGGUGGUCAAAUGGGCGAAAUAGAGCGAACGAGGCAUUUUAGGUCCAAAUCGGCGAGCUAUAGACCACAGUUCUAGGGGUGCCAUGGGCUGAAAAUUUCCCUAGGCAUGCUAGGGAGGCUAGGGAGUGUCCUAGUGUUGCUCGUUUGAGUGGGCGGGGUUAUUUGGUUGGUCACGAACAAAAAAACACAAACAGCAUAUUUUUGGGCCGAAUUGAUGUGCAUUAGCCUAGUUCUGGGGUGGGCCCGAGUUUCGGGAGUGCCGUGGGCCAAAAAUUGACCCAGGUGUGCCAGGGAGGCUAGGAAGGGUUCGAGUGUUGCCUGUUUGUGUGGACGGGGCCAUUUAUUUAUUCAGAUAUGAAAACCGAUGGAACAGGGCAUUUUGGGGCAAAAUUGGUGUGCUAUACCACGAUUUUGGGGGUGGGCCCGGGUUUUGGGGGUGUCGUGGGACAAAAAUUGAACUGAGCUUUCCAGAGAGGCUGAUGAGCUUCCCACUAUUGUCCGUUUGUGCGGGUGGUGCUAUUUGGUUGGUCAAAUGGGCAAAAUAUCGUGAACGACGCAUUUUGAGGACAAAUCGGCCCGGGGUCCAAGGGUGGCCAGACAAAAAAUUAACCCGGGCAUUCCAGAGAAGCUGGGUAAUAUUUUAGUGUUGCCCGUUUGUGUGGGCGGAGCUAUUUGGUUGGUCAAACAUGCAAAACAACGUGAACGAGGCAUUUAGGGGCCUAAUCAGUGUGCUAUAGCCCACGGUUCCUAGGGUGGGCUCAAGAUUCAGGGGUGCUAUAGGUUGAAUAUCAAUCUGGGCAUGCUAGGGAGGCUGGGGAGCAUCCCAAUAUUUCUCGUUUGUGUUGGCGAGGCCAUUUCUUUUGUCAAACGGACAAAACAGCACAAACGGUGUAUUUUGAGGCCAAAAUGGUGUGCUAUAGCCCACGGUUCUAGGGGUGAGCCUGGGGUCCGGGUGUUCCGUGGGUCAAAAAUCAACCCAGACAUGCCAACGAUUCUAGGGAGCAUCCCAGUGUUUCCCGUUUGUGUGGGAGAGGCCAUUUGGCUUAUCAAAUGGGAGAAACAACACAAAUGGGGCCUUUUUGGGCUAAAUCAUUGUGCUAUUGAACACAGUUCUAGGGAAAGCCCUGCAUCUGGGGGUUUCGUUGGUCAAAAAUUAACCUGGGCAUACCAGGGAGGCUGGGGAGCAUCCCAGUGUUUAUCGUAAGUAUGGGCGGGGCCACUUGGUUUGUCAAUCUGGCGAAACGGUGCGAAUAGGGCAUUUUAGGGCAAAUCGGCGAGCUAUAGACCACAGUUCUUGGGUGCCAUAGGCUGAAAGUUUCCCUAGGCAUGCUAGGGAGGAUAGGGACUGUACCAGUAUUUCCCGUUUGAGUGGGCGGGGUCAUUUGGUUGGUCACAGACAAAUCGGCGCAAACGGGGCAUUUUGGGGCCGAAUUGAUAUGCAUUAGCCCAGUUCCGGGGUAGGCCUGAGUUUUGGGAGUGCCGUGGGCAGAAAAUUGACCCAGGUGUGCCAGGAAGGCUAGGAAGGGCUUGAGUGUUGCCCUUUUGUGUGUACAGGGCCAUUUAUUUAUUCAGAUAGGAAAAACAGUAAAACAGGGCAUUUUGGGGCAAAAUCGAUGUGCUAUACCACAGUUCUGGGGGUGGGCUCGCGUUUUGGGGGUGUCGUGGUACAAAAAUAGAACCGAGCCGAGGCCAUUUGUUUGCUCAAACGGACAAAACAGCACAAGCGGUGUAUUUUGAGGCCAAAUUGGUGUGCUAUAGCCCACGGCUCUAGGGGUGAGCCUGGGGUUCGGGUGUGCCACGGGAAAAAAUUAACUCGGGCAUGCCAAGGAUGUUGGGGAGCAUCCCAGUAUUUCCCUUUUGUGUCGGCGGGGCCAUUUGGCUUGUCAAACGGGACAAACAACACAAAUGGGGCCUUUUGGGGCCAAAUUAUUGUACUAUUGCACACAGUUCCGAGGUAAGCCCUGGAUCCGGGGGUUUUGUAGGUCAAAAAUUAACCCGAGCAUGAUAGGGAGGCUGGGGAGAAUCCCAGUGUUACUCGUAAGUAUGGGCGGGGCCAUUUGGUUUGUCAAUCUGCUGAAACUAUGUGGACAGGGCAUUUUUGGGCCAAAUCACUGAGCUAAAGUACACAGUUCUGGGGUGGUAUAGGGAUUUGGGGCUACCGCGGGCCAAAAAUCGACUUGGGUAUGCCAGGAAGGUUGGGGACCAUCCAGUAUUUCCCGUGCAUGUGGGAGGGGCCAUUUGGUUGGUCAAAUGGGCAAAACGGCGAGAACGGGGCAUUUUGGGACCAUAUCGGUUAACUAUAGCCCACAGUUCUAGUAGUGGGCUCGGGGUUUAGGGGUGUCGUGGGCCAAAAAUUAACCCGGGCGUGCUAAGAAGGCUGGGGAGCAUUCAGUGUUUCCCGUUUGUGUGGCCUGUGACAUUUGGUUGGUCAAAUAGGCAAAAGGGAGUUAACAGGGCAUUUUUGGACUAUAUUAGUGUGCUAUAUCUCACUAUUCCGAGGGUGGGCUCGGGGUUCGGGGGUGUCGUGGGUUGAAAAUCAACCCAGGCAUGGCACGGAGGCUGGGAAUCAUCCCAGUAUUUCCUAUUUGUAUGGGUGAGGCCAUUUGGUUGAUCAAACGGGCGAAAUGGCCCAAAUAGUGCAUUUUGGGGAUAAAUCGGUGUGCUGUAGCUUACAGUUUCGGGGGUGGGCCCCGGGUGUCGGGUGUCAUGGGCCAAAAAUUUACUCGAGCAUGCUAGGGAGGCUGGGAAGCAUCCAGUAUUGCUCGUUUGUGUGGGUGGGGCUAUUUGGUUGGUCAAAUAGGCAAAAUAGCGCGAACGAGGUAUUUUGGGGCUAAAUCGAUGUGUUAUAGCCCAUGUUUUAGAGGGUCCCAUAGCCCAAAAAUUGACUCAGGCAUGUUGGGGAGGCUGGGGAGCAUCCCAGUGUUGCUCGUUUGUGUGGGAGGGUCCAUUUGGUAGGUUAAACAAGCAAAACCACAUGAAUAGGGAAUUUUAAGGCCAAAUCGAUGUGCAAUAGCCCACGGUUCUCGGAGUGGGCCUACGAUCUGGGGGUGCUGUGGGCCAAAAAUCAACUCGGGCGUGCAAGGGAGGCUUGGGAGCAUCCCAGUAUUGUCUGUUUGUAUGGGCAGGGCCAUUUGGUUGGUCAAAUAAGCAAAAUAGUGCGAACAGGGCAUUUUGGGGCCAAAUCGGUGUUCUUUAGCCCACGGUUUUGGGGGUGGUCCCGGCGUCCGCACGUGCUGUGGGGACAAAAAUCGAUCAAGGCAUGCCUGGGAGGUUGGAGAUGGUCAUAUUGUUGUCCUUUUAUCUUUUCGUGGCAAUUUAGGCAUACAAAUCGACGAAACGGAGCGAACGGGGCAUUUUCAGGCCAAAUCAAUGUGCUAUAGCCCACAACUUUGGGGUGGGCUCGGGUUUCGGGCGUGAUGUAUGCCAAAAAUUGACCGGUCCAUGCUAUGGAGGUUGGGUAUCAUCCCAGUGAAGUCCGUUCAAUUUUUCAUGGCCAUUUGGGAGGACAAACGGGUGAAACGGCGCGAACGGGGCAUUGUUUUGGCCAAAUUGGUUUGCUAUAGCCCACGGUUUUGGGUUGGGCCCGGUGUCCAGGCGUGCUAUGGGCCGAAAAUUGACUGAGGCAUGCCAGGGAGGUUGGGGAUCAUCCCAGUGUGGUUCGUUUAAUUUUUCAUGGCCAUUUGGGUGGACAAACAGGAAAAACGGCACGAAAAAGCAUUUUUGGACCAAAUUGAUGUGCUAUAGCCUACGGUUUUGGGGGUGGCCCUAGGGUUCGGGCGUGUUGUUGGCCAAAAAUCAACUGGGGAAUGCUAGGGAGGUUGGGGAUCAUCCCAGUGUGGUCCGUUUAAUGUUUCGUGGCCAUUUGGGCGGUCAUACGGGCGAAAUAGUGUGAUCGGGGCAUUUUCUGGCCAAAUUAGUGAGCUAUAGCCCACGUUUUAAGGGGUGGACCCGGGGUACGAGCGUGAUGUCAGACAAAAAUUGAUUGGGGUGUGCCUGGGAGGUUGAGGAUCAUCCCAGUAUGGUCUAUUUAACGGCGCGAACAGGGUAAUUUGGGGCCAAAUCAGUGUGCUAUUACCCACAAUUUUAGGUGUGUGCCCAAGGUCCGAUGGUGCCAUGGCCAAAAAUCAACUAUGGCAUGCCGAGGAAGCUGGCGAGCAUCCCAGUGUUUCCCCGUUUUUAUAGGCAGGGCCAUUUGGUAGGUCAAAUAGGCAAAACCACAUGAAUGGGCCAUUUUGGGGCUAAAUCGUUGCGCAAUAGCCAACAGUUCUGGGAGUAGGCCCAGGUUACAGGGGCGUCGUAGGCCAAAAAUCAACUCACGCAUUCCAGGGAGGCUGGGGACCAUCCUAGUGUUUCCUGUUUGUCUGGGCAGGGCCAUUUGGCGGGUCUAACAGGCGAAACGGCAUGAACGGGGCAUUUGGGGGCCUAACUGGUUUUUUAUAGCCCACGGUUCUGGGGAUGACCCUAUGGUUCGGGGGUGAUUUGGGCCAAAAAUUUACCCAGGCAUGCCGGAGAGGCUGAGCAGCAUCUCAAUAUUGCCUGUUUAUAUGGGCGAGGCCAUUUAUUUGGUCAAACGGGUGAAACGGGGUAUUUUGAGGCCAAAAUUGGUGUACUAUAGCUCAUGUUUUUGGGGGUGAGCCUGGGUUCUGGGUGAUCUGUGGGCCUAAAAUCAACCUGAGCAUGCUAGGGAUACUGGGGAACAUCCUAGUGUUGCCCGUUUGUGUGGGCGGGGCUAUUUGGCUUGUCAAACGAGUAAGACGACGCGAACGGGGCCUUUUUGGGCCAAAUCGGUGUGAUAUUGCCCACUGUUUUAUGGUUGGUCCUAUGUUCUGGGGAUGCCAGGAAGGUUGGAGAGAAUCCCAGUAUUGACCGUUUAUGCAGAAGAGGCCAUUUGGUUGAUCAAAUAGACAAGAUAGCACGAACGAGGCAUUUUGGGGCAAAAUCGGUGUGCUAUAUCCCAUGGUUCCGGGGGGCCGUGGGCCAAAAAUUACCCCGGGUAUGGCAGGGAAGCUGGGGAGCAUCCAAGUGUUUCUCGUUUAUAUGGGCGGGGUCAUUUCGUUCAUCAAAUAGACAAAAUGACAUGAAUGAGGCAUUUUGGGAAAAAAUUGGAGUGCUAUAGCCCACGGUUCCGAAGAUGGGCCCGCGAUCCAGGGGUGCCUAGGCCAAUAAUCAACUCGAGCGUGCAAAGAAUGCUUGAGAUCAUGCUAGUAUUUACUUUUUGGGUAGGCGGGGAAAUUUAGUUGGUCAAAAAGGCGAAAUAGUGUGUACUGGGCGUUUUGGGGACAAAUUGGUGUGCUAUAGCCCACGGUUUCAAGGGUGGACCCGAGGUCCGAUAGUCCCGUAGGCAAAAAAUCGAUUGGGGCAUGCCAGGGAGGCUAGGGAGCAUCCCAGUAUUUCUCGUUUGUGCGGGAGAGGCCAUUUCAUUGGUCAAAUGGGAGAAACGACAUAAAUAGGGCAUUUUGAGGCCAAAUCGAUCUUCUAUAGCCCACGGUUCUGGGAGUGCUCUCGGGCUUCGAGGAGCCAUGGGCCAAAAAUUUACUCGGGCAUAUCAGGGAGACUAGGAGCAUCCCAUUAUUUCUCGUUUGUGUGGGCGGGGCCAUUUGGUUGGUCAAACGGGCGAAACAGCACAAAUGAGUCAUUUAGGGGCCAAAUCAGUGUGUUAUAGCCCACGGUUUCAGAGGUGUCGUGGGAUAAAAAUUUCCUCAGGCAUGCCAGGGAUGAUUUCGAGCAUCCAAGUGUUGCCUUUUUGUGUUGGCGGGGCCAUUUGUUUGGUCAAAUGAGCAAAAUGGCGCGAAUGGGGCAUUUUGGGGCCAAAUCAGUAUGCUAUAGCCCAUGUUUUUGGGGGUGGGGUCCGGGUUCCGGUGGUGCCAUGGGCUUAAAAUUAACCUUGGCAUUCCAAGGUGGAUAAGGAGUGUCCUAAUAUUGACAGUUUGUAUGGGCGGGUCUACUUGGUUGGUCAAACUAGCGAAACGACGUAAAUGGGGCAUUUUAGGGCAAAAUCGAUGUGCUAUAGCCCACGGUUCCUAUGGUAGGCUCAGGGAUCGGGGGUGCCAUAGGUCGAAAAUAAACUAGAGCAUACCAGGGAGGAUGGGGAGUGUACUUGUAUUACCCAUUUGUGUGGGAAGGGCCAUUUGGUAGGUCAAACGGGACAAAGUCUACGAAUGGGCCAUUUUGUGGCCAAAUCAGUGUGCUAUAGUCUGCGGUUACGGGAGUGUCCCUAGGUAUCGGUUGUUCCAUGGGAAAAAAAUCGAUUCGGGCAUGCCAGGAAGGCUGGGAAUAUUCUAGUGUUUCCCGUUUGUAAGGGUGGGGCCAUUUGGUUAGUUAAACGGGCGAAACGGCAUGAACGGGGCAUUUUGGGGCCAAAUUGGUGUGCAACAGCCCAUGGUUCUAGGGGAGGGCCAAGGGCGGGGGUGCCAUAGGUCGAAAAUAAACUAGAGCAUACCAGGGAGGCUGGGGAGUGUACUUGUAUUACCCAUUUGUUUGGGAAGGGCCAUUUGGUAGGUCAAACGGGACAAAGUCUACGAAUGGGCCAUUUUGUGGCCAAAUCAGUGUGCUAUAGUCUGCGGUUACGGGAGUGUCCCUAGGUAUCGGUUGUUCCGUGGGAAAAAAAUCGAUUCGGGCAUGCCAGGAAGGCUGGGAAUAUUCUAGUGUUUCCCGUUUGUAUGCGUGGGGCCAUUUGGUUAGUUAAACGGGCGAAACGGCGCAAAUGGGGCAUUUUGGGGCCAAAUUGGCGUGAUAUAGCCCACGAUUUCAGGGGUGUCAUGGGCCAAAAAUUGCCUCAGGCAUGCCAGGAAUGCUAGCGAGCAUCCCAGUAUUAUAUGUUUAUGUGGGCAGGGCCAUUUGGUUGGUCCAACAGGAAAAAUAGCGUUAACGGGGCAUUUUGGGGAAAAAUUGGUGUGCUAUACCAAGGUUCUAGGGGUGGGCCCUGGAUUCGGGGGUGUCGUGGGACAAAAAUAGAACUGGGCUUUCCAGAGAGUCUGGUGAACCUCCCACUAUUUCCCGUUUGUGUGGUUGGGGCCAUUUGGUUAGUCAAAUGGGCAAAAUCCCUUGAACGGGGCAUUUUGAGGCCAAAUCGAUGUGCUAUGGCCUAUGGUUCCGAGGGUCGGCCCGGGGUCCAAGGGUACCAAGGAAAAAAAUUGACCCGAGCAUUUCAUAGAGGCUGGGUAACAUUUUAGUAUUGCCCGUUUGAGUGGGCGGAGCCAUUUGGUUGGUUAAACAGGCAAAACGAUGCAAAUGAGGCAUUUGGGGGCCUAAUCGGUGUGCUAUAGCCCACGGUUUCAGGGGUGGGCUCAGGAUUCGGGUGUGCUGUAGGCUAAAUAUUAACCCGGGCGUGUCAGGGUGGCUGGGGAGUGUCCCAGUAUUUCCCGUUUGUGUUGGCGAGGAUAUUUAGUUAGUCAAAUGGGCAAAACAGCAUAAACGAUGUAUUUUGAGGCCAAAUUGGUGUGCUAUAGCCCACGGUUCUAGGGGUGAGCCUGGGGUCCGGGUAUAUCGUGGGCCAAAAAUCAACCCGAGCAUGCCAAGGAUAUUGGGGAGUGUCCCAGUGUUUACCUUUUAUGUGGGCGGGGCUAUUUGGUUUGUUAAAUGGGAGAAACAACAUAAACGGGGCCUUUUUUGGCCAAAUCAUUAUGUUGUUGCACAAGAUUCUGGGGAGGACCUUGAAUCCGAGGGUGCCAUGGGUAAAAAAUUGAGUCGGGCGUGCCAGGGAGGCUAGGGAGCAUCCUAGUGUUGCUGGAUAGUAUGAGCAGGGCUACUUGGUUUGCCAAUCUGGUGAAACGGUGCGAACGGGGCAUUUUUGGGCCAAAUCUGUGAGCUAAAGCACACAGUUCUGGGAUGGGAUAAGGAUCCGGGGCUGUCGUGGGCCGAAAAUUAACGCGAACAUGCCAGGGAGGUUAGGGAGUAUCUAGUAUUUCCUGUGCAUGUAGGCGUAGCCAUUUUGUUGAUCAAAUGGGCGAGACGGCGAGAACGGGGUAUUUUGGGACCAUAUCGGUUGACUAUAGCCCACGGUUCUAGUGGUGGGCUUAGGGUUCGGGGGCGUCGUGGGCCAAAAUUGACCCAGGCAUGCCAGGAAAGAUGGGGAGCAUUCUAUGUCUCCCGUUUGUAUGGGUUGGGCCCUUUGCUUAGUCAAACAGGAGAAACAAAGCGAACGGGGCAUUUUUGGGCUAAAUUGGUGUCCUAUAUCUCACGGUUUUGAGGGUGGGCUCAAGGUUUGGGGGUGUCGUGGGUCAAAAAUCGACCCCGGCAUGCCAGGGAGGCUGGGAAUUGUCCUAGUAUUUCCCAUUUGUAUGGGCGGGGCCAUUUGGUUGGUCAAACGGGUAAAAUGGCAUAAAAGGGGCAUUUUGGGGACAAAUCGACGUGCUAUAGCUUACGGUUCCGGGGGUUGGCCCGGGGUUCGGGGGUGUCGUGAGCCAAAAAUUAACUUGGACAUGCCAGGGAGGCUGGGAAGCAUCCUAGUAUUACCCGUUUGUGUGGGCGGGGCCAUUUGGUUGGUCAAAUGGGUGAAAUAGCGCGAACAGGGUAUUUUGGGGCUAAAUCAGUGUCCUAUAGCCCAUGUUUUCGGGGGUAUCGUAGCCCAAAAAUCAACUUGGGCAUGCUAGGGAGCUUAGGGAGCAUCCCAAUUUUACUCGUUUGUGUGGACGGGCAUUUGGUAGGCUAAACGAGCGAAACCACAUGAAUAGGGAAUUUUAGGGCUAAAUCGGUAUGCUAUAGCCCACGGUUCUCGGAGUGGGCCCGAGGUCCGUGGGUACUGUCAGCCGAAAAUUAACUCGGGCGUGUAAGGGAGGCUUAGGAGCGUCCCAGUAUUGCCCGUUUGUAUGGGCUGGGCCAUUUGGUUGGUCAAAUGAGAAAAAUAGUACGAACAGUGCCGUAGGUUAAAAAUUGGUCGGGGUAAUGCCAGGGAGGAUGGAGAGUAUCUCAGUGUUUCCCGUUUGCGUGGGCGGGCCCAUUUGGUUGGUCAAACGGGCAAAACAGCAUGAACAAGGCAUUUUAAGGUAAAUCAGUGUGCUAUUGCCCAUGGUUCCAAGGGUGGACCCGGGGUUUGGGGAGACGUGGGCUAAAAAUUACCUUGAGUAUGCCAGGGAGGCUGGGAGCAUCCCAAUGUUUCCUUUUUGGGUUAGCGGGGCCAUUUGAUUACUCAAACGGGCAAAAGGACAACAAUGGGGAAUUUUUGGGCCAAAUUAGUGUGCUAUAGAGAACGUUUUCGGGUGUGGCAGUCGGGUUUCCGGGGUACCAUGGGCCAAAAAUUGACCUCGGGUGCGCCAGGGUGGCUACGGAGAAUCCCAAUAUUGCCCAUUUGUAUGGACGGGUGCAUUUGUUUUGUCAAAUGCGUGAAAUAACACAAAUGGGCAUUUUGAGGUAAAAUUUGUGUGUUAUACAAUUCUCGAGGUUCGGGGGUUUCGUUGGCGAAAAAUUAACUCAAGCUUGCCAGAGAUGCUAGGGAGCAUACCAGUAUUCCCUGUUUGUAUGGGCAGGGCCAUUCAGUUGUCAAACAGGCGAAAUGGCGCGAACAGGGCAUUUUGGGGCUAAAUCGGUGUGCUGUAGCCCACGAUUUUAGGGGUAGGCCCAAGGUCUGAUGGUGCUGUGGCUAAAAAUCAACUCUGGAAUGACGGGGAGGCUGGGUAGCAUCCCAGUGUUGCCAAUUUGUAUGGGCGGGGCCAUUCGGUAGGUCAAAUAGGCGAAACCACAUGAAUGUGAAAUUUUGGGGCUAAAUCGGUGUGCAAUAGCCCACGGUUCUGGGAGUGGGCCCAGGGUACAGNNNNNNNNNNNNNNNNNNNNNNNNNNNNNNNNNNNNNNNNNNNNNNNNNNNNNNNNNNNNNNNNNNNNNNNNNNNNNNNNNNNNNNNNNNNNNNNNNNNNNNNNNNNNNNNNNNNNNNNNNNNNNNNNNNNNNNNNNNNNNNNNNNNNNNNNNNNNNNNNNNNNNNNNGUGCCAGAGAGGCUAAGCAGCAUCCCAAUAUUGCUUGUUUGUAUGGGCGAGACCAUGUACUUGGUCAAACGGGCGAAACGGGGUAUUUUGAAGCAAAAAUUGGUGUACUAUAGCCCAUGGUUCUGAGGGUGAGCCUGGGGUCCGGCUGAUCUGUGGGCCUAAAAUCAACUCGAGCAUGCGAGGGGUGCUGGGAAGCAUCCCAGUGUUGCCCAUUUGUGUUGGUGGGGCUAUUUGGCUUGUCAAACGGGUAAGACGAUGCGAAUGGGGCCUUUUUAGGCCAAAUCGAUGUAAUAUGGCCCACUUUUUUGGGGUUGGGCCCAUGGUCCGGGGGCGCCAUGAAGUUUGGAGAGUAUCCCAGUAUUUCUUGUCUAUGCGGACGAGGCCAUUUUGUUGGUCAAACGGACAAAAUAGUGCAAAUGGGGCAUUUUGGGGCAAAAUCGGUGUGCUAUAUCCCGUAGUUCCGAAGGGUCGUCAGUUGAAAAUUACCUCGGGUGUGGCAGUGAGGUUGGGGAGUAUCCCAGUGUUUCCCGUUUAUGUGGGCAGGGUUAUUUGGUUUGUCGAAUAGGAAAAACGGCGCGAAGAGGGCAUUUUGGGGAAAACUUGGGGUGCCUAGGCCAAUAAUUGACCCAGGCAUGCAAAGAAGUCUAGAGAUCGUCCCUGUAUUGACCGUUUGUAUGGGCGGGGCCAUCUGGUUGGUCAAACAAGUUAAAUAGUGCGAACUGGGCAUUUUAGGGCAAAAUUGGUGUGCUAUAGUCCACGGUUCCGAGGGUGGACCCGAGGUCCAGUAGUCCCGUAGACGGAAAAUCGAUCGGUGCAGGGGAGCAUCGCAGUGCUGCUUGUUUGUGUGGGAGGGGCCAUUUGGCUGGUCAAACGGGAGAAAUGACAUGAAUAUGCCAUUUUGAGGCCAAAUCGGCCAAAAAUUGACUCAGGCAUGUCGGGGGGGUUAGGAGCAUCCUUGUAUUUCUCGUUUGUGUGGGCGGGGCUAUUUGGUUGGUCAAACGGGCGAAACGGCACAAAUGAGGCAUUUUAUGUCCAAAUCAGUGUGUUAUAGCCCACGGUUUCGAAGUUACCAUGGGCCAAAAAUGGCCUUGGGCUUGCCAGGGAUGCUGCUGAGCGUCCAAGUGUUGCUCGUUUAUGUUGCCGGGGCUAUUUAGUUGGUCAAACAGGCGAAAUGGCACGAAUGGGGCAUUUUGGGGCCAAAUUGGUGUGCUAUAGCCCACGGUUUUUAUGGUGGGGUUCAGAUUCCGGGGGUGCCAUGAGCUGAAAAUUAACCCUGGCAUGCCAGGGUGGACGGGGAGCGUCCCAAUAUUGACGUUUUAUGUGGCCAGGUCCAUUUGGUGGGUCAAACGAGCAAAACAACGUAAAUGGGGCAUUUUUGGGCAAAAUCAGUGUGCUAUUGCCCACGGUUCCCAUGGUGGGCUCGGGGUCCAGGAGUGCCAUAGGUGGAAUAUAAACUCAGGCAUGCCAGGGAGGCUGGGGAGCGUACUAGUAUUAUCCGUUUGUGUAGGCGGGGCCCUUUGGUUGGUCAAAUGGGCGAAAUAGCGUGAAAAGGGUAUUUUGGGGCUAAAUCGGUGUGCUAUAGCCUAUGUUUUCAGGGGUACCGUAGCUCAAAAAUCGACUCGGGCAUGUUGGGGAGGCUGGGGAGCAUCCUAGUGUUUCUCGUUUGUGUGGGAGGGGUAUUUGGUAGGAUAAACGAUCGAAACCGCAUGAAUAGGGAAUUUUGGGGCCGAGCCGCCGCUUCGCGGAGUGGGCCUAGGGUUCGGGGGUACUGUGGGCCAAAAAUUAACUCGGGCAUGCAAAGGAGGCUUGGGAGCGUCCCAGUAUUGCCCGUUUGUAUGGGCGGGGCCAUUUGGUCGGUCAAAUAAGAAAAAUAGUGCGAACAGGGCAUUUUGGGGCCAAAUAGGUGUUCUUUAGCCCACGGUUUCGAGGGUGGAAACGGAGUCCGAUAGUGCCGUGGGUUAAAAAUCAAUCGGGUCAUGCCAGGGAGGCUGGAGAGUAUCUCAGUGUUUCGCAUUUGUGCGGGCGGGGCCAUUUAUUUGGUCAAAUGGGCGAAACGGCACGAACAAGGCAUUUUAAGGCAAAUCAAUGUGCUAUUGCCCAUGGUUCCGAGAGUGGACCCAGGGUUUAGGGAGACGUGGGCUAAAAAUUGAAUCGGGUAUGCCAGGGAGGUUGCGAGCAUCCCAAUGUUUCCCUUUUGGUUUAGCGGGCUCAUAUGGUUAGUCAAACGAGCAAAAGGACGCCAAUGAGGAAUUUUUGGGCCAAAUUAGUGUGCUAUAGAGCACGUUUUAGGUUGUGGGAUUCGGUUUCGGGGGUGCCAUGGGCCAAAAAUUGACCUCGGGUGUGACAGGAUGUCUACGAAGCAUCCCAAUAUUGCCCAUUUGUAUGGACGGGUCCAUUUGGUUUUUCAAAUGCGCGAAACGUCACAAAUGGGCAUUUUGGGGCAAAAUUUGUGUGCUAUAGCCCACGGUUCCCAAGGUGGGCUUGGGGUUCGGGGGUGCUGUAGGCCAAAAAUUAACUCGGGCUUGCCAGAGAGGCUGGGGAGCGUACCAGUAUUCCCCGUUUGUGUGGGCAGGGCCAUUUGGUUGUUAAACGGGCGAAAUGGCGUGAACAGGGCAUUUUGGGGCCAAAUCGGUGUGCUAUAGCCCACGGUCAAAUCGGUGCCGUGGCCAAAAAUCAACUCUAGCAUUCCGGGGAGGCUGGGGCGCACCCAGUAUUUCCUAUUUGUAUGGGCGGUGCCAUUUGGUAGGUCAAAUAGGCGACACCACAUGAAUGUGGCAUUUCGGGGCUAAAUCGGUGAGCAAUAGCCCACGGUUCUGGGAGUGGGCCCAGGGUACAGGGGGUGUUGUGGGCCGAAAAUCAACUUGCACAUGCCAGUGAGGCUGGGGACCAGUAUUGCCUGUUUGUGUGGGCGGGGCCAUAUAGCGGGUCUAAUAGGCGAAACGGCACGAAUGGUGCAUUUGGGGUCUUAAUUGGUUUUUUAUAGCCCACGGUUUCGGGGGUGGGCCUAGGUUUCGGGGGUGCUGUAGGUCAAAAAUUGACCCAGCCAUGCCAGAGAGGCUAAUCAGCAUUCUAAUAUUGCCCGUUUGUUUGGGCGAGGCCAUUUACUUGGUCAAACGGGCGAAACGGGGUAUUUUGAGGCCAAAAUUGGUGUACUAUAGCCCAUGGUUCCAAGGGUGAGCCUGGGGUUCGGGUGAUCUGUGGGCCUGAAAUCAACCCGAGCAUGCUAGGGAUGCUGGAAAGCAUCCCACUGUUUCCCAUUUAUGUGGGCGAGGCCAUUUGUCUUGUCAAAUGGGCAAGACGACGCGAAUGAGGCCUUUCUGGGCCAAAUCGGUGUGAUAUUGCCCACUAUUUUGGGGUUGGGCCCAUGGUCCGGGGGUGCCAGGAAGGUUGGAGAGCAUCCUAGUAUUGCUUGUAUAUGCGAACGAUGCCAUUUGGUUGGUCAAAUGGACAAAAUAGUGAGAAUGAGGCAUUUUGAGGCCAAAUCGGUGUGCUAUAUCGCGUGGUUCUGGGGGGUCGUGGGCCGAAAAUUGCCUCGAUUGUGGCAGGGAGGCUAGGGAUCAUUCCAGAGUUUCCCUUUUAUGUGGGCGAGGUCAUUUGGUUCGUCAAAUAGGCAAAACGGCGUGAAGGGGGCAUUUUGGGGAAUAAUUGGUGUGCUAUAGGCCGCGGUUCCAAAGAUGGGCCCGCGGUCCAGGGGUGCCUAGGACAAUAAUUGACCCGGGCGUCCAAAUAGUCUGGAGAUCGUCCCAGUAUUGACCGUUUGUGUGGGCGGGGAUAUUUAGUUGGUCAAACGGGCAAAAGAGUGUGAACUGGGCAUUUUGGGGCGAAAUUGAUGUGCUGUAGCCCACGGUUCUGAGGGUGGACCCGAGGUUUGGUAGUCCCGUAGGAGAAAAAUCGAUCGGUCCAUGAAAGGGAGGCUGAGGAGCGUCCCAGUGUUUCUCGUUUGUGUAGGAGGGGCCAUUUGGCUGGUCAAACAGGAGAAACAGCAUGAAUAGGGCAUUUUGAGGCCAAAUCGGUGUGCUAUAGCCCACGGUUCCCAGGGUGCUCCUGGGGUUCGAGUAGCCAUGGGCCAAAAAUUGACUCAAGCAUGCCAGGGGGGUUAGAAGCAUCCUUGUAUUUCUCGUUUAUGUGUGCGGGGCUAUUUGGUUUGUCAAACAGGCGAAACAAUAUAAAUGAGGCAUUUGGGGUCCAAAUCAGUAUGUUAUAGCCCACGGUUUCGGAGGUACCGUGGGCCCAAAAUUUCCUCGGGCGUGCCAAGCAUGCUGCUGAGUGUCCAAGUGUUGCUCCUUUGUGUUGGGGCUAUUUAGUUGGUGAAACGGGUGAAAUGGCGCGAAUGGGGCAUUUUGGGGCCUAAUCGGUGUGCUAUAGCCCACGUUUUUUAUGGUGGGGUUCGGAUUUCGGGGGUGCCAUGGGCUGAAAAUUAACCUUGGUGUGCCAGGGUGGAUGAAGAGCAUCCCAAUAUUGACGGUUUGUGUGGUUGGGUCCAUUUGGUGGGUCAAACGAGCAAAACAACGAAAAUGGGCAUUUUGGGGCAAAAUCGGCGUGCUAUAGCCCACGGUUCCCACGGUGGGCUCGGGGUCCGGGAGUGCCAUAGGUCGAAAAUAAACUCAGGUAUGCUAAAGAGGCUGGGGAGCGUACUAAUAUUAUCUACUUGUGUGGGCGGGGACUUUUAGUAGGUUAAAUGGGCGAAACGGCAUGAGCGGGGCCAUUUGGGGCUAAAUCAAUGUGCUAUAGCCUACGAAUCCGGGGUUGAGAUCGAGUUCUAAGGGUGCCGUAGGCCGAAAAUCAAACCGUGCAUGCCAGGGAGGCUAGGAGCAUGCCAGUGUUGCCUUUUUGUAGGGGCGGGACCAUUUGAUAGGUCAAACGGGAUAAAGUACACGAAUGGGGCAUUUUAUGGCCAAAUCGGUGUGCUAUAGCCUACGGUUAUGGAAGUGGGCCUGGGGAUCGGGGGUUCCAUGGGCAUAAAAUUGAUCAGGGAAUGCCAGGGAGGUUGGGAAGCAUCCCAGUGUUGACUGUUUAUAUGGUCGGGGCCAUUUGGUUGGUCAUGCCAGAGAGGCUGGAAAUAUUCCAGUGUUUCCCGUUUGUAUGGGCGGGGCCAUUUGGUUGGUCAAACGGGCGAAACAGCGUGAAUGGGGCAUUUUGGAGCCAAAUUAGCGUGCUAUAGCCCACGGUUUCGGGGGUGUCAUGGGCCAAAAAUGGCCCGGGCGUGCCAGGGAUGCUGGCGAGCAUCCCAGUGUUAUUCGUUUGUAUGGGCGGGGCCAUUUGGUUGGUCAAAUAGGAAAAAAGGCUUGAACGGGGCAUUUUUAGGCCAAAUUGGUAUGUUAUAGCCCACCUUUCCGGGGGGGUGUUCGGCUUCCAAGGUGCCGUAGUUCAAAAAUUGAUCCGGGCAUGCUAAAGUCACUGGGAAGCAUCCUAAUGUUGCCCGUUUGUGUGGAUGGGACCAUUUGGUUGUUCAAGCGGGCAAAAUGGUACAAAUAGGGUAUUUUGGGGCAAAAUCAUUGUGCUAUAGCCUAUGGUUCCCGGGGUGGGCUCGGGGUUCGGAGGUGCCGUAGGUCAAAAAUUGAAUCGGGUGUGACAGAGAGGCUGGGGAGCGUACCAGUAUUUUCCGUUUGUGUAAGCGAGGCUAUUUGGUUGGUCAAACGAGCAAAAUGGCGCGAAUGGGGUAUUUGGAUGCCAAAUAGGUGUGCUAUAGCCUACGGUUCAGGUGGUGGGCCUUGGGUUCGGGGGUAACGUAGGGUGAAAAUUGACUCGGGUAUGCUGGAGAGGAUAAGGAGCAUGACAGUGUUGCCCGUUUGUGUCGGCGAGGCAUUUGAUUGGUCAAAUGGGAAAAACAGCAUGAAUGAGGCAUUUUUGGGCCAAAUCGGUGUGCUAUAGCCUCAUGUUCUGGGGGUGGGCCCCGGGUUCGAGUGUUUCGUUGGUCGAAAAUUGCCCCGGGCAUGCUAGGGAGAUUGGAGAGUGUCUCAGUGUUGCCCAUUUGUGUGGGCGGGGCGAUUUUGGUUGGUCAAAUAGGUGAAACGGCACAAAUGGAGCAUUUUGGGGCCAAAUCGAUGUGCUAUAGCCCACGGUUCCGGGGCUGGGCCCAGGGUUCGGGGGUGUCGUGGUUCGAAAAUCAAUUCGGGCAUGCCAAGGAGGCUGGUGAGCGUCCCUGUGUUUCCCGUUUGUGUAGGCGGGGCCAUUUGGUUGGUCAAAUGGGCGAAAUGGCGUGAAAGGAGCAGUUUAAGGCCAAAUCGUUGUGCUAUAACCCACGAUUUUGAGGGUGGACCCGGGGUUUGGGGAGCCGUGGAUCAAAAAUUGACUAGGGCAUGCCAGGGAGGCUGGAAGUGUCCCAUUGUUGCCCGUUUCUGUCGGCGGGGCCAUUUGGUUAGUCAAACGGGCGAAACGGCGUGAACGAGACAUUUUGAGGCAAAAUCUUCUAAAGUUGAGAAAUAUGUUGUUAAUUAUUUUAUCCUCUAAUAUUAUGGCAUGUAGUUGAUAAAAUUAUUUUUUAAUUCUAAAAUUAUGACAUGUUGUUGAUCAAAUUAUUUUUUUCUUGCCACUUGGUCCUUUUCGUUUGGUAUAUCAUAAUAAUAUGCUAAACUACUCUAUCUAUUGAGUUUGUCUUUAUAUUUUUAGUUGUUUGACUAAUCGAUUGAUUCUCUUAAAAUUUUUAAUUAUAAUAUUCAGUUUCUGAUAAAUUACAUACAGUUUAAUUAAUUUAAUUGAUAAAUACAAUAAUUAAAUAUCCUAUAAUCUCUUGAUCUAUUAAAGUAUUUAUAUUUUAAAACUUUUAUUAACACAACUAUUAUUAUAACAUUAUUUGUACAAAAUUUUUACAAUUCUUACUCAAUUACACAAUUAAAAAGAUUUUAUUUUAAAAUUAUCUUUAGCAUGUUGAUUUAUCUACAAAAAAUUAAAAUAACUUUUUAAAAAUAAUAUCAUACAUGUAUUACUAUUUUAUGUGUUUUGAAAAAUUUAUCUUGUUUAUCACUCUUUUUCAAAAUAUGAGUAAUAAAUUAUAUAUUCACUUACAUUAAAAUUAAGAACUAAUUAAAGUUGCCUCAUCAUUAACCGAUAAGCUUAUUGUAAAUUUCCAUAAGGAAAAUUGGGUUGUGCACAUAUAAAAAGAGUCAAAAUAUGAGUAAUAAAUUAUAUAUUCACUUACAUUAAAAUUAAGAACUAAUUAAAGUUGUCACAUCAUUUUCUGAUGGUAUUAUUAUAAAAUCCGGUCAUAGUGACAUUUGUGAUGGUCGGAGCAAAGUUAAAUGACUUUUGUGUAAUGAAUAAAAAGUAACUUUUGCGUAAUAGAUACAAAGUUAAGUGACCGUGAAUUUCCUCGAAUAAGAAGUCAUAGCGCAUCGUUUGUAUCUGAAGGUAUAUACGUUGUAAUUGUUACAUUAACCAGCUUAACAUGCCAUUAUCUCAACGAAAACAACUUAGUUGGAUCUAUCGAUCCCCAUAUCAAUUGGCAACUUAAGAGACCUUCAGGGCUUGCAUAAGUUUACUCCGAGAAAUUCUUUAAAAUCACGGGUUCAAACUUAAUAGUUGUUGGUAUUUUUUGUAGCUUUUUCCAUAUAUAUGUAUCAAUACUUUGUAUCAAAAGAUAUAAAUCCCUGUGAACCUAUAGCUGACACUAGUUAAAUUUUGGUUUGCCAAAAAUAAAUCCCUAUUCAUUAUGAUAUUGUAGUACUGUUUAAGUUGUUAAACACAAAUUAUAAAUUUCGCCUGUAUCUACGGAAGUUAAACAAAGAUAAUAAUAAAGAAAAUCUACUCAAUUUAUUCUUGCUCCUCCAAUUAGCAUCUUACAUUCGGUAUAAAAACGUAGUGGAAGACUCCUUUUGAGUCUUCUUUCUCGGUCUGCCAUUAAAGUUGCUUUUUUUGUUUCCUUAGUUGUAUUAUUAGUGUACUUAAUUAAUGAGAAAUAAAGGAAAGCAAUUCCUUUUUCCCUAAAAAUGCGUGAAUGGAAAAUAAUUAUAAAAGAAAUUCUUAUAGAUUUUAAAGUCAGAAUGAGCGAGAGACCUCUUUGCUACGUAUUUAAAGUCUCAAAACCACAUCAUUACUAUCCACAUCCAUAUUCCUACCAAUAUAUGCAAUUAUGGAGAAAGCUUUCAUCUCUUUUCUCUUGUUGCUUCAGUACUAUAUUAUAAGUAGUUCAGCCAUGACCCAACAACUUAACAUCUCCACUGAUCAAUUAGCUCUCCUUUCCCUGAAAUCUCAAAUCAUUUCGGACCCCUUUCAUUACUUGGACGAAAGUUGGUCUCCAGCUACGUAUGUUUUCCAUUGGGUUGGAAUCACUUGUGGCUCUCGUCAUCAGCGAGUGACGUCCUUGAAUCUUUCCAACAUGGCUCUUACGGGCGUAAUACCCCGUGAACUUGGAACCUAACAUUUCUUGUUUAUCUUGACUUGGGAAGCAACAAUUUCCAUGGACAUUUGCCUCAAGAAAUGACACACUUGCAUCAACUUAAGGUUCUUGAUUUGAGUAUCAACAGCUUCAGCGGGGAGGUUCCCUCUUGGUUUGGGUUUUUACACCAACUUCAAGUACUAAACCUUGGAAAUAAUAGUUUCACUGGUUCCAUCCCUUGUUCAUUUUCUAAUGUUUCCACACUUGAGACUUUGAAUCUGAAUUUCAAUUCCAUAGAUGGCCAAAUACCAAAAGUGAUUGGAAGUCUUGUAAACCUUAAACUUGAAGGGUAACAAGCUCGUAGGCUUUAUUCCUAUGUCACUAUCGAAUGCCUCAAGGUUGGAGACUUUGGAGAUAUCUUAUAAUUCACUUCAAGGAAACAUCCCAGAGUGGAUCGGCAAUCUUCACAACAUGAAAGUGCUAUCCAUACAAGCUAAUCAACUUACGGGUUCUAUACCUUUCAUAAUUUUCAAUAUUUCAAGAAUUGAAGUCGUUGCAUUUGCCGACAAUAGCUUAUCAGGAUAUCUUCCCAAUGGUUUAUGCAAUGAUCUGUCAAUACUCAAAGGGCUUCAUUUAUCCAAAAACAAGCUUCACGGUCAUAUGCCUACAAGCUUAUCAAAUUGUUCACAACUUCAAAUUUUGUCACUAUCGGAUAAUGAGUUUGAUGGACCAAUACAUAGUGAAAUUGGAAGAUUGAGUAACUUGCAGACAUUGUUUCUAGGAUUUAACCAAUUCAAUGGAAUGUUUUUAUCGUAUGAAUAAUAGCACUAUUGUAUCUUAUUACUUCAGAAUUUUAUUUUAUUACACAUUUAUUGCAGGGAUAAUUCAACAAGAAAUUGGAAAUCUUGUUAAUUUGGCAGAGUUAGCCAUGGAGAUAAACCAGAUUACCGUCUUUGUCCUGAUCUCCCUAUUAAAUAUCUCAUCACUGCAAAUUUUGCACUGUCGAUGAACAACUUUAGUGGAUUCUUACCACGGGAAAUUGGCAACUUAACCAAGAUGCAGAAUCUACAGCUUGGUGACAUAAGCUUAUCGGUACAUAUACAUUCUACUGGUGUCUCAUUCUAUGAAUUUAUGCAUGUAAUGAGUAACAAACUGUAACAAUUAUAAAUAAAUCUUCAAGCGUAUGACAACAAACACCAUCUAAGGAGCAUCUCAUAAUGUUUAAAAUUAAUUUGUUUAAGAAAUAACCAGUAAAUUUGAACUCCCGUUGGUAGUUAGCUAACUUCUAAUGGAGUAUCAGUUUAUAUAUUUGAGUUCAUAUAAACAUACAAAUCUGCACAAUUAGAAAUUCACAGAAAAUUAUACUAAGAACUUUAAUAGAGAAAAAAAUUAUAUAAUAUGUAUAUUCUUCUUAAGACUUUGAUCAAUAACAAUAGGAAAAAGAAGUACAUAGUUAUUACAUAAUUUUCUGAUUUCUUGUCGAUACCUUCUCCUAGAACCAAUUAAAAUUCAAGAGUCUUCUUAUCAGGUCAAACUAAAGCAUGAAUCAGAUAGAUAAGCAUUGAGCUAAAUAGUUCAUCUCACUUGUAUUCUUGUUUUUCUUCAUGUGUUUCCAGGUGAAAUACCCAAAGAGAUAAGCAAUCUUGUUGAGUUGGAGGUACUUGAUCUUUCGGGCAAUAGUUUUAGUGGUUCACUUGAUAUGGAGAUCUUCAACAUAUCAGGGCUGAGAGUGAUUUCUAUUUCAAACAAUAAUCUAUCAGGAAGCCUCCCACCAAACAUGUUUUCUCUCUCAACCAACAUUGAAAAGCUUUAUAUGAACGACUUAACCAAUCUUGUUAGGACUAUUCCUCAUUCUAUCUCCAAUUGUUCAGAACUUACUAUUCUAGAGCUUUCUAAUAACCAACUCACCGGCUUGAUUCCCAAUUCUCUUGGACAUUUGGCUCAUCUACAGUUACUAAACUUGGAGAGAAACAAUUUCACAAGUGAUUCAACAUUAAGCUUUCUGAUUUCCUUAACCAGUUGCAGAAAUUUAACAUUUCUAUCUGUAUAUUUGAAUCCUCUAAACGGAAUGCUUCCUGCCUCCACGGGGAACCUUUCCACCUCUCUUAGAACAUUUGUCUCCGACAUUUGUAAAAUCAAAGGGUGAAUUCCUAAUGAGGUUGGGAACUUAAGCAGCUUAUUAGACCUUAGCCUUUCUGGAAACAACUUGGUCGGAUCGAUUCCAACAUCAAUUGGCAAUUUCAGAGACCUUCAGCGGUUCAACUUGAGUAGCAACAAAGUUACAGGAUUUAUUGGAGAUCAUAUAUGUAAAUUGCAGCAUCUGGGUGAUAUUUACUUGGAUCAAAAUCAACUUUCAGGAUCUCUCCCUAAUUGUUUAGGGAAUAUUACUUCCCUUAGGGAGAUACAUCUCGGUUCCAACAAAUUGAGUUCCAAUAUACCAACAAUCUUAGGGAACCUUCAAGAUCUAGUGGUUCUUGACUUAUCGUCAAACAACAUGGUAGGUUCUUUACCUCCAGAAAUUGUAAAUCGAAAGGCUGCGACACUGAUAGAUCUGUCAAUGAAUCAAUUCUCAAAUGGAAUUCCUACAGAAAUUGGAGGCUUGCAAAAUCUGGCAAACCUUUCUUUGACACACAAGAAGUUGCAAGGAGCUUUACCUGACUCAAUGAGCAACAUGGUAGGUUUGGAAUUCCAAGACCUUUCUCACAAUAAUAUAUCUGGAAUCAUUCCUAAGUCUUUGGAGAAACUUCAAAACUUGAAGUAUUUCAAUGUUUCUGUCAACAAAUUGUAUGUUGAAAUACCCUCUGGGUCCUUUCAAGAAUCUCUCGAGUCAGUUUUUCAUCCACAAUGAAGCAUUGUGUGGUUCUUCAAGAUUUCGGGUCCCGCCAUGCCCCACUUCACCAAAGCACAAAUCAAAUAGGGAAAAAUUGCUUGUUCUUUUUCUUUUGCUCGCAAUUGCAGUUGUAUUUGUUACUAUGGACUUUGUGCUCCUAUGGAUAAGGUAUAGAAGAGGUAAAAGUGCGCCUCAACAAGCUGAGUCAUUGUCUACCGUAACACGAGAAAGAAUUUCACACUAUGAACUGCUCCAAGCAACGGAUGACCUUAGUGAGAGUAAUCUGAUUGGUUUUGGAAGUUUUGUCUCUGUUUACAAAGGUGUUCUCAGAAGUGGAACUUCCAUUGCAGUUAAAGUGUUCAACCUGCAACUGGAUGCGGCAUUCAAGAGUUUUGAUACGGAAAGUGAUGUUUUGUGCAGCCUUCGUCAUAGGAAUCUCGUUAAAGUCAAUUACUAGUUGUUCCAAUCUUGAUUUCAAGGCUUUAGUGCUCGAGUAUAUGCCUUAUGGAAGUCUUGAGAAGUAUUUGUAUUUGCACAACUACUUCCUUGACACCAAUCAGAGAGUAAUCAUAAUGAUCAUGUGCUUAGGAAUAUCUUCACCAUGGGUGCUCGUUGCCUGUGAAUCACUGUGACGUGAAGCCUAGUAACAUCUUGCUGGAUGAAGAUAUGGUUGCCCACCUUAGCGACUUUGUCAUCUCAAAACUGCUUGGUGAAGAUCAGGGUGAUUUGUACACUAAAACCUUAGCAACGUUAGGUAAUAUUGCACGAGGUACGUCUCUUAGUUUUGCUGAUUACUCCUUUCUUUUUUCCCCACCUAGAAAGCAUAUUGCUUCUUUAAAUGAAUUGUUUGACUGUAGAGUAUGGACUGAAUGGACUAGUGUCAACAAAGUGUGACGUAUAUAGCUACGGAAUCAUGUUUCUGGAAACGUUUACUAGGAGAAAGCCUUAUGAGUUUGAGGGUGACCUUAGCUUGAAGCAUUGGGUGAGUUAUUCACUCCCAGAGGAAGUAAUGGACGUCGUAGAUGUCAACUUCGUGACACCAAUUGGUAAUCUCUUACAGAAGGAGCUAGAUGUUGUGGCAUCAAUCAUGAAAGUGGCAUUAGAUUGUUGUGCUGAAUGUCCGGCGAAAAGGACUAACAUGAAAGAUAUUGUAGCGAUGCUGCAGAAGGUCAAGAUUCAACUUCUUGCAUGUUGAACAUGUUUUGGAAUCUGUUGUUCCAAGUCACUUGUUCGUUUCAAAAUUUUCUAAAUUGUUGUAUUCAUGUAAAGAUUGUUGUUUGGUUUGUUUGUUUUAGCACUUGAUUUGCACAUGAUUCUAAGUUCUAACAGUUAUUAAAUUAGCUCCAGGUAUGCCUCCUGUUAAUCUUCCACCUUCUGUUCGAGUAAUGUCUCACAGUCCAUUUUAUUGGCGCAUACAUCCUAUCUUGGAAGAUAUCUCAUGAUUCCCUAUCUCAGCAGAUCUUCCAUAUCUCAGUAUAUCAUAGUGAUUUAGUUUCUAUUUAGGAGAAGACCACGAUUCUUUAUUAGUUGAUUCUUUCCUUAUUUAGUUUGUAUUCUCUUUUAUAUAUACACAUACAUGUAAGUGAAAUCAAUAGAAGCUUUCAUACUUUACUCAUCUUUAUAUGGUAUCAGAAGCCUCAGUAUACUCUAACGAGUAAGAUUUCUUUUUCUGUCCCACCCACCCUCCACAAAUGGCAGACACUCCUCGAGUUGUUAAUGCUGACAAUAAUGUCAUCUCGAUGGUUGUUCAAUUUAACCCUGCGUCCCAAUUGCCCAUUAAAUUACUUGGCAGCCAUAAUUUUGCAACGUGGAAGGCACAAUUUUCCAUGCUUAUGCAUGGUCAUAAUCUCUAUGGUCAUCUUGACGGGUCUACACCUUCCCCAUCUCACACUAUCACAACUGGCACAGUCCCUAGUGCCAAUCCUGCGUUUACUCUUUGGUUUCGACAAGACCAACUUAUUCAAAACGCACUUAUGGCAUCUGUUGAUCCAACAAUUGCCACAACUGUUGCAGCGCCUAUGAGAACAAGUCCCAAACCAGAAUUUUCAGUCUACAUGAUCGACUUAUCCAUGCUCGGGACUCCACUAUUACUUAUGAAGAACUCUACGAAAAGCUUCUGGAUCAUGAGCUUUUCCUUCGACAUGAAGAGUCAGAAAAAGGGCCCAAUUAGAUUACUAAUGCUGCUGCUACCUUCAGCAAGCCUGGUACUUCGAACAAUCGCACCAAUCGUCGCCCCAACAAUAACAAUGGCAACAACCAAAAGUUGCGAUCCGACAAUCACUUUACUUCACCCAAUCCACGACGAUCUUCGACCAUCAAUAACUCUUUUGAUGGUGUUCGCUGUCAGUUGUGCAAUAAACUAGGUCAUGUUGCAAGUGUUUGUCGAUCAAAAUCUCGUAAUCACUUUGAGGCAAAAUCCAAUUAUGGUUCAGGAUUACGGGCAUCAAAAAAUCCUUGGAUUCUCGACUCCGGUGCGUCUCAUCACAUCACUGCGUAACCUCAAAAUUUUCAGCCAUACAAUGGGAUAGAGCAGGUCUCCAUGGGUGAUGGUAACAAAAUACCUAUAACUCACACUGGUUCAACUCAAUUAAAUACAUCAAAUAAAUCUUUCAAACUUUCUAACACUCUCUGUGCUCCUAUCAAUAAACGUAAUUUACUCUCUGUCUCUAAAUUUUGUCAAGAUAACCUAACCUCUAUUGAAUUCUUUCCCUUUCAUUUUUUUAUGAAGGACUUGAAACUACAGAUUUCGUUUGUGCACGGUCAGAAUAAGGACGGUCUCUAUGAGUGGCCAAAUUUACCCUCCAUGUUUUCUCCUCAUGUUCAUUUGACCUCCACCAGCAUAUCCGCUUCUACCUGGCAUAGUCGGUUGGGUCAUACAAAUGCAAGAGUGUUGCAUUUUCUUUUGAAUAAAUUCUCGCUACCUUGCUCGCGAGAAAAAAAUUUAGUUUGUAAUUCUUCUUCCUCGACUAAGGCUCAUCGCCAUCCUUUUAGACAUUUUACUUUAUCAAGUAUCAAACCAUUUCAAACAAUAUUUAAUGAUUUAUGGGGUCCUUCUCCAAUUCAAUCGAUUGACAAAAAAUUAUACUAUUGUAUUUUUGUGGAUCAGUAUACUCGAUACACCUGGCUUUACAUAUUAAAGAAUAAAACAGACCUUUUCAAAAACUUUCAAGCAUUAACUGAAUGUCAUUUUAAUACGAAAGUUCUUUCUAUCUAUACAGAUGGUGGUGGUGAAUAUAAAAGUCUUGAUCCAUACCUAAGAGCUCAGGGUAUUGAACAUCUUUUUGUUAGCCCAUAUGUUAUUGGGCCUUUAGUUUAUGGACCUUUAGGUUAUUGGCUAUGUAUAUAUAGCCUACUCUUAUUUUAGUUAGUUUUAUGCUUUUCAGAUUAUAUUGUAAACCUUAGCCUUUCUUCCCUUCAAUAAAGUUCUAUUAACAGUUUUCAAUAUGUAGGUCACUUGACCAAAUUACAUCAAUAAUAUGUUUAUUACAAUUCCUUAAAAAUUUUUGGGUGUCUGUUAUCUCUGGCUCAAACCUUAUUAAAAAAAUAAAUUAGAGCCACGAUCAACACCAUGUGUAUAUUUAGGAUUUUCUUUAGUUCAUCAUUGUCACCAAUGUUUUGAUCCGAAAUCUUAUAAAAUAUAUUUAUCUCGUGAUGUGAAUUUUUUUGAAAAUAAUUUUCCUUUUCAAAAUAUAUUUUUAAAUAUUUCUUCAACUUGCAAAGAGCUUGUGUAGGAAAACCCAACUGACACUACCCCAACAACAUCCCCUAGUCUUUCUUCUCCAAUAAUCAGCGAAUUACUCAGCCCCAUACUUAUCCCAAGUUCAGAUAGCAGCAACGCUCUCAAAGACACCGUCUCCUCUUCCUACGCUCCAACAGAAUCUGCAAGUUCAGGUAUUUCUUCUCCUCCUCCUCCUACAAAUUUUGUUCUUCCUACUGAUAUCCGUGACACCCACUCUUAUCCCCCAUUACCUCAAUCAUCAGCUUUUCUAAUUGUAUACAGUAGUCGCAGAAAUAAAACAAUGUCAUCUGCUAGCCAAAACACCGUUGCCUGUCCCUUCACCUCACUUCCGCUACAACCUCCCCCUAACCCUGCUCAAGCCACAGAACCUCAACAACCUUCUCUUCCUACUCCAAAUCGUGUUGUGAUCUGUUUACAGCACAACAUUUACAAACAAAAACCAUUCUUGACUUCAUGGCUCACUUAUCCCCCUUCAUUACCCCGACCAACAUCAAACAAGCAAACAAACACCCAAAGAGGCAAGGAGCAAUGAAAAAUGAAUUUGAUGCAUUAUUGAAUAAUCAGACAUGGGAUUCGGUACCACAUGACCCCACAAAAAAUAUUGUUUCUUGCAAAUGGUUAUACAGGUUAAAAAGAAAAGUUGAUGGGACAAGCGAUCGCUACAAGGCUCGACUUAUUGCAAAGGGGUUUACACAACGUCCUGGAGUUGAUUAUCAUGCCACGUUUAGUCUGGUCAUCAAACCAACUACUGUACAUUUGGUUCUCUCUAUUGCUGUCCAACGGAAUUGGCCCCUACGCCAGCUUGAUAUUAAUAAUGCGUUCGUACAAGGUCUUUUAGAAGAAGAAGUGUACAUGGUCCAACCUCUAGGUUUUGCAGAUGAGCAGUUUCCCUCCCACAUAUGUCGUCUAAAAAAAGCAAUAUAUGGCCUCAGGCAAGCCCCUCGGGCGUGGUACAAUGAACUUAAGACAUUUCUUCUUUAUCUGGGAUUUGUCAAGUCAGAAUCUGAUGCCUCACUCUUUAUUCACAAAGUGUCAAACAACAUUUUCUACACACUAGUUUAUGUAGAUGAUAUUAUUAUUAGAGGGAAUCACAACUCAGAGGUAAAUCGGGUUAUUAGUCGUCUUGCUGGGCAUUUUUCCAUUAAGGAUCUUGGUAAUCUAAACUUCUUUCUUGGAGUGGAGGUUCUCGAAACUACGAAAGGAAUCUCUUUAUCACAGUCCAACUACAUCAAUGAAAUCCUCUCUGACGAAAACAUGAAGGACUGUAAUUUAGCAAAAACCCCAAUGAGUGCCACUGAAGUGCCUCAACUACAUGAUGGUGCGGAACCAACUGAUGCCACUCGCUACAGAAGAGUUCUUGGAAAACUACAGUACUUUUCUUUUACUCGUCCAGACAUUAACUUCUCUAUGAAUAAAUUGUCUCAAUUUAUGCACUCUCCAUCUGAAGUGCAUUGGAAAGCACUCAAACGAGUACUUAGGUAUCUCCAAGGAACAGUGCAGUUCGGUCUUCACAUUCAAAGAGGUAAUGAUUUCAAUCUACACAUUUACUCUGAUGCGGAUUACACUAGAGAUAUGAGUGAUCGAGCUUCCACUACUAGUUACAUAUUGUUUUUUGGACAAAAUCCUGUGAGCUGGUCUUCUUGGAAACAAAGAACAGUUGCUCGCUUAUCAACUGAAGCAAAGUAUCGUGUUGUUGCAAGUGCGCUGGCUAAAACCAACUGGGUGACAAAUCCGCUAAAAGAAUUACAUGUUUCACUCCCUCAAAGACCAACCAUUUACUGUGACAAUGUUGGUGCAACUUAUUUGUGUGCAAAUCUAGUUUUUCAUAGCCGCAUGAAUUACAUUGCUGUAGACUUUCACUUUGUUCGCAAACAAGUUCAGCAGAAUCAAGUUCACAUUGUUCAUAUUCAUGAACAAAUCGCAGAUACUCUAACUAAAUCUCUUCCAAAGCAAGCCUUUGAUAAACACCUAUUCAAGCUAGGCUUUGCUACACAUUGCCUAUCUUGAGGGGGCCGUAUUGGCGCAUUCAUCCUAUCUUGGAAGAUAUCUCAUCAUUGAUCUUCCCUAUCAUAAUGAUUUAGUUUCUAAUUAGGAGAAGAUCACAAUUAUUUAUUAGUUGAUUCUUUCCUUAUUUAGUUUGUAUUCUCUUGUAUAUAUACACAUACAUGUAAAUGAAAUCAAUAGAAGCUUUCAUACUUUACUCAUCUUUAUACAUUUUUGGUACAGGUGAUGGUGUAAGUCAAGUUUAAAAAUGCAUUCUUUGCUCUUCGGGGCUCUUUGCCAUAUUAUCAGUCGAACUCUAGGCUGACCUCUUUGCACACUUUAUUGGAAGAUCACCUACUACUACUUCAGUUUCUGGAGCGAACCGUUGAAAUCUGCCUCAUUAGCUGUUAAAUAAUGUUGGUUUGGCAUGAUUACGUGGCUGCCGAUGUGUCUUUUGUUUUCCAGAAAAUAGAUAUUUUUUUUAAUUUUUUAGUUGUGAGUUUCCAAGUCUUUAGGCAAAUAGCUGUUGGUGGACUUAGUUCCUAUUUAUUAGGAAAGUUCAGUUUUUUUGCGUUACUGCAUUUGUCGCUGCAGUUUUUUAGGAUUUUCUGUAUUUAAACAGCUUCUUUGCAUCAUAAUAAGAUAUCUCUCUUUUCCUGUUCAUUUGUUGUAUGUUUUUCCUCUGUAAACAUCUACAUAAACUCCUCGAAACAAUGAUGUUGAUGAAGAAACUGGAAAUGACGUUGAUGAUUUGGAAGAUCAGUCUCUUGCAGAAAUUGUGAUGGAUCAGGAAGAGCUAAGUGACCAUUAUUAGGUAGUGAAGUACCAAUCAUUUCUUAUUUCUCCACAACCCUGAUAGUUUUGUUUUUCAUUUGCGGUCAAGUAAUAAGUAAUACUUUUAUGAUGCAUUAUUGGUCCAUCUUUCACAACAUAAUUGGCAUAUGGCUGUUGCGAAAGAUUGUGGAUUAACUAGAACACAAAGCAAAUAGACAAGAAAAAUAACACAAAGGUUUUCUACAACCAUCAAGGAAAGGUCUCAUUUUGGUUUUGUAGAAUGAAUGUUAAAAGCAGAAUGCUCAGAAUCGUAUGAUUCAAUACCUGACAAAAUGAUCAUAUUAGCCGAGAGUACCUAUUUUAAGAUCAGAUGAUCCACCUCUUUGUUUACCUGUGAAAGGCAACUUAGAAUGGUUAGAUACGAGGAGAACAACACAUAAAGGAAAAUGACACCUGUUCUGUUCUAUAGGUUAUCUUGGUUGCAAUUAGUUGUUAAGUUUUAGAGAACUUAAUUUUUUUAGUGUAACAAAAUGUUCUUAAUAGAGCGGAAUGGAGGCCUGCAAUGCAUUCCAUACCAACUAGUUUGUGAUCAAGGUAGAGUUAACUUUAUGAAUACAAAGCUAUAUAGCUGUCCGAGUAAUGGUGUGCGAAACAAUAGUAAAGCCGUAUACCAAUUAGCAGUAGUGCUGCAGAUGAGUAAUCAGAAUCUACAGGAAACAAGUGCGUGGAAUAUCUCCAUCAUGGGUGUCCGUCGGUUGUGAUUCACUGUGAUCUAAAGCCUAGUAAUGUCUUGCUGGAUGAGGAUAUGGUUUCCCACCUAAGCGACUUUGGCAUUUCAAAACUACUUGGUGACGAUGAGAGUGAUUUAUACACUGAAACCUUAGCAACACUGGGUUAUAUUGCUCCGGGUACAUCUCUUUGUUAUGCUAAUUAUUUGAACAUUAAUUAUUCCUUUCUUUUUUUUCCCCACUUAUAAAGCAUAUUGCAUCUUUAAAUGAAUUAUUUUACUAUAGAGUAUGGACUGGAUGGACUAGUGUCAACAAAAUGCGAUGUCUACAGUUACGGGAUCAUGUUGCUGGAAACGUUGACUAGGAGAAAGCCUAAUGAGUUUGAGGGAGAUCUUAGCUUGAAGCAAUGGGUGAGUUAUUCACUUCCAGAGGCAGUAAUGGAUGUGGUAGAUGCCAACUUGCUCACAUCAACUGGCAAUUGCUU